This 112830-nucleotide long non-coding RNA is filed under the name Citrus maxima (pomelo). RNAcentral describes it as "long non-coding RNA (CMAX_LNC003928)". Lineage: Eukaryota; Viridiplantae; Streptophyta; Magnoliopsida; Sapindales; Rutaceae. The record is from RNAcentral.
AGUUGUUCGAACGAUGACUUCAAAUCAUUAGUCCUAGAAUACAUGUCCAACGGGAGCUUGGAGGAUUGGCUGCAUUCUAGCAAUUAUGUGCUUAAUAUUUUUCGCAGGUUGAACAUAAUGAUUGACGUUGCAUCAGCUUUAAAAUAUCUCCACUUCGAUCAUUCAACUCGUAUCAUUCAUUGUGACUUAAAGCCUAAUAAUGUGUUGUUGGGUGAAAAUAUGGUUGCUCAUUUGAGUGAUUUUGGCAUAGCAAAGCUUUUAAGUGGAAGAUGAGUCUACGAUGCGAACAAAAACCCUUGCCACUAUAGGUUAUACGGCACCAGGUUUGCUUGAAACAACUUUUUUUUUUAGUUUAUUUUAAAAUUUCCAAAUUAUUGAUUUUUACGAUCCUCAUAUCAAAAUGUUAUUGAUUAUUUAUCUAAUUAUGAAAUAAUUUAAUUCAUAGAGUAUGGCAUAGAAGGAGAAAUAUCUGCAAAAAGUGAUGUUUACAGCUAUGGGAUUAUGUUGAUGGAAACUUUUACCAAGAAAAAACCCACAGAUGAGAUUUUUGUUGGAGAAUUGAGCUUAAAGCGUUGGGUUAAUGACUUGCUUCCUAAUUCAUUAGUGGAAGUUGUGGACAAAAUUCUGAUAAUUGGAGAGGAAAAACAUUUUGCCGCAAAGGAGCAAUGUCUGUUCUCUAUCUUUAUUUUGGCUCUGGAGUGUACAAUGGAAUCACCGGAAAAGAGGAUCAAUACAAAAGAUAUUGUUACCAGAUUACUCAAGAUAAGAGACACAUUGAGUAAAAGGAUAGGAAAUUUAAGUUAAUUUUGUUUGCUUUCAUUGAUAGUUACUUUGAAUUCAUGUAAUAAGUGUAAGAAUCGUUUAUCUUUUCUUUUGAUAUUUUUUUCUUGAGAAAACUGUUGUAGUCAUCUUUUUUCAAUGGGCAGAGUUGAUUUAGUUCUUCCAAGAAAUGCUAUUGUUGAUCUUUGUUAUAUACUUUUGUCUUUUUUUGCAUGCAUUUAGGUAGAAUAGUGGUCUAGCUGCAGGCUAACAAGUCAAGCUACGCUAAAAGGGUAUGAUUUAAUUUAUUAAACCUAACUUCAAGUUCAAGAAUUGUAUCUCAUUGCCACCAAUGCUUUAGACACCUAUUGGUAGGUUUGUGUCCUCAACUUUGUUUAGAGCAAAAGUUCCAGUCCCAUGGAGGCUCAAAUAUUCCUCUCCUACGUCCCGAACACACUAAAUUCAUCAGCCUCUUGAACCCUCUCCUGAGGGCGCCUUCUGUCCUCUGUUUUCUGUUUCCAUACACAAAUAGCAAAAAGAAUUCAGAAUGACAACUGGGACAUAUAUAAGAGUGAAAUAAUUAAAAAAAAUUAUGCUUUUUUGUUUGUCGUGUUAAAAUCGUAAGGUAUCUAAGUACUAUGAAAGAGAUUAGUUUACGAAAACUGAAGCCAAGGGUUCAUAAAAAAGUGCAAAGAGAAUAAAGGACAACGCUUAUGUAAAGCGACAUAAUUGUAUUGGUAGCACAAUGUCACGUUCAUACAGAGAUCAAGUACAUUAUUUACAGCUGGUAAGGGCUAAGAAUUGAUGUAGCUAGAAUACAAAUAUGAUAAGGUAUGUUGUGCACUAUUGUUUUAUUCUACAAUCAAUCUUGACCCUUGAUGCUUGGCUCUCAAUCUUGUCCAUUGAUCUUCUCUGAUCUCGAAAACUUCAAGACCUUUCAAUCUCAUGCCUUAUUAUUGGUAUGUUCUAUGCUGUUAAUUUCAAAUACUAGCUUUUCCGCCAACUUGCCAAUUAUUUGUUCAUUGGUGCGUUCUGUCAAACAGUGUGGAUACUUAUACCAAACGCUUUCUGUUUUAACUCCCCCUUUCAAGCUCAACUAUCUGGGAAGACACUAAUAAGCUUGUUUCUCAAGUAUAUGUAUCUGAAAAUUAAAUUUUCAAAAUUAUAUUCGGACUCUACAUUUUCUAAUGAACAUUGGUUUGGCUCAUAAGCUUAUUAUACUUGGGCUUGGUAGGAUUAUCGGUCGGUAGAUGAACAAGUGUUAGAGCUUUCGAAUUUAUGCCAAUUAAAAAAAAAUCUAUAUAAAUUUUCCACUAGGCUAUUACCACAAUAAACAUUUGGAUGAACUAUUAUUGAAACCUUAUUGAGAAGUAGGACAUGUCGCAUACCAAUGCACUGACAUAUCUUCAAAUAGUGGUAACUCCACACAACAUGGCACAAUAAAUUAGAGUUAUAUAGAUAAAAUCUUUCACUCUUUGGUAAUCAUCAAUGUCGGCAUGGCAAUGCGUCCGACAAAAUUCAUAAAUCAAAACAAAAAUAGAGAAUCAUAUUUGUUUCAGAUUGUAGUGAUGGUUGUUCAUAAUUCACAAUUUUAUUUAAUAUCUUCAAAUUCGCAUUUUAAAAUGCACAAAUGUUUGUGUAUACAUAAUUAGUAAUCGAUUCUCAAGCUUGGACAUUUAAAAGCACUGCUAAAAGACAAAAUUUUAAUUCACUAUUUUUUGUCUUUUAAUUUUCUUUAAGUUUUAAUGAUUCCGCAUUUUAAAAUCCUGUGGAACGUACAUGUAAAAUUCUUUUAUCUUUUAGAGGAAAAUGGGCAAGAGAAGAAGAUUUGGCAAAGGAAUUGCAACCGCAUUUGGAGCUAGUUUUAAUUUUGUCUUUUAAUUCUUUUACACUUGGCUUUUGUUAUUGAUGUCAACUUCGAUGUGUGUGCGUGUGCGACUGAAUUCAACUUACAUGCUAUUGAUGCAGCCACCAAAAAGGGGUGGUCCAUCAUCAAUCAACAAGGUUUAUUAUUAUUUCCAUAUUGAUUUUCUUAAUUAUAAAUAAUACUAAUGUUAUUUCAUAGUUAUAAAUAUAUUAGAAUUAAUCGAAAUCAUUUUUUAGUGUGGCAUGGCUAAAACUACCUUUUUUUUUUAUAAGUAAUUACUACUUUCACAUUAAGAAAAAUACUCCUAUUUUUAAGGAAAAGUCAAGUACCUGUAGUUGUGAAGACUCAAGCUCACUCCCUUAUGAUAAAUCUUCAUAUUAAUUACGUAAAUAUCCUCUAAAAUUUUAAAUUAGCUAUUCAAAAUUUGAUGUUAUACGGGUAUUUCAUUUAUUUGAGUAGGGGUUAGGGGUCAAUUGGAUACAAAUUCAAAAUUAUCCUUACUUGAGAAGGUGAUAAAAAUUGGGGAUUUAGUUUGGAUGUCAUUAGCUACAAAUAUUAAACUCAUACAUUUAAUUCAAAAUUAGAGGGCUGAUAUGUGCGCAUCAUCGUCCACGUUAUAGUGACACUGCGUCACCAUUCCACAACCUCUCCAAUGAAAAAUUGACAUGCUUCUUGUGCGCAUCUAAUCAGAAUCUUGAAAAUUAAUCACAAAAUUGUACUUUUAUUAUAAAAAGAAUAAAGAAACUCCAAGAAAAAAAAAAAGACUUACAUAAAUAGAUUGAAAAAUCUAGAUUUCAAGUUGUCUAUAUUAGCUUGAUAUUUUUAUUAAUAGUCAUCCUCCCAAAAAAAUUCCAUCAAAAUAUAUUUUAAUUUUAUGUUAAUUCAUAAACAUGAAAAAAUCAUUUUAGAAUUAAUUAAAACAUAAUUUAUUGUUGCUCAAAAAAGGUAGAACUUAGUUAUCAGAAAAAAGUGUCUAAAAUAUAUGUUAAAAAAAAAUCAUGGUUGGUUGGACUGAUUGAAUUUUUUUUUUCUUUUUUAAGAAUUAAGACAAUUGGAUGGAUUGAGUAAUAAUAAUACAUAUUUAUUUGGCAAAUGGCAGGGAGGCUUUCGUCUGAUGCAGAUUGAUUAGAGAGAAAAUAUAACAAUUUUAAGCUCGUCAGAUUCGAAGCUGCUUACCUGUCGUGUGGGGAUCACUUCCGUGUCUUAUUUUUCUAGAAAAAUCUGGACCAUUGGAUUUACCAUUAGUCAAUAGAGAAAUGUUGAUCUUGAUUCUUGAUCAAGAUCGAAGUUUGAUUCUAACUAACACGAUAUCAGAUUGCGAAGCAAGCAAAUUGAAAGUCACUUGUUCUAUGGAAGAAACACAAGUUCUAAUAAAACAUUCUCAUAGUAAAGUGAAUUACCAUCCAACGAUCCAACUCAUGUUUUCAAAUUGUAAAUUGCAAAUCGUGUGUUUGCUCCAUUACAGAGUUUCUUCAAUCUGAAAUAGCGAAUCAUUUGUGUUCUAGAUUAAUCGUGGGUCUAUAUCCAAAUCUAAAAAUUGACUAACUUGAUUUCUAUUAAAUUCUUAAUCCUAACAAGAAAAAUUGAAGAUUAAAAACGACUAAUUUGGUACCAUACCACUAUUGUAACAUAGGUAGAUCCUCUAUUAAUUGGAGUAAAGAUUGAAUUAUCUCAUUUAUUAAGGUUUAUCAAAAUCUUGUGUCAAAAUCUAUUAAUGAUAUAGGUUCAAGGAUGAAAAAGUCACUGCAUUACUUUUGAGUUCCCAAAUAGAUGAAUGGAUGUUAUUUUUAGAUUCCGGAGAGUCGAAAAUAUUAAGAUAGGUGCUAAAUCGAAUUAAGUUGUAGAUACGAUAGAAAUGGAUUUGGAGAGAUUGGAAUCCUAGGUAAUCCGGUGCACGUUGUCGUGUUAAAUUCUCGUUGACUUCACGUUGACUGAAGCAUUAUUGGAAGAAACAAGUUUAUUGAUGUGAGGCCUUUGAGGUUGUAAGUGUUAAAUCUGAGAAGAAUACCCACACACCCAUUAUCCUAUUACUCUUAUAUCACAUGAAGAGAAUUCAACAUUUGAUUCACACGGAAAAAAUUUGUGAGGAAUGUGAGGGUUGAUGGAAUAUAAUUUAGAUACAAAGUGUUUACCAGUGCGAUGCUUCGCAAGUGUUCUUGAAUCAAUAUAAACUCACAUUAUUUUCAUAGUGAUUGUUUCAUCUGCACGUUAAUAUAAUCACAUGUCGAGAUUUUUUUCCUUAAAUUAUGGUCUUAUUUAGUAUUGAGGUGUUAUAUCUUUUAAGGUACAAUUAUUGUUGGAAAAAAGUUACAACUAUCAAAUAAAAUUAAUACUAUGUGCUAAAUAUAAUUGUUAAAUAAUAAUUUUGACAAAAUUAGUGAAGUUAUAUAGAUUUUUUUCAUCAUCCAAGUAUAAAAUCAAAUCAACUUAACUUCUAAGUUAUAUAUCGGCUACUGUUUAUCAUAUGUUUUAGUUUUGUAACUUUUAAAUUAUAGUUACCCAACCUCAAUUCUAAACAAGACCUAUAAAGAUCAAAGAUUUCCUCAUUAAAUUAUAUGUCUUGUGAUUGCUUAUUUAAUUUAUAUUUUUGUUAUUUAUCUUUAUUAAUUAUAAUCAUCUUUUUAUAAAUUAAAAUUGAAGGAAGUUGAUUGAUGUUGUUGACACACACACGCACGCGCACGCACACACUCACAAAGAUAUAUUGGAAGUGCUUACGUCGACUCGAAGUUGUUGGGAAUUAAUGCAUGUAUUGAUUUAUUGGGAGUGUUUAAAUGAUUUUGUGAUUUACUUGAUUUAUUGAUUGAAUAUUGUUUGAUUGCUUCAUAUCCAUUCUAGAAAGUUUAUUUCUUUGUGAAAGUUCAACGAAAUAUGUUUUUUUUUUUAAAUAAGGGUGUUCUAAAUAAUUUUAAAAAAUAUAUGCUUGUCUUCCCAAAAUAGCCUUUGAAUACACAAGUAAAUGUCUAGCCUUUGGUGAGGAUAGUUUGGUCAUUGCAUUUUACAAGUAAGAUGAGUGGUGGAGAAAAAUGAGGAGUGCACAUAACUCUUCAGCAAAUCCCACCAACAAUUCCAUUUUCUUAAUUAAUUAAUCUCCUUUUUUAUCCCCAAACAAAUCCUAAUGAUACUAUUAUCAGGUUUAAAACAGUACACAAAUAGUGAAAAGCUAACUAGUCUGUAGAGUAAUUUGCUAAUUGCUAUCUCCUCUCUAUGCUCGCUGAAUAAUUUGUUGCAUGCAAACUUUUUAUUUUAUGCAAAUCAUACGUACUGUAACAUUGGAAUUGAUGUAUAAGCAAAAAUACAAUAAUAUUUAUGUCAAUACAAAUAGUUUUUUUUCCCUUUUUAAAUAAACACAACGCGAUGUUGCUCUGCUCUACAUUUUUGCUAUCUCUUUAUUAUUAUUAUUUUUUUUUGGGCUUCUUAAAGCCUCAAACUUUGAUAACCAAAACUUCAUCGACCUAUGAAAAAAUCUGCAGAUUAGUUUUUAUUAUCGGAAUAAUUGUUUGAGAAUACUAAAACAAAAUAUAAAAUAAGAAAAUACGGGGUUAAAUUUGGGGAAAACAAAAAGGCAUGUUGGAUAGAUUACUAUAGUUUAAGGGGAAAAAAAAAUUCAAUUGGAAAUUUUUUUCUUUAAUUUUUGUUUUACUUGAUUGAGAUUUCUCCUUAGUCCUUACAGUUUUAAGUUUGGAUGCCGUAGGGUUAGUAAUUUAGUAUUUCCCUUGCAAGCUGAGCUUAAGGAUGAAAUUUCUUUUAAGAAAUUAAAAAAGAUUAAAAAAAGCAUACCAAUAGGUAAUUAUAAAUAACCAUAAAUAAACAUAAACAAAAUGUUUAUGAAGUAAAUUACACAUGCACAUAUUAUUUUUUUGUUAUAUUUCUUACUUGUCUAUUUUAUUUGCUGCUUGAUAACCCGUAAAUACUAAUCUAGUACUGCUAAUUUCAGACACAAAAUGUUUAACUCUAGGCUGCAGUUUUACUCAAAAUGAUGACCACUGGCUUCGCACCAUUUAACCGGCAUACAUUUCUACAAAUUGAACAAGGCUAUUGAUUUUCAUUAUUAUUUUUUAUUUAUUUAUAAAUUACUAUUUUAAUUUUCACUUUUUAUUGGGUUGUUUACAGAUUAGUGAAGUUGGUGGUCGUGAUGCACUCACAAGGUACAAUUUUAUUUUAUAAUUUCAAAUUUGUAUUUUAAAAUGCAGGUACAUUAUGUAUACAUAAUUAUUGAUUUUCAUAUGUGGGUGUUUUGAAAUAUUGCUAAAAGACCAAACUUUAAUAAACUAUUUUUUAUCUUUUUUUUUCCUAAAGUUUGAGUGAUAUCCGCAUUUUAAAUUCAUGUGGAACAAAAGCUAAUGUAUGCUCAAAAUUCUUUUAUUUUUUCCGAGAAGAAUGGGUAAGAGAAGAAGAUUUUUCUGUUGAAAAAGAAAAACUAAUACGAUGCAAGCAUAGGAAAGAGGUCAGUGUUUUGGAUUAGAAUUUAGUAUUGAGCUGAAUUUUAUACUAAACUCUUUUAUAGUACUGCGAUUAAUAAACUCAUGAUUUGCUUUUGCUUUUACUUCAAGUGAAAGAAAGAGGAAACCGUUUGAUUUUUGUUUGAUUCUUGACUAUAGAUGUUACCUAUAUAGAGAGUUGAGGUAGCUGCCUUAAGUGAUGGUUAUAAAAAGAUUAAGCAGCGCACACAAUCUUACUGUCGUCCAGACCAUCCAGCUAUGAUGACUCUAGUUUUUUGGUUACAUUAACUUUAGUGGAAAGGAGGGCCAAUUUAACAAAGACUAGAUUUGGUGGCUUACUAUAAUGCUUAUUCUCAGGGAAUCUAAUGUUAUAAGAUGAUUUAAUGAUCUUCUAUGAUUGUGAGUAGUAUAGUAUAAUUGAAAAGAGCUUGGGCUCCUAUGAUGAAUAUUUAAUAGUAACACAGUACUGUUAUUGAAAAAAACACAGUUACAAUAAACUCUUCAUUUAUUCAUUGUGGAGAUUGAAUGGCAAACAGAGAAUAAAAUGAAGCAGAGGAAUCUCAUUGCCAGUAAAAUUGACCCUCUUUAAUGUUAUAUGGCACAGGUGUGUGUACAGCAAGAUCAAGUUACUUGCAGUUUUUAUUGUAAAAUAUAUAGGUUAUGACCAUGAUCAUUGUAGUUAGGUUUUGAUGAUUUUAGAUGCUUUUUUUAUUUUUUUUAAAAUUGUGACACCUUUGAUUUAUGGUAGCUUUGCAGAAGAAAAAUAUAUAUAUAUAAAUUAGGAGGGAUGAGUUAACUAACGAUUGCAAUCAUUACAGUAAUGUUGAUGAGUGAUACAUCAUUUGAAAUUUACUUGUCAGUUACUGAAAUGAUGAAAAAAAACAAUAAACAAUAGCAGUAAUAUUUUUAUGGAAAAUCUUGGUUUUUAUGGAAAUACUCUUGCUGAAAUUCUAAUUUUGACUUUCAACUCUUGGUUUUUAUGGAAAGUAAAAUGACUUGUUUGUUAUAUUCAUACAAUCCACUCUACAUAAUGAUUUCAUUUUAAUAAAUGCUUGAUGAUCUCCACUGAAAAACUACUUCAAUUCUUUUGUUUUAUUUAACUUUUUGGUUGUUGAAAAUAGCCUUAAUUUUCAAAUAAUUGGAGAAAGAGUAAAGAACAUUUAACAAAUUUAUGUGCCAAAAAUAAAGGAGAAAUUGAAGAGAAAGGGUGCUUGCAGAAGUGGGUGCAAAGAUAAAUCAGUCCAUAAGAAUUAUUGUGGUUAUUAAGUUUUUGGCAAUAUAAAAAUUUUUCAGCAAAUAAAAAUUGAUUUUUUCCGAUUUACUAAAAAAUUAAUUAAAAACUUCGGUGAUAGCAUUUUUUAUGGGUGCAUGUACCCUCCCUUUAAAAAAAAUAUAAUAAUUAAUACUUAAUAUAGUAUUAAAUACGAAAAUAUCAAUAUUUGACUACACAAAUUUAUAUCAUUAGGUCCUUAAAAUUUAAAAUUGAAGACACAAAAUGAAAUAUAUAUAAAUUUCAUUCUCACAGGAAAGGAUCCUCUUAUAAUCUUAAAAUAUUUGAGCUUUGAAAGAUUUUUUAAAACAAAUGUACUUUUAUUUUUGUACAAUCAAUAUUUACUUAUUUAUUAUAUUUUUAUUCAUUAACUAUCAAUCAUGUGAGUAUAUUUACUCAGAAAUAUCAUAUCAAGGAAGAAUCUUGAUCCCACGCACACACAAAUAUGUUAAUUUCUAUACGCUUCACUUACCUGUAGAAUCAAUUAUCUAAAAUGCAAGUUUGUGGCCACAAAAAAAGCCAAAGAAAGAAGAUAAUAACAAUUGACUUGUAUAUUAUACUCAUACAAUCCACUCGACAUAAUGAUAUCAUUUUAAUAAGGCAAUGGCUGAUGAUCUCCAUUGAAAAACCAAUUCAAUUUUUUUGCUUCAUUUAACUUUUUGGUUGUUGAAAAUAACCUUAAUUAUCAAAUAAUUGGAGAAAGAGUAAAGAACAUUUAACAAAUUUAUGUGCAAAAAAAAAAAAAAAAAAAGGAGAAGUUGAAGGGAAAGGGUGCUUGCAGAAGUGGGUGUCAAAGAAAAAUCUGUCCAUAAGAAUUAUUGCGGUUAUUUUUUGGCAAUAUAAAAUUUUUAUAGCAAGUAAAAAUUAAUUUUUUCCAAUUUACUAAAAAAUUAACUAAAAACUUCUGCGACAACAUUUUUUAUGGGUGCAUAUACCCGCCCUUUAAAAAAAAAAAUAAUUAAUGCUUAAGUUAGUAUUAAAUACGAAAAUAUCAAUAUUUGACUACUCAAAUUUAUAUCAUUAGGUCCUUAAAAUUUAAAAUUGAAGAUACUAAAGGAAAUAUAUAUAAAUUUCAUUCUCAUGGAAAGGAUUCUCUUAUAAUCUUAUAAUAUUUGAGUUUUGAAAUUUUUUUGAAACAAAUGUAAUUUUAUUUGUGUACAAUCAAUAUUUACUUAUUUAUUAUAUUUUAAUUUAUUAACUAUCAAUCAUGUAAGUAUAUUUAGUCAGAAAAAUUAUAUCGAGAGAGAAUCCUAAUUUCACGCAAACACAAAUACAAGACAAAUAUGUUAAUUUCUAUACUAUUCACUUUCCUGUAGAAUCAAUUAUCUAAAAUGCAAGUUUGUGGCUAUAGAAAACUCGCCAAAGAAAGAAGAUAAUAACAAUUGAGCAUUGAUAGCAAAACUAAUGCAUCAUUUUCUUCUUGACUUGAUGAGAUGGUGCCAUUACAAAACAAUAAUUACCUUAAUUGACGGGCACUGAGUGAUGUGAAUACUACCAGCCAGUUCAUCUCUUCCAGUCUUGCUUAAUCACAAUCACAAACACCACGAGAUUGACAUUUGCAUUAUAUAUAUCUUCAGCAAUCGAAACACCUUGCAUUACCAAAUUAACCGGUAACAAACAAAGCAACCUUUCAUGGAGAGAAACUUUAGUCUCAGUAUGAUCACUGUGUCAUUAACCCACUUCCUGCUUCUUUGCUUGGUUGUUGCAGCAGCAGCAGCAGCAGCAAGCAACAAUAUUACCACAGACCAACAAGCUCUUCUUGCCCUGAAAGAUCAUAUAACUUAUGAUCCAACCAAACUUUUUGCCCAUAAUUGGACCUCGAAUACCUCUGUUUGCACCUGGAUUGGCCUCAGUUGUGAUGUCAAUAGCCAUAGAGUCACAGCCUUAGAUAUUUCUCAAUUCAAUAUACAAGGCACCAUCCCUCCUCAACUUGGAAACCUCUCUUCACUCACAACACUUAAUCUUAGUCGUAAUAAGCUUUCUGGAAGCAUUCCCCCCUCCAUCUACACCAUGCAUACGCUAAAAUUUCUAGACUUCACUGAUAACCUGCUCUCUGGUUCAGUGUCUUCCUCCGUCUUCAACAUGUCUUCAAUAUUAGACAUUCGUUUGACCAAUAACAGACUUUCUGGUGAGCUUCCGAAAAAUAUUUGCAACUAUCUUCCUUACUUGAAAGCCCUUUUUCUGGACAAAAACAAGUUGCAUGGCAAAAUUCCUUCAGCUUUAUCAAAUUGCAAACAACUGCAACAAUUGCAUUUGCAGUUCAAUAAUUUAUCCGGUGCAAUACCGAAAGAAAUCGGCAACUUGACUAUGCUCAAAUGGAUAGAUCUCGGCUACAACAAACUCCACGGUAUGUUUCAUAAUGCUAUCUAAAUAUUUUAAUUUAUCACUUGUUUAUUUUAAUUUCUCACUUGUUAUUUUUCUUGAAUACUUUAGAUAAGAUCUAGUAAGUGAGAUUUUUUGCAUCUAUGUUAAUUUACCAGGUGAGAUACCCCCCGAAAUCGCUAAUCUUCGAAAUCUAGAGGCUUUGGUGCUUGGAAUGAACAACCUAGUGGGUGUGUUACCAGCUACAAUCUUCAACAUGUCAACACUGAAGGUAGUUAUCCUCAUUAAUAACUCUCUCUUCGGAAGUCUCCCAUCAAGAAUAGACCUUUCACUUCCAACUAUUGAGCACCUUAACUUGGCACUUAAUAGAUUUUCUGGAACCAUUCCUAGUUCCAUCACCAAUGCUUCUAAGCUCACCUUUCUAGAGUUGGGAGGAAACACAUUUUCGGGCUUUAUUCCGAACACAAUUGGUAAUUUAAGAAACCUUGAGUGGCUCAGCUUGGGUAAUAACUACUUGACAUCUUCAACCUCAAAAUUGAGCUUUCUUUCCUCUUUGGCAAAUUGCAAGAAAUUAAGAGACAUAGGCUUAACAGGCAAUCCACUCGACGGUAUCCUUCCAAGUUCAAUAGGUAAUCUUUCCAUGUCUUUGAAAACACUUUACAUCGGCAAUUGCAGUAUUAGUGGCAACAUUCCUCAAUCAAUUGGCAAUUUAAGCAACUUAUUGGCCUUAGUAUUAGAAGGCAAUAAAUUGACCGGACCAAUCCCAACUACAUUCGGCCAACUGCAGAAACUCCAAGGCUUAUUUCUUACAUUCAAUAAGUUGGUAGGUUCAUUCCCAGAUGAGCUUUUCCAUCUAGCUAGGCUGGAUAAAUUGGUAUUAUUGGGAAAUAAGCUUUCAGGAUCUAUGCCUUCAUGCUUAAGUAACCUCACUUCUCUGAGAUCUCUCUACUUAGGGUCCAAUAGGUUUACUUCUGUUAUUCCCUCAACUUUCUGGAGCCUAAAAGACAUCUUGUUCUUUGACUUUUCAUCAAAUUUCUUGGUUGGUACUCUUUCUUUCGACAUAGGUAAUUUGAAGGUGCUUCUAGGAAUAAGUUUAUCAGAAAAUAACUUAUCGGGUGAUAUGCCAGCCACAAUUGGAGGGAUAAAAAAACCUUCAAAUUAUGGACCUAGCAUAUAAUAGAUUGGAAGGGCAAAUUCCUGAAUCAUUUGGUGACUUGACAAGUUUGGAGGUUUUGAAUUUGUCAAAUAAUAAAAUCUCUGGGUCUAUUCCAAAAUCCAUGGAGAAACUCUUUUACCUCCGAGAGUUAAAUCUCUCUUUCAAUGAACUAGAAGGUGAGAUUCCUAGUGGAGGAAUUUUUGCCAACUUCACAGCUGAGUCAUUUAUGGGAAAUGAGUUAUUGUGUGGUUUACCAAAUCUUCAAGUCCAACCAUGCAAAGUUAGCAAGCCGAGGACAGAACAUAAAUCAAGGAAAAAGAUACUUCUCAUUGUGAUUGUUUUGCCAUUGAGUAUUGCUCUAACAAUAGCAAUCACUCUACCUCUCAAAUCUAAGCUGAUCGAAUGUGGAAAAAGAAGCACAGUGUUGUCAAAUGAUAGUGUCUUGUCAUCACAAGCAACACUAAGAAGAUUUUCAUACUUAGAACUUUUACAAGCAACAGAUAAUUUUGCUGAAAACAACGUAAUUGGCAUAGGAGGUUUUGGUUCUGUUUACGGUGGAAGACUUGAAGAUGGGAUGAAGAUUGCAAUAAAAGUGUUUCACCAGCAAUGUGCAAGCGCAUUGAAGAGUUUUGAGGCUGAAUGUGAAGUGUUAAAAAAUAUUCGCCAUCGAAACCUUAUUAAAGUUAUCAGCAGUUAUUCAAACAAUGACUUCAAAGCAUUAGUUCUAGAAUACAUGUCCAACGGGAGCUUAGGGGACUGGCUGCAUUCUAGCAAUUAUGUGCUGAAUAUAUUUCAGAGGUUGAACAUAAUGAUUGAUGUUGCAUCAGCUUUAGAACAUCUCCACUUCGAUCAUUCGACUCCUAUUAUUCAUUGUGACUUAAAGCCUAGUAAUGUAUUGUUGGACGGAAAUAUGGUUGCUCAUUUGAGUGAUUUUGGCAUAGCAAAGCUUUUAAGUGGAGAGGAUGAGUCUAUGAUGCGAACAAAAACCCUUGCCACUAUAGGUUAUAUGGCACCAGGUUUGCUUCAAACAACUUUUUUUUUUUAGUUCAUUUUAAAUUUUGCAACUUAUUGAUUUUUACGAUCCUCACAUCAAAAUGUUAUUGAUUAUUUAUCUAAUUUUGAAAUUAAUUUGAUUCAUAGAGUACGGCAUAGAAGGAGAAGUAUCUACAAAAAGUGAUGUUUACAGCUAUGGGAUUAUGUUGAUGGAAACUUUUACCAAGAAAAAACCCACAGAUGAAAUUUUUGUUGGAGAAUUGAGCUUGAAGCGUUGGGUUAAUGACUUGCUUCCUACUUCAUUAGUGGAAGUUGUGGACAAAACUCUGCUAAGUGGAGAGGAAAAACAUUCUGCAGCAAAGGAGCAAUGUCUGUUGUCUAUCUUUAGUUUGGCUCUGGAGUGUACAAUGGAAUCACCGGAAAAGAGGAUUAAUGCAAAAGAUAUUGUUACAAGAUUACUCAAGAUAAGAGACACAUUGAGUAAAAGGAUAGGAAAUUUAAGUUAAUUUCGUUUGCUUUCAUUGAUAGUUAAUUCGAAUUCAUGUAAUAAGUCUAAGAAUCUUAUAUCUUCAAAUUCGCAUUUUAAAAUGCACAAAUGUUUGUGUAUACAUAAUUAGUAAUCGAUUCUCAAGCUUUGGACAUUUAAAAGCACUGCUAAAAGACAAAAUUUUAAUUCACUAUUUUUUUGUCUUUUAAUUUUCUUUAAGUUUUAAUGAUUCCGCAUUUUAAAAUCCUGUGGAACGUGCAUGUAAAAUUCUUUUAUCUUUUAGAGGAAAAUGGGCAAGAGAAGAAGAUUUGGCAAAGGAAUUGCAACCGCAUUUGGAGCUAGUUUUAAUUUUGUCUUUUAAUUCUUUUACACUUGGCUUUUGUUAUUGAUGUUAACUUCGAUGUGUGUGCGUGUGCGACUGAAUUCAACUUACAUGCUAUUGAUGCAGCCACCAAAAAGGGGUGGUCCAUCAUCAAUCAACAAGGUUUAUUAUUAUUAAUUUCCAUAUUGAUUUUCUUAAUUAUAAAUAAUACUAAUGCUAUUUCAUAGUUAUAAAUAUAUUAGAAUUAAUCGAAAUCAUUUUUUAGUGUGGCAUGGCUAAAACUACCUUUUUUUUAUUAUAAGUAAUUACUACUUUCACAUUAAGAAAAAUACUCCUAUUUUUAAGGAAAAGUCAAGUACCUGUAGUUGUGAAGACUCGAGCUCACUCCCUUAUGAUAAAUCUUCAUAUUAAUUACGUAAAUAUCCUCUAAAAUUUUAAAUUAGCUAUUCAAAAUUUGAUGUUAUACGGGUAUUUCAUUUAUUUGAGUAGGGGUUAGGGGUCAAUUGGAUACAAAUUCAAAAUUAUCCUUACUUGAGAAGGUGAUAAAAAUUGGGGAUUUAGUUUGGAUGUCAUUAGCUACAAAUAUUAAACUCAUACAUUUAAUUCAAAAUUAGAGGGCUGAUAUAUGCGCAUCAUCGUCCACGUUAUAGUGACACUGCGUCACCAUUCCACAACCUCUCCAAUGAAAAAUUGACAUGCUUCUUGUGCGCAUCUAAUCAGAAUCUUGAAAAUUAAUCACAAAAUUGUACUUUUAUUAUAAAAAGAAUAAAGAAACUCCAAGAAAAAAAAAAGACUUACAUAAAUAGAUUGAAAAAUCUAGAUUUCAAGUUGUCUAUAUUAGCUUGAUAUUUUUAUUAAUAGUCAUCCUCCCAAAAAAAUUCCAUCAAAAUAUAUUUUAAUUUUAUGUUAAUUCAUAAACUUGAAAAAAUCAUUUUAGAAUUAAUUAAAACAUAAUUUAUUGUUGCUCAAAAAAGGUAGAACUUAGUUAUCAGAAAAAAGUGUCUAAAAUAUAUGUUAAAAAAAAAUCAUGGUUGGUUGGACUGAUUGAAUUUUUUUUUCUUUUUUAAGAAUUAAGACAAUUGGAUGGAUUGAGUAAUAAUAAUACAUAUUUAUUUGGCAAAUGGCAGGGAGGCUUUCGUCUGAUGCAGAUUGAUUAGAGAGAAAAUAUAACAAUUUUAAGCUCGUCAGAUUCGAAGCUGCUUACCUGUCGUGUGGGGAUCACUUCCGUGUCUUAUUUUUCUAGAAAAAUCUGGACCAUUGGAUUUACCAUUAGUCAAUAGAGAAAUGUUGAUCUUGAUUCUUGAUCAAGAUCGAAGUUUGAUUCUAACUAACACGAUAUCAGAUUGCGAAGCAAGCAAAUUGAAAGUCACUUGUUCUAUGGAAGAAACACAAGUUCUAAUAAAACAUUCUCAUAGUAAAGUGAAUUACCAUCCAACGAUCCAACUCAUGUUUUCAAAUUGUAAAUUGCAAAUCGUGUGUUUGCUCCAUUACAGAGUUUCUUCAAUCUGAAAUAGCGAAUCAUUUGUGUUCUAGAUUAAUCGUGGGUCUAUAUCCAAAUCUAAAAAUUGACUAACUUGAUUUCUAUUAAAUUCUUAAUCCUAACAAGAAAAAUUGAAGAUUAAAAACGACUAAUUUGGUACCAUACCACUAUUGUAACAUAGGUAGAUCCUCUAUUAAUUGGAGUAAAGAUUGAAUUAUCUCAUUUAUUAAGGUUUAUCAAAAUCUUGUGUCAAAAUCUAUUAAUGAUAUAGGUUCAAGGAUGAAAAAGUCACUGCAUUACUUUUGAGUUCCCAAAUAGAUGAAUGGAUGUUAUUUUUAGAUUCCGGAGAGUCGAAAAUAUUAAGAUAGGUGCUAAAUCGAAUUAAGUUGUAGAUACGAUAGAAAUGGAUUUGGAGAGAUUGGAAUCCUAGGUAAUCCGGUGCACGUUGUCGUGUUAAAUUCUCGUUGACUUCACGUUGACUGAAGCAUUAUUGGAAGAAACAAGUUUAUUGAUGUGAGGCCUUUGAGGUUGUAAGUGUUAAAUAUGAGAAGAAUACCCACACACCCAUUAUCCUAUUACUCUUAUAUCACAUGAAGAGAAUUCAACAUUUGAUUCACACGGAAAAAAUUUGUGAGGAUUGUGAGGGUUGAUGGAAUAUAAUUUAGAUACAAAGUGUUUUACCAGUGCGAUGCUUCGCAAGUGUUCUUGAAUCAAUAUAAACUCACGUUAUUUUCAUAGUGAUUGUUUCAUGUGCACGUGGAUAUAAUCACAUGUCGAGAUUUUUUUCCUUAAAUUAUGGUCUUAUUUAGUAUUAAGGUGUUAUAUCUUUUAAGGUACAAUUAUUGUUGGAAAAAAGUUGCAUCUAUCAAAUAAAAUUAGUACUAUGUGCUAAAUAUAAUUGUUAAAUAAUAAUUUUGACAAAAUUAGUGAAGUUAUAUAGAUUUUUUUUCAUCAUACAAGCAUAAAAUCAAAUCAACUUAACUUCUAAGUUAUAUAUCGGCUACUUAGGGAUGGCAAUGGAUUGGAUCUGACCCAAGAUCCACGUGAUCCAAAUCUAAUCGGAUCGGAUUUGGGUCAGUUUAAAAUGAAUUUGGAUCGGAUUUGGAUAUUGAUGUGCGGAUCUAAGACGGAUCUGGAGCAGGUCUGGAUCUAUCUUAGUAUCUAAAUCCAUAUCCAUAUCCACCCAUCUUUUAAUUUAAUUUUAUUUUAAAAGUUUCUUAACAAUUGUGGAAUUAUAAUGAUAAUGAAUUUUAUUCAUAGCAUAUUAGUGGUAUUUACCAUGCAUUUAAACUCUUUAAAAUUAAAGGUUAGUUUUGUAAAUUUAAAGACUAGCCAGGCCCAAAGCAUGUACAUGCAAUAUUCAAAUUGCAAGCCAAGUAAUACAACCUGGCAAUUUAUUUUAUUAUAUUGGCCAAAUAAUUUUUAAGGAAUAUAGGUAUUCAUAUAUUUUGUCAAAUAUGGUCAUAAUAAAAAUAAUAAAGGACUGAAUAUAAAUCAUAUUUUAUUUAUAUGUCAUUAUCUAAUAUUAUAAGAAUGAGGGUGGGUGUGUUGUAGAUAUUAGAAUGAUGAAUGAGACAAUAGAAUAUUAGAUUGAUCUUACUCCUGCAAUUACUUUUAAAGGAUAUUUUAUUAUCUUAUUUGUUGUUUUGGUGUAAAAGUAUAAGUUACAAUAUUUAUUAUAUUUUUGAGAAAAAUUAUAUAAUUUAUUUGUUAUCAAUACAUUUUAACCUUCAAUUUUCAUUCUAAAAAAUUAUUACUUUUUAAUUGAUGAGUUUUAGAAUUCAUGACAGAUCUAGAGCAGAUUUGGAUUUUAAUUUUUUUUUUCAGAUUUGGAGCAGAUAUAAAUAUUUAUUUCUUUUAUGGAUAUGGAUAUGGAGCGAAAAAUAUAGAUUCAUGAUGGAUCUGGAGCAGAUACGGAUCUUGAUUUUUAUUAUGGAUUUGGAUCUGGAGCAGAGUAGAUCCAACCCAUAUCUGCCCCAUUGCCAUCCCUACGGCUACUGUUAAUCAUAUGUUUUAGUUCUGUAACUUUUAAGUUAUAGUUACCCAAUCUCAAUUCUAAACCAGACCUAUAAAGAUCAAAGAUUUCCUCAUUAAAUUAUAUGUCUUGUGAUUGCUUAUUUAAUUUAUAUUUUUUUUUAUUUAUCUUUAUUAAUUAUAAUCAUCUUUUUAUAAAUUAAAAUUGAAGGAAGUUGAUUGAUGUUGUUGACACACGCACACACGCACACACUCACAAAGAUAUAUUGGAAGUGCUUACGUCGACUCGAAGUUGUUGGGAAUUAAUGCAUGUAUUGAUUUAUUGGGAGUGUUUAAAUGAUUUUUUGAUUUACUUGAUUUAUUGAUUGAAUAUUGUUUGAUUGCUUCAUAUCCAUUCUAGAAAGUUUAUUUCUUUGUGAAAUUUCAACGAAAUAUGUUUUUUUUUUUAAAUAAGGGUGUUCUAAAUAAUUUAAAAAUAUAUAUGGACUAAUUAGAAUUAAUUAUUAGGUAAUUAACUCAAUCUGUAUAGGGUGAAACAACAUUUAUCCUAAUUAUAUCAUGAUAAAUACUUUUCCUAUUAGAAUUAGGAAAUCAUAGGUUUAUUGAAUUGUUUUUUUUUUUCCUUUGCGGAAACGGAUUAGAGAAUUAGAAAACAAUCAUGUUGAUGUCAAAAUCUGAUCUAGUCGGUUAGCGACUUAAUAUCAUAUUACUGCACCAACAUUAAAUUUAUUGGGUGGAGAAUCGACUGGUCAAUUGUCAAGAUGUCCUGCAAUCACUAGCGAUUAACCUACGAAUACCUAAAAUCACAGAAGACGGUAAGAGGCACCGGAAGUUUUUUCGGCGUGAACCUUCCGACGCUCAAGUCAGUUUAUAGGUUUACCAUAAUAAAAAUAAAUAAUUUCUAUUUAAAAAAAAAUAGAGUUCAAAAGCUCAAAAAUAAAACCCAAUCCCAAUAUGAAAAUGAAUUUUUUUUUUUUUUUUUCUAGCUUGGCCGAAUCCUUCUGCCUCCUAAAGAAACAUAACAGAGAAGCAGGUAGCCAUGUUCCCUAGGUAACGCCCCACUCCCCUCUUUUAUUCCUCCCCCUCUCUUCCGUUUCCUUCUUUUGCUCACUAUCCUUCAUAAUUUUUUAUGCUUGUCUUCCCAAAAUAGCCUUUUAAUACACAAGUAAAUGUCUAGGCUUUGGUGAGGAUAGUUUGGUCAUUGCAUUUUACAAGUAAGAUGAGUGGUGGAGAAAAAUGAGGAGUGCACAUAUAACGCUUCAGCAAAUCCCACCAGCAAUUCCAUUUUCUUAAUUAAUUAAUCUCUUCAGCAAAUCCCACCAACUCUUCAGCAAAUCCUAAUGAUAUUAUUAUCAGGUUUAAAACAGUACACAAAUAGUGAAAAGCUAACUAGUCUGUAGAGUAAUUUGCUAAUUGCUAUCUCCUCUCUCCGCGCGCUGAAUAAUUUGUUGCAUGCAAACUUUUUAUUUUAUGCAAAUCGUACGUACUGUAACAUUGGAAUUGAUGUAAAAGCAAAAAUACAAGAAUAUUUAUGUCAAUAAAAAUAGUUUUUUUGGCCUUUUUAAAUAAACACAACGCGAUAUUGCUCUGCUCUACAUUUUUGCUAUCUCUUUAUUCUUCUUUUUUUUUUUGGGCUUCUUAAAGCCUCAAACUUUGAUAACCAAAACUUCAUCGACCUAUGAAAAAAUCUGCAGAUUAGUUUUUAUUAUCGGAAUAAUCAUUUGAGAAUACUAAAACAAAAUAUAAAUAAGAAAAUAGGAGGUUAAAUUAGAGGGGGGAAAAAAGGUAUGUUGGAUAGAUUACUAUAGUUUAAGAAAAAAAAAUCCAAUUGGGAAUUUUUUUCUUUAAUUUUUGUUUUACUUGAUUGAGAUUUCUCCUUGGUCCUUACAGUUUUAAGUUUGGAUGCCGUAGGGUUAGUAAUUUAGUACUUCCUUUGCAAGCUGAGUGCAAGAAUGAAAAUCUUUAAAGAAAUAAAAAAAAAAAAAAAAAGCAUACCAAUAGGUAAUUAUAAAUAACCAUACAUAAACAUAAACAAAAUGAGGUAAUUAUUAAUAUUAUUUUUUGUUUUAUUUCUUACUUGUCUAUUUUAUUUGCUGCUUGAUAACCCGUAAAUACUAAUCUAGUACUGCUAAUUUCAGACACAAAAUUUUUAACUCUAGGCUGCAGUUUUACUCAAAAUGAUGACCACUGGCUUCGCACCAUUUAACCGGCAUACAUUUCUACAAAUUGAACAAGGCUAUUGAUUUUCAUUAUUAUUUUUUAUUUUUUUAUAAAUUACUAUUUUAAUUUUCACUUUUCAUUGGGUUGUUUAACGGAUUAGUGAAGUUGGUGGUCGUGAUGCACUCACAAGGUACAAUUUUAUUUUAUAAUUUCAAAUUUGUAUUUUAAAAUGCAGGUACAUUAUGUAUACAUAAUUAUUGAUUUUCGUAUGUGGGUGUUUUGAAAUAUUGCUAAAAGACCAAACUUUAAUAAACUAUUUUUCAUCUUUUUUUUUUCCUAAAGUUUAAGUGAUAUCCGCAUUUUAAAUUCAUGUGGAACAAAAGCUAAUGUAUGCACAAAAUCCUUUUAUUUUUUCCGAGAAAAAUGGUUAAGAGAAGAAGAUUUUUCUCUUGAAAAAGAAAAACUAAUACGAUGCAAGCAUAGGAAAGAGGUCAGUGUUUUGGAUUAGAAUUUAGUAUUGAGCUGAAUUUUAUACUAAACUCUUUUAUAGUACUGCGAUUAAUAAACUCAUGAUUUGCUUUUGCUUUUACCUCAAGUGAAAGAAAGAGGAAACCUUUUGUUUUUUGUUUGAUUCUUGACUAUAGGUGUUACCUAUAUAGAGAGUUGAGGUAGCUGCCUUAAGUGAUGGUGAUAAAAAGAUUAAGCAGCGCACACAAUCUUACUGUCGUCCAGACCAUCCAGCUGUGAUGACUCUUGUUUUUUGGUUACAUUAGCUUUAGUGGAACGGAGGGCCAAUUUAACAAAGACUAGAUUUGGUGGCUUACUAUAAUGCUUAUUCUCAGGGAAUCUAAUGUUAUAAGAUGAUUUAAUGAUCUUCUAUGAUUGUGAGUAGUAUAGUAUAAUUGAAAAGAGCUUGGGCUCCUAUGAUGAAUAUUUAAUAGUAACACAGUACUGUUAUUGAAAAAAACACAGUUACAAUAAACUCUUCAUUUAUUCAUUGUGGAGAUUGAAUGGCAAACAGAGAAUAAAAUGAAGCAGAGGAAUCUCAUUGCCAGUAAAAUUGACCCUCUUUAAUGUUAUAUGGCACAGGUGUGUGUACAGCAAGAUCAAGUUACUUGCAGUUUUUAUUGUAAAAUAUAUAGGUUAUGACCAUGAUCAUUGUAGUUAGGUUUUGAUGAUUUUAGAUGCUUUUUUUAUUUUUUUUAAAAUUGUGACACCUUUGAUUUAUGGUAGUUUUGCAGAAGAAAAAAAUAUAUAUAAAAAUUAGGAGGGAUGAGUUAACUAACGAUUGCAAUCAUUACAGUAAUGUUGAUGAGUGAUACAUCAUUUGAAAUUUACUUGUCAGUUGCUGAAAUGAUGAAAAAAAACAGUAAACAAUAGCAGUAAUAUUUUUUGGCAAUAUAAAAAAUUAUUGCGGUUAUUUUUUGGCAAUAUAAAAAAAUUUUAGCAAAUAAAAAUUAAUUUUUUUCCGAUUAACUAAAAAAUUAAUUAAAAACUUCUGCGAUGGCAUUUUUUAUGGGUGCAUAUACCCUCCCUUUAAAAGAAAAAAUAAUAAUUAAUACUUAAUAUAGUAUUAAAUACGAAAAUAUCAAUAUUUGACUACACAAAUUUAAUAGUCUUGUGUAAUUAGUGAGUGAGAGAUUGGGUGUAUUGGAGUUUUGGGUAGUGAGCCAAAAUAUUACAAUACUUGUAAUCUUUAUUUCACUAGUGAAAUAUUUUCCUUCUGUUUUUGCCCGUGGACGUAGGCUAAAAGCCGAACCACGUAAUUUCUGGUGUCCUCUAUUGUACUUGUUCUUUAUUUGCUUCCAAUUUUAUUUUAACUGCGCGUCUGCUUCACCCAUCAAUUUCCUAACAAAUCUUGAUCCCAUGCACACGCAAAUAUGUUAAUUUCUAUACGCUUCACUUACCUGUAGAAUCAAUUAUCUAAAAUGCAAGUUUGUGGCCACAAAAAAAGCCAAAGAAAGAAGAUAAUAACAAUUGACUUGUAUAUUAUACUCAUACAAUCCACUCGACAUAAUGAUAUCAUUUUAAUAAGGCAAUGGCUGAUGAUCUCCAUUGAAAAACUAAUUCAAUUUUUUUGCUUCAUUUAACUUUUUGGUUGUUGAAAAUAACCUUAAUUAUCAAAUAAUUGGAGAAAGAGUAAAGAACAUUUAACAAAUUUAUGUGCAAAAAAAAAAAAAAAGAAGUUGAAGAGAAAGGGUGCUUGCAGAAGUGGGUGUCAAAGAAACAUCGGUCCAUAAGAAUUAUUGCGGUUAUUUUUUGGCAAUAUAAAAUAUUUAUAGCAAGUAAAAAUUAAAUUUUUUCCGAUUUACUAAAAAAUUAACUAAAAACUUCUGCCACAACAUUUUUUAUGGGUACAUAUACCCUCCCUUUAAAAAAAAAAUAAUAAUUAAUGCUUAAUAUAGUAUUAAAUACCAAAAUAUCAAUAUUUGGCUACUCAAAUUUAUAUCAUUAGGUCCUUAAAAUUAAAAAUUGAUGAUACAAAAGGAAAUAUAUAUAAAUUUCAUUCUCAUGGAAAGGAUUCUCUUAUAAUCUUAUAAUAUUUGAGUUUUGAAAUUUUUUGAAGCAAAUGUAAUUUUAUUUGUGUACAAUCAAUAUUUACUUAUUUAUUAUAUUUUAAUUUGUUAACUAUCAAUCAUUUAAGUAUAUUUAGUCAGAAAAAUUAUAUCAAGAGAGAAUCCUAAUUUCACGCAAACACAAAUACAAGAUAAAUAUGUCAAUUUCUAUACUAUCCACUUUCCUGUAGAAUCAAUUAUCUAAAAUGCAAGUUUGUGGCUACCGAAAACUCGCCAAAGAAAGAAGAUAAUAACAAUUGAGCAUUGAUAGCAAAACUAAUGCAUCAUUUUCUUCUUGACUUGAUGAGAUGGUGCCAUUACAAAAAAAAAAGUACCUUAAUUGACGGGCACUGAGUGAUGUGAAUACUACCAGCCAGUUCAUCUCUUCCAGUCUUGCUUAAUCACAAUCACAAACACCACGAGAUUGACAUUUGCAUUAUAUAUAUCUUCAGCAAUCGAAACACCUUGCAUUACCAAAUUAACCGGUAACAAACAAAGCAAUCUUUCAUGGAGAGAAACUUUAGUCUCAGUAUGAUCACUUUGUCAUUAACCCACUACCUGCUUCUUUGCUUGGUUGUUGCAGCAGCAGCAGCCGCAAGCAACAAUAUUACCACAGACCAACAAGCUCUUCUUGCCCUGAAAGAUCAUAUAACUUAUGAUCCAACCAACCUUUUUGCCCAUAAUUGGACCUCGAAUACCUCUGUUUGUACCUGGAUUGGCAUCACUUGUGAUGUCAAUAGCCAUAGAGUCACAGCCUUAGAUAUUUCUCAAUUCAAUCUACAAGGCACCAUCCCUCCUCAACUUGGAAACCUUUCUUCACUUACAACGCUUAAUCUUAGUCAUAACAAGCUUUCUGGAGACGUUCCAUCCUCCAUCUACACCAUGCAUUCGCUAAAAUUUCUUGACUUCACUGAUAACCAGCUCUCUGGUUCAGUGUCUUCCUUCGUCUUCAACAUGUCUUCAAUAUUAGAAAUUCUUUUGACCAAUAACAGAUUUUCUGGUGAGCUUCCGAAAAAUAUUUGCAACUAUCUUCCUUAUUUGAAAGCCCUUUUCUUAAACAAAAACAUGUUUCAUGGCAAAAUUCCUUCUGCUUUAUCAAAGUGCAAACAACUGCAAAAAUUAAAUUUGCAGUUCAAUAAUUUAUCCGGUGCAAUACCGAAAGAAAUCGGCAACUUGACUAUGCUCAAAGGCAUAUAUCUCGAAUACAACAAACUCCACGGUAUGUUCAUAAUACUAUGUAAAUGUUUUAAUUUCUCAAUUGUUAUUUUCUUGAAUACUUUAGACAAGAUCUUGUAAGGGAGAUAUUUUUGGAUCUGUGUUAAUUUGCCAGGUGAGAUACCCCACGAAAUCGCUAAUCUUCGAAAUCUAGAGGAUUUAUUGCUUGGAAUGAACAACCUAGUUGGUGUGUUACCAGCUCCAAUCUUCAACAUGUCAACACUGAAAUUAUUUGACCUCAUAAAUAACUCUCUCUCCGGAAGUCUUCCAUCAAGAAUAGACCUUUCACUUCCAACUGUUGAGUUUUUUGGCUUGGCACUUAAUAGAUUUUCUGGAACCAUUCCUAGUUCCAUCACCAAUGCUUCUAAGCUCACCGUUCUAGCGUUGGGAGAGAACACAUUUUCGGGCUUCAUUCCAAACACAAUUGGUAAUUUAAGAAACCUUGAGUGGCUCAGCUUGGAGAAUAAUUACUUGAAAUCUUCAACCUCAAAAUUGAGCUUUCUUUCCUCUUUGGCAAAUUGCAAGAAAUUAAGAUUCUUAAACUUAGCAGGCAAUCCACUUGACGGCUUCCUUCCAAGUUCAAUAGGUAAUCUUUCUGUGUCUUUGGAAACACUUUUCAUCGGCAAUUGCAGUAUUAGUGGCAACAUUCCUCAAGCAAUUAGCAAUUUAAGCAACUUGUUGACCUUAGUAUUAGAAGGCAAUAAAUUGACUGGACCAAUUCCAAUUACAUUUGGCCGACUACAGAAACUCCAAGGCUUAGAUCUUGCAUUCAAUAAGUUGGUAGGUUCAUUCCCAGAUGAGCUUUGCCAUCUAGCAAGGCUGGAUCAAUUGGUCUUAUUUGGCAAUAAGCUUUCAGGAUCUAUACCUUCAUGCCUAAGUAAUCUCACUUCUCUAAGAUCUCUCUACUUAGGGUCCAAUAGGUUAACUUCUGUUAUUCCCUCAACUUUCUGGAGCCUAAAAUACAUCUUGUUCUUUGACUUUUCAUCAAAUUUCUUGGUUGGUACUCUUUCUUUCGACAUAGGUAAUUUGAAGGUGCUUCUAGGAAUAAAUUUAUCAGAAAAUAACUUAUCGGGUGAUAUGCCAGCCACAAUUGGAGGACUGAAAGAUCUUCAAUUUAUGGACCUAGCAUUUAAUAGAUUGGAAGGCCCAAUUCCUGAAUCAUUUGGUGACUUGACAAGUUUGGAGGUUUUGAAUUUGUCAAAAAAUAAAAUCUCUGGGUCUAUUCCAACAUCCAUGGAGAAACUCAUUUACCUUCGAGAGUUAAAUCUCUCUUUCAAUAAACUUGAAGGUGAGAUUCCUAGUGGAGGAAUUUUUACCAACUUCACAGCUGAGUCAUUUAUGGGAAAUGAGUUAUUGUGUGGUUUACCAAAUCUUCAAGUCCAACCAUGCAAACUUAGCAAGCCUAGGACAGAACAUAAAUCAAGGAAAAAGAUACUUCUCAUUGUGAUUGUUUUGCCAUUGAGUAUUGCUCUAACGAUAGCAAUCACUCUAGCUCUCAAAUCUAAGCUGAUCGAAUGUAGAAAAAGAGGCACAGAGUUAUCAAAUGAUAGUAUCUUGUCAUCAGAAGCAACACUAAGAAGAUUUUUAUACUUAGAACUUUUACAAGCAACAGAUAAUUUUGCUGAAAACAACAUAAUUGGCAGAGGAGGUUUUGGUUCCGUUUAUGGAGCAAGACUUGAAGAUGGGAUGAAGAUUGCAAUAAAAGUGUUUCACCAGCAAUGUGCAAGCGCAUUGAAGAGUUUUGAGGCUGAAUGUGAAGUGUUAAAAAAUAUUCACCAUCGAAACCUUAUCAAAGUUAUCAGCAGUUGCUCGAACGAUGACUUCAAAGCAUUAGUCCUAGAAUACAUGUCCAACGGGAGCUUGGAGGAUUGGCUGCAUUCUAGCAAUUAUGUGCUGAAUAUAUUUCAGAGGUUGAACAUAAUGAUUGACGUUGCAUCAGCUUUAGAAUAUCUCCACUUCGAUCAUUCAACUGCUAUUAUUCAUUGUGACUUAAAGCCUAGUAAUGUAUUGUUGGACGAAAAUAUGGUUGCUCAUUUGAGUGAUUUUGGCAUAGCAAAGCUUUUAAGUGGAGAGGAUGAGUCUACGAUACGAACAAAAACCCUUGCCACUCUAGGUUAUAUGGCACCAGGUUUGCUUCAAACAACUUUCGUUUUUAGUUCAUUUUAAAUUUUCCAACUUAUUGAUUUUUACAAUCCUCACAUCAAAAUGUUAUUGAUUAUUUAUCUAAUUGUGAAAUUAAUUUGAUUCAUAGAGUAUGGCAUAGGAGGAGAAGUAUCUACAAAAAGUGAUGUUUAUAGCUAUGGGAUUAUGUUGAUGGAAACUUUUACCAAGAAAAAACCCACAGAUGAAAUUUUUGUUGGAGAAUUGAGCUUAAAGCGUUGGGUUAAUGACUUGCUUCCUAAUUCAUUAGUGGAAGUUGUGGACAAAACUCUGCUAAGUGGAGAGGAAAAACAUUCUGCAGCAAAGGAGCAAUGUCUGUUGUCUAUCUUUAGUUUGGCUCUGGAGUGUACAAUGGAAUCACCGGAAAAGAGGAUUAAUGCAAAAGAUAUUGUUACCGGAUUACUCAAGAUAAGAGACACAUUGAGUAAAAGGAUAGGAAAUUUAAGUUAAUUUCGUUUGCUUUCAUUGAUAGUUAAUUCGAAUUCAUGUAAUAAGUGUAAGAACCUUAUAUCUUUUACUUUGAUUUUUUUUUUCUUGAGAAAACUGUUGUAGUCAUCUUGUUUCCAUGGGCGGAGUUGAUUUAGUUCUUCCAAGAAAUGCUACUGAUGACAUUUGUUUUAUACUUUCUCUUUUUUUUUGCAUGUGUUUAGGUAGAAUAGUGGUUUGGUUGCACUCUAAGAAGUCUAACUACACUAAAAGAAUAUGAUUUAAUUUAUUAAACAAAACUUCAAGUUCAAGAAAAGUAUCUCAUUGCCCCCAAUGCUUUGGACACCUAUUGGUAGGUUUGUACGUGUCCUCAACUUUUUUUUGGAGCACAAAAUUCGAGUCCCAUAAAGGCUCAAACAUUCCUUUCCUUCAUCCCGAGGGCGCCUUCUGUCCUCUGUUUUCUGUUUCCACACACAAAUAGCAAAAAGAAAUUAGAAUGACAACUGGGACAUAUAUAAGAGUGAAAUAAUUAAAAAAAUUAUGCUUUUUUGUCUGUCGUGUUAAAAUCGUAAGUACCGAAGUACUGUGAAAGAGAUUAAUUUACAGAAACUGAAGCCAAGGGUUCAAAAAAAACUAUUGAUGUAGGUAGAAUGCAAUGUCAUAUUCAUACAGAGAUGAAGUAUAUUAUUUACGGCUGGUAAGGACUAAGAAUUGAUGUAGCUAGAAUGCAAAGAUGAUGAGGUAUGUUGUACACUAUUGUUUUUAUUCUACAAUCAAUCUUGACCCCUGAUGCUUGGCUCUCAAUCUUGUCCAUUGAUCUUCUCUGAUUUUGGAGACUUGAAGACCUUUCAGUAUCAUGCCUUGUUGUUGGUGUCUUCCGUGCUGUAGAAUUCAUAUACAAGUUUUCCCGCCGACUUGCCAAGUAUUUGUUCAUUGAUGCAUUUUAUCAAACAGUUGGCCUGCUCAGAGCAAACAGCUCCUGUUUUAACUCCCCCUCCGUAGCUCAACUAUCUGGGAAGACAAUUAAUUGAGCUUGUUUCACAAUUAUAUGAAUCUGAAAGUUCAAUUAUAUCCUCUAAUGGAGAGAACUCAUUGCCUCAGUAUGAUCACUGUGUCAUCAACCCACUCCCCGCUUCUUUGCUUGGUUGUUGCAGCAAGCAACAAUUUUACCACAGAUCAACAAUAGUUUGUCCAUUUGUUCCAGUGAGGUCGUCAUUAAAAAUUAAUUUUCAUAUUGAUUUUCUUAAUUAUAAAUAAUACUAAUGAUAUUUCAUAGUUAUAAAUAUAUUAGAAUUAAUCGAAAUCAUUUUUUAGUGCGGCAUGGCUAAAACUACCUUUUUUUUUUUUAAGUAAUUACUACUUCAAGGAAAAUACUCCUAUUUUCAAGGAAAAGUCAAGUACCCGUAGUUGUGAAGACUCGAGCUCACCCUCUUAUGAUAAAUCUUCUUAUCAAUUACAUAAAUAUCCUCUAAAUUUUUAGUUAACUAUUCAAAAUUCGAUGUUAUACGGGUAUUUCAUUUAUUUGAGUAGGGGUUCGGGGUCAAUUGGAUACAAAUUCAAAAUUAUCCUUACUUGAGAAGGUGAUAAAAAUUGGGGAUUUAGUUUGGAUGCAUUAGCUACAAAUAUUAAACUCAUACAUCUAAUUCAAAAUUAGAGGGCUGAUAUAUGUGCAUCCUCGUGCACAUUAUAGUGACACGUGUCACCAUCCUACAACCUAUCCAAUGAAAAAUUGACAUGCAUCUUGUGCGCUUCUGAUCAAAAUCCUGAAAAUUAAUCACAAAGUUAUACUUUUAUUAUAAAAAGAAUAAAGAAACUCCAAAAAAAAAAAAAGACUUACAUAUAUAAAUAGUUUGAAUAAUCUAGAUUCCAAGUUGUCUAUAUUAGCUUGAUCUUUUUAUAAAUAGUCAUCUUCGAAAAAAAAUUCCACCAACAUAUAUUUUAAUUUUAUGUUAAUUAAUAAAUAGAAAAAAAUCAUUUUAGAAUUAAUUAAAACAUUAUUUAUUGUUGCCAAAAAAAGGAAGAAUUUAGUGAUAAGAAAAAAGUGUCUCAAAUAUACGUUAAAAAAAUUAAUCAUGGUGGGUUCGAUUGAUUGAAUUUUUUUUUUUAAUCUUUUUCUUUUUUAAGAAUUAAGACAAUUGGAUUGAUUGAGUAAUAAUAAAAUAUAUUUAUUUGGCAAAUGGCAGGUAGGCUUUCUUCUGAUGCAGAUUGAUUAUAGAGAAUAUACAACAAUUUUAAGCUCGUCAGAUUCGGAACCUGCUUAUCUGUCGUGUGGGGAUCACUUCCGUGUCUUAUUUUUCUAGAAAAAUCUGGACCAUUAGGCAGUAGAGAAAUGUUGAUCUUGAUUCCUGAUCAGGAUCGAAGUUUGAUUCUAUCUAACAUGAUAUCAGAUUGCGAAGCAGGCUAGUAUGUAAAUUUCUUUUAUCUUUUAGAGGAAAAUGGGCAAGAGAAGAAGAUUUGGCAAAGGAAUUGCAACCGCAUUUCUAGUAUGUUCUGAUCAGAGAAGCGAAAUCCAUCACGGUCUUUUAUCUUUACCCAUGUGGAGAAAUCAAGGGAUUUCGAAUCAGAGAAGCGAUGGGAUUUAGUUCUGAUCUGGGAUUUUGGAGACUUAGGGAGUGUGCGGUCUUGGACCAACAUUGAUGACGAUGACGCUUCAAAUUCAAUGACUUGAAAGCAGAAAACAAAGACAGACAAAAACAGACAUGCACUACAGCAAGAAAGAUUGACUGAAUCUUGGGUUACUGUGUCUGUGGUCUCAAAUGAAACACAAGUGGGAAGCCUUGCUGCAGUUUCAGCUUUGGUUUGUGUUUGAAGUUUUGAAUGUAAAAAGAGAACCGAGCAUGUGGUUGCCGACAAGAAUGGCCUGAGGUUUCUUAAGCUUCAUUGUAAUGUUACAACUGCUACUAAUUUGGUGGGGUGGGAGGUCGCUGGGUCGCUGUCAGUCCAUUUGCUUCUUUUCUUUCUUUUUGUUAUUUGUUGAGUUUUUUCCAUUUCUACUUUUCUUAAUAUAUAAAUUAUCAUUUUUUUAACAUGCAAAAUAUAUAGAACAUUUUAUGAGUUUAUAAAUAAAAAUUAUAUUAUGGGAUAAUAGUGAAUGAGUUCCUGGUGCUUUGGAGUUCUUUAAAUUAAGGGCCCAGUUUGUCCAUUUGUUUUAGUUAGGUCCUUCUUAAAAAUUGAUUUUCUUAAUUAUAACUAAUACUAAUGAUAUUUCAUAGUUAUAAAUAUAUUAGAAUUAAUCCAAAAUAUUUUUUAGCGUGGCAUGGCUAAAACUACCUUUUUCUAUAAGUAAUCACUACUUUUGCAUUAAGGAAAAUAUUCCUAUUUAAAAAAAAAUUGAAUAUCUAUAGUUGUGAGGACUCGAACUCACUCGCUUAUGAUAAAUCUUUGUUGAUGCGAGAUUCUGGUUACCCACUCGACCACGUCCAGGAUCUCUGCUCAAUCAACUAACUCGACCACGAUCAGGAUCUCUCCUCGUAUGCUUUCUUCUUCAAAAAUUCCUGCGUACACAGAAACAAGUCAGAGCACGCCAGUUGUUUUCCCGGCGUAAACCCUCCGACGCUCAAGUCAGAUAUGAAGGUUUUGUGUUCCUGGGAACGUUAGCCACUAGUCUUAAGCUUUGCUUUUGGUAUCGAUUGCUGAAUGCUCUCUUUAUCUCAAUUUCCGUAUUAAAAGUUAACCCUUUUACCUUCGUUGGCUGCCUUUUUAUAGGCUCCACCUGAGUCCAGAUCCUCCCCUCCAUUCACGCCCGUUACCUUCCCACCUCUCGAAAGUGGAUGCUUUGUUUCCGUAAUCGUGGGUGAUUGCAUGGCCUUCGUGCCUCGAUUCUCAGGCUGGAGAGUACGUCUCGCCAACUGUCGUUGACUGGGUCUCCUCGCCUCAAACCUUAGCAGGAAUGGCUUUAUGCUUCUAACAAGAGACCGGCUUCGCGGAUGGCGUAUUCAUGGACGAGCAGAUAUUCCUGCUUAUGUUCCAAUGCUACCAGACCUCUGCUCAUCACGGCUGGUCUCGUCGAAGUACAUCCCCCAAACACCGGUCCCCCAGUUUCUGGUGUUGGGUAACAUAGUGAGCCAACAGUAGAAACUCGACAGUUCUUGCUCGCGCGAGAUAGGAAAAGACUGCCAAGAGUCGUGUCGCAUUUAAUGGCGGAUGAGGUGAUGUGGCAGAAAUCUACCCCUCCAUUUGAAUUUCAAACCGACGGUUACGAAACCCUAGGGAUUUGUGCCGUUAAAUGCCGGCAGCCCAAGAGUUUGUUCUUCAUUAGGAAAACCCAAAACCCCCAAAAGAGGAACUCGUCUUUUACUCCGUUUCUGUCUCUCCUGCGAAUGAGUCCUUCCUCUCCCUCGGCGUAAAAGCUUCCUUCCUUGUCUCUCUCCGACUAAGUCACAACUUCAGGUACUAUUUCUUUUUUCCUCGGUCGUGGAUAGUUGUAAACAAUUUCUUUUACAUUUUGCUUGGGUAGUGUUUGGUGGUGCAGUUCUGGUUAUAGUUUAGGGAAUGUCGAAAGGUAAGGAGAAAGUCAUUGAGAUUGAUGACGACGAGUUAGACUUCUUGCCUAGUCUGCUCGCCGAUUCUGCUUUCGACACCGGGAUCCCCUUAGAACCCGUUAGACCUAAUGUUGCGACUAGUGCUAGGAGGAUGUCCCCCCAAGUAACCUCCUCAACUGGAAAUAGCGACGACGAGGGUUCUUCUGGUUCGGAAGACACUUUGAGUGAAGAUCAGGGAAAUGAUUCUGGUGAGAUGUCCUCACCAGGAACAUCGUGACCAGAUAGGAGGGGCAUAGUAGGAGGUAGAGCUCUAUCACAGAAUUACACUAUUGAUUUUAUGACGUGCACGACCACAGUAGAUGAGCUAGUUAGUCUCCGGGCUAGAUACGGCAUCCCUGAUGAAAUUUCCCUUAGGAUCCCAGGAAAAAAAGAUACCCCCAGCCGGCCUCCUAGGGGAUAUAUUACUCUGUUUCUAGAGAGUUUUAAACUUGGGCUAAGGUACCCCAUACAACCCUACUUUGCCCGAAUACUCAAUGGGUUGAAUUUAGCUCCUGGUCAACUGAACCCCAAUGGGUGGUGAGUACUUUCUGGUCUGUUCAUAUUGUGAGACAGAUGUUGCCAAAGCGAGCCAACAAUUGACGAGGUGAAGCACCUGUACCAGCUAAAGAGCAGCCCCAAAGAUGUCGGCUGGUAUUACUUCCAGUCUAGUACCAAGACCAGGAAACCCAUAACCGAUCUUCCAACUGGUGGUGGUAGGACUUGGAAGAAAAAAUUCUUUUUUGCUGGGGGUCCCUGGGGUCAAGUUGCACAGAUUGACGAGAAGGAUUACCGUGUCCCACCUCAUUUCGUGGUCCCAGGUUGCCUACUCGCUUAAGAUGUUUUGUCUCCAUAGUCGUUCUCAUUUUGCUGAUUUGUUUCUAAUCCAAAAUCUGUUCGCAUUGCAGGUUCCUGGGGUGUGCACUACCAGCUUAAACCCGAGCCGCUCAAGCGAGUCGAAGCUGUACUGGCCAAUUUCUACACGAACCGAGAGCUGCUAACUACUUUCAAUUUGGUCGAAUCUCGUUUGGUGUCUACCGGCCAUAAAAUGGAGGAUGCUGUGAUCGGGGCUCUGACUCGGAAACGUCCCCAACCUCAUGCUACCAAGCAGGACCAGAAUAAAUAUGCUCCCACUGCGAAGCGGGUGAACAUUGUGCAGCAGGUUCCUCCCUUGAAGACCCUACCACCUCCUUCUGCCAAAGUCGGAGAAACUAGCGGAGCAGCCACCGAUCCCGCUUCCUCUUAUCCUCCAGUCGGGCCGAGAUCUCGUUUAUCUGACAAUCGAGCAAAACAUUUGGUCCCCUAUAUCAACGAGUUCUCUAAACUCGUGAGCAAGAGGGACCUAGAGGACUUUGACGACAGCACCUUGGGUGAGCUGGUGGGGGCCAUGCAAUAUAGCGCUUUCCAUCUCGACUGUAUGGCCACUUACUACAAGGCCAAGGUUGGUCGUUAUGACCGAAAGAUGAAGGAGGACAUUCAAUCGGCCAUGAUCAAAGCUGAUGCUGCCGAGAAGAAAGCAGGGGACUUGAAUCUCGAGAAUUUGAAGUUGAUAGAGCGAGAAUCUCUUGCUCAAGCAAAAGCCAUUACUCUCGAGGAUGAGCUAGCUAAGGUCAAGGAGGAUCUGCAAAGACAGCAGGCUAUGUACGAGGCCCAGCUCGAAUCUCUUCGGGAUUCCCACAAGGUUUAGGUCGAGAACCUGGAGAAGGAAGCUGAUAAUCAAUAUGACCAGGGGCUUCAGCACUCCUAUCAUUGCAUCAUGGCCGUCCUUGGGAAGCAGCAUCCGGAUAUGAAAAUGGACGAGCUUGCUACUGGUGUUGCUCAGCAUAUGGAUGAGGAGGCAGCAAAAGAGGACGCCGAAGAGGUGGAGCCAACUGAGGUUGAGGAGGGAAACACUCCUCCUCGUGCAAUCCUUGCUGAUGUCGCUGAGGCGAGUACCCCCCGAAUGCAACUGGUGAUACCCCCUGCCCCUGAGGUGGACCAGCCAACCAAGGCUGCUCGGCUUACUGACCCGCCGUCCUCUUGAUUGUAUUUUGUGUUGUAGUUGCUUUCUUGAAACGCUAUAUGUUAUGACUAGCAGUUUUUUCUGGUUGUUGAUUAAUAAAUAAGAAUGUUCUCAUUUGCUUUCUCGUCGUAAAUCAUUUUAAGUUUGAGGGUCUACUUGCCUUCUCUUGUACUAGCAGUUCUUGACACGCUUGGCUUCUGGUCUCGCCAUAGAACAUGCUUGUGACUUGGUGAGCCUUUGCAUGCCUUAGAAAUUUUUUCAAUGUUGGGAUUCUGCUCGCCUUCGCUUGGUCGAGCAGAUCUUGGCACGCUUGGCUUUUGGUCUCGCCAUAAAAACAGGCUUUGAAAAUUGGUGAGCCUUUGCAUGCCUUAGAAAUUUUUUCAAUGCUUGGGAUUUUGCUCGCCGUCGCUUGGUCGAGCAGAUCCUGGCACGCUUAGCUUUUGGUCUCGCCAUAAAAUAGGCUUUGAGACUUGGUGAGCCUUUGUAUGCCUUCGAAAUUUUUUCAAUGAUAGGGAUUCUGCUCGUCGUCGCUUGGUCGAGCAGAUCCUGGCACACUUGGCUUCUAGUCUCGCCAUAAAACAGGCUUUGAGACUUGGUGAGCCUUUGCAUGCCUUAGAAAUUUUUUCAAUGCUUGGGAUUCUGCUCGCCGUUGCUUGGUUGAGCAGAUCCUGGCACGCUUGGUUUCUGGUCUCGCCAUAAAACAGGUUUUGAGACUUGGUGAGCCUUUGCAUGCCUUAGAAAUUUUUUGCACAGUUACAAGUGAAUGAAAUUCCUCGACGUUUCAUUAAUUACAGAAUUCAACUUACAUAGGAAUGCAUAGCAACGAGAACAAAUUAAAGUAAUUUUUGAACAUGAGCAAGUCUUACUGGAAAUAUUUCCUGAGGUGCGCUGCGUUCCAUAGGCGUUUCACCUCGUGGCCAUCCGUGCGAACAAGCUUGUAAGCUCCGAGUCCCACUAUCUGCUUGACCCUGUAUAGCCCCUGCCAAUUCGGUCCAAGCACUCCUUGAGUCGAGUCUUUGGUGUUCUGAUUCACUCUCCUUAGCACCCAAUCUCCGACCCUAAACUGCCGUACAUUCACCUUCUGGUUAUAAUACCGAGCAACCCUCUGCUGGUAAAUGGCUAAUCGCUUCGAUGCUUGCUCCCUCUUCUCUACAAGCAAAUUCAGAUUCAAGCACAUCUGCUCGUUGUUAUCUUGCUCAUUGAAAUGAUCUGUCCGGUGCGUGGUCGUUCCUAUCUCGGCUGGUACGACCGCUUCAUGUCCGAAGGCCAAGGCGAACGGUGUUUCUCCAGUUGCUGUUUUGUAGGUUGUCCUGUAUGCCCAUAAAACACAUGAUAGCUCAUCAACCCAUGCUCCAUUUUUUGCUCCAAGCCUGGUUUUCAAAAGCCUCUUGAUCGUCUUGUUGGCUGCUUCUACUUGUCCAUUGGAUUGAGGGUGAGCAAGCGAGCAGUACUUCAACUCUAUCCCGAGGUUCUGGCAGAAAUCCCUGAAACUGUGAUUAUCGAACUGCCUGCCAUUAUCCAUUACCAAGGCAUAGGGGAUCCCGUACCGACAGACCAGGUUUCUCCAUACGAAGUCUGUUGUCUUCUUCUCUGUGAUCUUGCUGAGGGCUUCUACUUCUAUCCACUUCAUGAAGUAGUCUAUUGCUACUAUUCCAUGUGUUGUUGCUCCUCGUCCCCUUGGCAACGGCCCGAUCAGAUCAAUUCCCCACUGAGCAAAUGGCCAAGGGGAGGCUAUAGAGGUGAGCUUCUCUGGUGUUUGGCUGGAGAAACUUGCAAAACUCUGGCAGCUUAAGCAGCUCCUGGUCUUCUCCUGCGCAUCCUGGUGCAUUGUCGGCCAGAAAUAUCCCUGCCUUAGAACCUUAUGGGCAAGGGACCUCCCACCAGAAUGGUUUCCGCAAAUUCCUUCAUGUACUUCUCUCAGUACGUAGUCUGCGUUGUCCUCAUCUAAGCACCGAAGGAACGUGAGUGUAUAUCCUCGCCGAUAUAGCACCCCAUCAAUCAUUGUGUACCUUGAGUCUUGGGCUCUAAUCUUCCGAGCUCGUAGCUUAUCUGGUGGUAACACCCCGUCUCUGAUAUAUGAAAUUAUCGGAUCCAUCCACGAGCCUUUUUGUUCUAUCUGCAUCACCUUCAAAUUCUGCUCGAUGCUAGGGUUGGUUUUCACUUCCAAAGGGACCGUCUUAGGCAUUUUAGGGUCUGCUACAACUGUCAUCCUGGCCAGAAUAUCGGCUCGACUAUUUUGUUCCCUUGGGAUUUGUAUCAACUUAACCGCUUCGAACUUCCUCAUCAUCUGCCUGACUUUCUUCAAGUACUGCUCCAUCUUCUCAUCUCUCGGUUGAAAACUUUCACUGACAUGAUUUGCGACCAGCUGAGAAUAAGUUCUGAUCUUCACCCUAUCUGCUUUCAUUGCCUUAGCCAAUUCCAAACCUGCUAUCAAGGCUUCGUAUUCUGCCUGGUUAUUUGUGGCUGUGAACUCUAACUUUACAGCAUAAGAAAUCUCCUCCCCCUCUGGGUCUUUUAAGACAAUUUCUGCUCCUGAUCCUUGCUCACCUGAUGACCCAUCUACAGACAUCUGCCAUACUCGAGCUUUGCUGCUAUCUGUAGCGGUGUCCAGUUGGUCCAAACAUACUUCAAGCUCCGCGAAUUCUGCUAUGAAAUCGGCCGUUGCCUGAGCCUUUAUUGCUGCUCGGGGUUUGUAAUCUAUGUCGAACUCGCUAAGCUCUAUAGCCCACUUCACGAGCCGACCAGAAGCAUCUGGCUUGUGCAGAGUUUGACGCAAUGGCUGGUUUGUUAUUACCGUGACGGGGAAUGCUUGAAAGUACGGCCUCAGCUUCCGAGCAGCAACCACAAGGGCGAGUGUCCAUUUCUCCACCAAUGGGUAUCUGGUCUCGGCAUCGAGCAGGGUCUUGUUGGUGAAGUAUAUCGGGUACUGAACCCCUUCUUCUUCUCUUACUAGAACAGAACUUGCAGCAUGAUUUGAUACCGCCAAAUAUAAGAACAACCUAUCGUCAUCCCUUAGUGUGGACAGCAAAGGUGCUUGUUGCAAGUACUGCUUCAAGUUCUGGAAGGCUUCUUCACAUUCUGGGGUCCAUUCUGUAUUCUUUCCUCUCCUUAUCACUUGGAAAAAUGGCUGACACUUAUCUGUAGCCUUGGAUAUGAAUCGGCUUAAUGCCGCCAACCUCCCCGUAAGGCUCUGUGUCUCCUUCAGGUUACGAGGUGACCUCAUCUGCACGAUCGCCUGGAUCUUCUCAAGAUUUGCCUCGAUCCUGCUCGAACAUGGGGAUUUGGUUGUAUCCCGAGAAUGCGUCCAUGAAGCUGAGCAAGCCAUGUCCGGCUUUUAAGUCUACAAGCUGGUCAAUCUUUGGUAAUGGAAAGCUGUCUUUCGGGCACGCCUUGUUGAGGCCCGUGAAAUCCACACACAUCCUCCACUUGCCAUUAGCCUUUUUUACUAACACCACAUUCGAUAUCCACUCGGGAUAAUUGACUUCCCGAAUGAACCCUGCUUUCAAGAGCUUCUCCACCUCGCCGUUUAUAGCCUCAUACCUCUCCUGGUUGAAGCACCUCCUUUUCUGCCUUACUGCCCGAGCACCUUUCUUUAUUGCCAGUUUAUGACAUGCGACCUAAGGGUCGAUUCUUGGCAUGUCUUCAUGUGUCCAAGCAAACACAUCUGCAUGAGCCCGCAAGCAUUGCACCAACUCCUGCUUCUGCUAUUCUUUAAGCCUCAACCCAAUUCGGAUCGUUUUUCCCAGAUCCUUUGGUCCUAGGCUCACUGUCUUCAACUCCUCUACAGGUUCUUGUCUACCAGUCUUGGUUCCCACUCGGGUAUCAAGGGAUGUUAUCUGCAUUGCUUCCCUUGCUGACGAGGAGUAAUAGCUUCGUGCGAUUCUCUGGUCUCCUCAUACCACUCCAACUACCCCAUUCACCCGGUACUUGAGAGCUAGAUAAUGGUUGGAUGACACCGCUUUACUCAUCCUCAGAAAUGGUCGACCUAGGAUCAUCUGGUAAGGACCCUCUUCAUCGACUACCAAAAAAUCCAGCAUCAUAGUCCUUUCUGUCGGGGAGCUUCCAAUCGUGAUAGGCAGCUCAACCACGCCCAGGGGGACCAGCUUUCCUCCUCCAAAUCCCUUCAAGGAGGUAUUGGUGUGCUCCAACCUCAGGUCUGUUAUUCUCAUCUCCUCCAGAGUUGACUUAAACAACACAUCAACUGAGCUCCCUGUGUCAACCAGUAUCCGGUCAAACUUCUUGCUGGCGACGGUGGCCUUGAUGACUAAGGCAUCCUUGUGUGGGUAUAGAAUCCCUUAUUCAUCCUCAUCUGUCCACAUGAUUGGCACUUGUCAGACUCUUGCUCGUUUGGCUGCUGGGGUGUUGAAGAACACAUCUUUACUAGUCAUGGCAAAUUUAGCAUAAUUUUUCCUCGAUCUGUUGGAAUCUCCGGCCAACGUUGGACCCCCUAACAAUCACUCUUACUAUAGGCUGCCUGUGGCUCAAGUUCCUGUUACCCUGCUCCUCUUCACAUAUCGGGGCCACCGUCGGAAAAGUCCCAUCGAUAAACUCGUCCAGGUAUCGAUUUCUCACCAAAUCUUUAACCUGGGUCUUAAGGUCUCUUCAUUCUAUUGUGGUAUGGCCAUGAGUACCAUGGAACUUGCAAUAGUGCCCCUAUCCCUUCUGCUGGGUAGCUUUGUUAUUGGGGCUGGGAGGUACAGUAAUCCCCAGUCCUUUAUGGCCUCACAGACUUCGUCCAGUGGGAUAUUCAAGGAAGUAUACUGCCCAUAGUCCUGGUUCUGGUCGAUCAUAUGCACUGCCCUUUCUCUGUUUGUGCCAUUCUGAGUUGGAGGUGGUGGCAGCGCUUCUGGUCUGCUCCCCCUACUACCAUGGGGGUGUGGGUGAAGGUGACCGUAUGUCGCGUCAUGCCUUCUCCUAGGCUCCCUAGCUGGUGAGCGAGAAGGUUGCGCCCUGCUGUGCUGAUACUGUGGUGGCCUCUAAUGAGGUUGGUAAGCGGUUACCCGACCUCUUGUACCACUACCUAAGGCAUGGUGGUCCCUCCUCUUAAUCGGCCCAUUUCCUGGUACGGCUCUCUUCUCUUUCCUCUUUAAUCCUUCCAGCUGGUCUGUCUUAAUCCGUGCCGCCUUUUCCUCCUCUAUUUCUAUGUCUCUCUUAGCCUGCUCGUAAGCAACUGAAUAUGUCUGAAUAACUGGGCUUCUCAAGUUAUAUCACAUCCGUCUUAUCUUCACUCCUUCUUUCAAUCCCCUUAAUGCCUGAGGAUGGUUGAAGGCUCCCAAGUCGAGGACAGCACGGUGGAACCUUUUGAUGAAUUCCCGAAGGGUUUCCUCCUCUCUCUGCUUCAUGCUCGUUAACUCCAUCAUAUCAUCUUCCGGUGCCAUUACCCCACGAAACUGCUCUGCAAAUUCCUGGCACAUCUGCUCGAAGGCUUUAAUGCUCCCUCGAGGAAGUUUCCUGUACCACUCGCGUGCUCGUCCCUCUAGAGAUAGUGGGAACACCCUGCAUCUUUGGGCUUGAGAUAGUCCUUGCACCCCGGUCAUGUUGUUGAAGCGCUCUAUGUGCACCAACGGAUCAGUUCGCCCCAAAUAUCUGAGGUCUGGGAGGCGAAAAUCUCUUGAAAUGACUGCCCUCAUGAUCUCUGCCGAGAGCGGGGUUUCUCCGUCCAGCAUUAUCCUCCAACCAGGUGCUCUACUCCUUCCUUGCAUAUCAUCAAUUACUUGCGCUAGUUUGCGCACUUCCUUCUCUAGCUGCAUUGCACGACCAGGGUCACGUGCUGUAACUUGAUCCCGCUCUUUCUCUACAUCAUGUAAGUAUUGCCUGAGCUCUGUUUCCUCUGCAUUCACCACCCCAUCAUCCUCAUCAAAAAUCUAUCUUCUUGGGGAUUGCUCUUCUUCUCUAUGAAUUCCUCCCCGUAAAGAUAAGUUACCUCUCUCACCACCAAAUCUCCUGGUGGUCUGACUUCUCAUCAUACCAUCGUGCCCUGGUGCCACUCUGCCACCUCUCACCCUUUUCUCAUGGGUUCCCCUUCGUUCACUCCUUAGUUCAUGUAGGAUGGUUGUCAGGGUCUCCAUCUGCUUUUCCAUCCGUUCCAUUCGGUCAUGCAUGGCUUUUUCCCGUGCUUCAAUGGCUAUCUCCCUUAACGUCAUGGAUUCGUUAAGCCUCAUAUCACCUCCUUGUGCACUACUUCCUCCUACAUCCAUUGUUUCUUCUCUUGCUUUGUUUUUCCUUUCUCUGUCAACAGAAGUUUUUUUAUCAGCUCCCUACAGACGGCGCCAAAAUGUUGAUGCGAGAUUCUGGUUACCCACUCGACCACGACCAGGAUCUCUGCUCAAUCAACUAACUCGACCACGAUCAGGAUCUCUCCUCGUAUGCUUUCUUCUUCAAAAAUUCCUGCGUACACAGAAACAAGUCAGAGCACGCUGGUUGUUUUCUCGGCGUAAACCCUCCGAUGCUCAAGUCAAAUAUGAAGGUUUUGUGUUCCUGGGAACAUUAGCCACUAGUCUUAAGCUUUGCUUUUAGUAUCGACUGUUGAAUGCUCUCUUUAUCUCAAUUUCUGUAUUAAAAGUUCUAACCCUUUUACCUUCGUUGGCUGCCUUUUUAUAGGCUCCUCCUGAGUCCAGAUCCUCCCCUCCAUUCACGUCCGUUACCUUCCCACCUCUCGAAAGUGGAUGCUCCGUUUCCGUAAUCGUGGGUGGUUGCAUGGCCUUCGUGCCUCGAUUCUCGGGCUGGAGAGUACGUCUUGCCAACUGUCGUUGAUUGGGUCUCCUCGCUUCAAACCUUAGCAGGACCAUUAUGCUUCUAACAGGAGAUCGGCUUCGCGGAUGGUGUAUUCGUGGACGAGCAGAUAUUCCUGCUUCUGUUCCCAUGCUACCAGACCUCAGCUCAUCACGGCUGGUCUCGUCGAAGUACAUCCCCCAAACAAUCUUCAUAUUAAUUACGAAAAUAUCCUCUAAAUUUUAACUUAACUAUUCAUAAUUCAAUGUCAUUCGGAUAUUUCGUUUAUUUGAGUAGGGAUUAGGGGUCAAUUUGAUACAAAUUCAAAAUUAUCCUCAUUUGCGAAGGUGAUAAAAGUUAGGGAUUUAGUUUGGAUGUCACUAGCCACAAAUAUUAAACGCAUGCAUCUAAUUCAAAAUUAGAGGCAUUAUCGUUAUAUUGACAUGUGUCACCAUCCCACAACCUCUCCAAUGAAAAAUUGACAUGCAUCUUGUGUGCUUCUUAUCAAAAUCCUGAAAAUUAAUCACAAAAGUUAUAUUUUUAUUAUAAAAAGAAGAAAGAAACUCCAUGAGUGAAGAAAAAAAAAAAAGACUUACAUUAAUAGUUUGGAUAAUCUAGAUUUCAAGUUGUCUAUAUUAGCUUGAUAUUUUUAUAAAUAUCAAGAUUUCAAGUUGUCUAUAGUAGCUUGAUAUCUUCUAAAAAAAACUCCAUCAACAUAUAUUUUAAUUUUACGUUAAUUAAUAAAUAGAAAAUCCAUUUUAGAAUUAAUUAAAGCAUUAUUUAUUGUUGCCAAAGAAGGAAGUAUUUAGCGAUAAGAAAAAAGUGUCUCAAAUAUAUGUUUAAAAAAAAAUAAUCAUGGUUGGUUGGACUGAUUGAAUUUUUCUUUUCUUUUUUCUUUUUUAAGAACUAAGACAAUUGGAUUGAUUGAGUAAUAAUAAAAUAUAUUUAUUUGGCAAAUGGCAGGUAGGCUUUCUUCUGGUGCAGAUUGAUUAGAGAGAAUAUAUAACAAUUUUAAGCUCGUAAGAUUCGGAACCUGCUUAUCUGUCGUGUGGGAAUCACUUCCGUGUCUUAUUUUUCUAGAAAAAUCUAGACCAUUGGAUUUACCAUUGGGCAGUAGAGAAAUGUUGAUCUUGAUUCCUGAUCAGGAUCGAAGUUUGAUUCUAUCUAACAUGAUAUCAGAUUGCGAAGCAAGCUAGUUGUGAGUAACUUGUUCUAUUUUGAUGGAAGAAACACAAGUUCUAAUAAAAAAUUCUAAGUAUACAUUUUUUUUUUUAAUUUUUUUAUUGUGAUCAAUAUAACUAGUCAAAUCUAUUUUUAAACAUUUUUUUUAAAUAUUUUGUUAACAAUGAUAUGAAAAUAUUCGAACCCCUCCUCAUAUAGUAAAGUGAAUUACUAUCCAACGAUCCAACUAACGUCUUCAAAUUGUAAAUUGCAAAUCGUGUGUUUGCUCCAUUACAGAGUUUCUUCAAUUUAAAAUAGAGAAUCGUUUGUGUUCUAGAUUAAUCGUGGGUCUAUAUCCAAAUCUAAAAAUUGACUAACUUGAUUUCUAUUAAAUUCUUAACCCUAACAAGAAAAAUAGAAGAUUAAAAAUGACUAAUUUGGUUUCUAUUAAUUUGAGUAACGAUUAAUAUUUAUCAUUCAAUAGUCACUUAUAUUAUCAAAAUCUUGGGUCGAAAAUAUUAGGAUAGGUGAUAAUUGGAAUUAAGUUGUAGAUAAGAUAGAAAUGGAUUUGGAGAGAGAUUGGAAUCCUGGGUAAAUCCGGUACACGUUGGUGUGUUAAAUUCUCGUUGACUUCACGUUGACCGAGGCAUUAUUGGAAGAAACAAGCAAGCUUAUUUUCUUCUCUCAUUUUUAACCUUUGUCUAAAUUUAUUGGUGUGAGGCCUUUGAGAUGGUAAAGUGUUAAAUCUGAGAAGAGUACCCACACUAUUACUCUUAUUUUAUCACGUUUUAUCACAAUAUUACUCUUAUAGUCAAUGUUUGAUUCGCACGAAAAAAAAUUUGCGAGGAUUGUGAGGGUUGAUGCAAUAUAAUUUAGAUGCAAAGUGUUUACAAGUGCGAUGCUUCGUAAGUGUACUCGAAUCAUUAUAAACUCACGUUAUUUUCAUAGUGAUUAUUUCAUUUGCACGUGAAUAUAAUCAUAUAUGUGGAGAAUUUUUUUUCCUAAAUUAUGGUCUUAUUUAGUAUUGAGAUGUUAUAUCUUUUAAAUUAUAAUUAAUAUUAGUAAAAAAACUGCAACUAUAAAAUAAAAGUUAAUAUUAUGUCCUGAAUAUAAUUGUUAAAUAAUAAUUUUGACAAAAUUAGUGAAGACAUACAGAUUUUUUUAUCAUAUAAGUGUAAAAUUCUAUCAACUUAGCUUUUAAGUUAUACAGCAUCUAUUGUUUACCAAAUACUUUAGUGUUGUAACUUUUAAGUUAUAACUGUCUAACCUUUAACCUCAAUCUCAAACGAGGCUUAUAAAGAUCAAGGAUUUCCUCAUAAAAAUUAUUACGUCAUGUGAUUGCUUAUUUAAUUUAUAUUUUCGUCAUUUAUCUUUAUUAAUUAAACAUGCACAUAUUAUUUCCUUUUAUUUUCUGCUUGGUAACCCGUAAAUACUAAUCCAGUACUACUAAUUUCAGACAGAAAAUUUUGAACUCUAGGCUGCAGUUUGACUCAAAAUGAUGGUCACUGGCUUCGCACCAUUUUACCGGUAUACAUUUCUACAAACUGAACAAGGCUAUUGAUUAUUAUUAUUAUUAUUUUAAUUUGUUUAUAAAUUACUAUUUUAAUUUUCACUUUUUAUUGGGUUGUUUAACGGAUUGGUGAAGCUGGUGGUCGUUGAUGCACUCACAAGGUACAAUUUUAUUUUAUAAUUUCAAAUUCGUAUUUUAAAACGCAGGUACAUUAUGUAUAUACAUAAUUAUUGAUUUUCGUAUGAGGGUGUUUUGAAAUAUUGCUAAAAGACCAAACUUUAAUAAACUAUUUUUGAUCUUUUUUUUUUUUCCUAAAGUUUGGGUGAUAUGCGCAUUUUAAAUUCACGUGGAACAAAAGUUAAUGUAUGUAUAAAAAUUCUUUUAUUUUACUGAGCAAAAUAGGCAAGCGAAAAAGUUUUGGCAAAUGAGUUGCAACUGAAUUCAAAACCAAUACAAUGCGAGCAUAGGAAAGAGGCCAGUGUUUAGGAUUUGAAUUUAGGUAGCGUUUACUUUUUGGAUUGGAUUGGGAAUCCUGGGGAGUGGGAAUCCUAGGAUUGAGAGUGUGGAGUGGGAGUGGGAGUAGGUUGUUUACUUACACUGGAAUGGAAGCAUGGAAUGGAGAUCAGAAUCCAAUUUAUGUGUUUACUUUGUCUUGGAUUGGGAGUAAAUAGUUUCAAAUUACAAUUUUAUCCUUAUUUAAAGAAUUAUAAUUUUAAUUACAAAACUAAUAAAAUAUAUAUUUAAUGAAUAAUAUUUAUUUUAUUAUAUUUGUAAAUUUAUUAUAAUUAUUAAUAUUCUUAAUUAUGAACAAUAAAUUAUUAAUUGUAAUUUUAAUAUAAAAUGAAAUGUUAUUUUAUUUAAUAUAAUUAUAUUAAAUUUAUUAUUAUAUAAAAUAAUAAUAUAAUAUUAUUUAGUACAAAAUUAAUAUUUUCUUAGAAUAAAGUAUUUAUUAUUAUUAUUAAAUAAAAUAUAGUACUAUUAUUUUUAAAAUAAAUAUAAUAAUAUUAUAUUUAUUAAUUCUCUAUUAAUAUAAUAAUAUUAUUUUAAAAUAAUUUUAACUUAGAAUCAAUGUAAAUUAUUAUUUAGUUAAAUAUAAUAUUAUUAUUUAAAUAAAUAUAAUAUUAUUAUUUAAAUAAAUAUAAUAUUAUUUAUUUUAUUUUAUUAAUUAUAAAACAUAAAAUAAAAAAAAAAAGGGUAGAAAUGGGAGAGGUGGGAGUGGAUUCCCACUCCCACCUCCCCCAAUGGGAGUCCCACUCCCACUCCCCACUCCAAAAAUGGGUGGGGCCCACGGAGUGGGACUCCCAAUUCCUUCUCAUUUUAAGUAAGUAAACGCUGGAGUGGGAGGAAUCCACACUCCUCACUCCCACUCCAGCAAGUAAACACAACAUUAGUAUUAAGCUGAAUUUUAUGGUAAGCUCUUUUAUAGUACUGUGAUUGAUAAGCUCAGCCCCGGAUUUGCUUUUGCUUUUGCUUUUACUUCAAGUGAAAGAGAGAGGAAACCUUUUGUUUUUUUCUUUGGUUUUCAACUAUGUUACCUAUACAAAGAGUCAAGAUACCUGCCAUAAGUGAUGGUGUUAAAAAGAUUAAGCAGCGCACACAAUCUUACUGUCGUCUAGACCAUCCAGUGAUGACUCUAGUCUUUUGGUUACGUUAGCUUUAGUUGAAAGAAGGGCCAAUUUAACAAAGACUAGAUUUGAUGGCUUACUAUGUUUAAUGUAAUGCUAAUUCUCAGGGAAUCUAAUGUUAUAACUUAUAAGACGAUCUCCUAUGAUGAAUAACAGUAACACAUUACUGUGAUUGAGAAAACUCAGUUACAAUAAACUAUUCAUUUACUCAUUGCGGAGAUUGAAUAGCAAAUAGAGAAUAGAAUGAAGCAGAGGAAUCUCAUUGCCAAUAAAAUUGACCCUCUUUAAUGUUAUAUGGCACAGGUGUGGAGGAAGAACAAGUUACUUGCAGUUUUUAUUGUAAAAUAUACAGGUAUGACCAUGAUCAUUACAGUUGGGUUUUGAUAAUUUCAGAUGCUUUUUAAAAAAAAAAAAAAUUAUGACAUCUUUGAUUUACGGUAGUUUUGCAGAAAAAAAAAUAUAAAAAUUAAGAGGGAUGAGUUAAACUGACGAUUACAAUCAUUCCAGCAAUGCUGAUGAGUGAUACAUCACUUGAAAUUUACUUGUCAGUUGCUGAAAUGAUGAAAAAAAAACAAUAAACGAUAACAGUAAUAAUGUUCCGUUGCUGAAAUUCAAUUUUGACUUUCUACUCUUGGCUUUUAUGGAAAGUAAAAUGACUUGUAUAUUAUCCUCAUACAAUCCACUCUACAUAAUGAUAUCAUUUUAAUAAGGCAAUGGCUGAUGAUCUCCAUUUAAAAACUACAUCAUUUUUUUUGCUUCAUUUAACUUUUUGGUUGUUGAAAAUAACCUUAAUUAUCAAAUAAUUGGAGAAAGAGUAAAGAACAUUUAACAAAUUUAUGUGCAAAAAAAAAAAAGGAGAAGUUGAAGAGAAAGGGUGCUUGCAGAAGUGGGUGUCAAAGAUAAAUCGGUCCAUAAGAAUUAUUGUGGUUAUUUUUUUGGCAAUAUAAGAACUUAUGCGAUAGCAUUUUUUAUGGGUGCAUAUAACCUCCCUUUAAAAAUAUAUAUAAUAAUUACUGCUUAAUAUAGUAUUAAAUACAAAAAUAUCAAUAUUUGACUACUUAAAUUUAUAUCAUUAGGUCCUUAAAAUUUAAAAUGGAAGAUAUGAAAGGAAAUAUAUAUAAAUUUCAUUGUCCUGGUAAAGGGCCCUCUUAUAAUCUUAUAAUAUUUGAACUUUGAUAGAUUUUUUGAAACAAAUGUACUUUUAUUUGUGUACAAUCAAUAUUUACUCAUUUAUUAUAUUUUAAUUUAUUAACUAUUAAUCAUGUAAGUAUACUUAGUCAGAAAAAUUAUAUCAAGAGAAAAUUCUAAUUUCACGCAAAAACAAAUACCAAAACAAAUAUCUCAAUUUCUAUACUAUUCACUUUCCUGUAGAAUCAAUUAUUUAAAAUGCAAGUUUGUGGCUACAGAAAACUCGCCAAAGAAAAAAGAUAAUAACAAUUGAGCAUUGAUAGCAAAACUAAUGCAUCCAAUUCUUCUUGACUUGAUGAGAUGGCGCCAUAACGUAGACACAAGUACCUAAAUUGACCGGCACUGAGUGAUGUGAAUACUACCAGCCAGUUCAUCUCUUCCAGUCUUGCUUAAUCACAAUCACAAACACCACGAGAUCGACAUUUGCAUUAUAUAUAUCUUCUGCAAUCGAAACACCUUGCAUUACCAAAUAAGCCCGUAACAGACAAAGCAAUCUUUCAUGGAGAGAAACCUUAGUCUCAGUAUGAUCACUGUGUCAUUAACCUACUGCCUGCUUCUUUGCUUGGUUGCUGCAGCAGCAGCAGCGGCAAGCAACAAUAUUACCACAGACCAACAAGCUCUUCUUGCCCUGAAAGAUCAUAUAAUUUAUGAUCCUACCAGCCUUUUAGCUCACAAUUGGACCUCGAAUACCUCUGUUUGUACCUGGAUUGGCAUCACUUGUGAUGCCAAUAGCCAUAGAGUCAAAACCUUAGAUAUUUCUCAAUUCAAUCUACAAGGCACCAUCCCUCCUCAACUUGGAAAUCUCUCUUCACUCACAACACUUAAUCUUAGUCAUAACAGGCUUUCUGGAAGUGUUCCCUCCUCCAUCUACACCAUGCAUACGCUAAAAUUUCUUGACUUCACUGAUAACCAGCUCUCUGGUUCAGUGUCUUCCUUCGUCUUCAACAUGUCUUCAAUAUUAGUAAUUCGUUUGACCAAUAACAUAUUUUCUGGUGAGCUUCCGAAAAAUAUUUGCAACUAUCUUCCUUAUUUGAAGGCCCUUUUCUUAAACAAAAACAUGUUUCAUGGCAAAAUUCCUUCUGCUUUAUCAAAGUGCAAACAACUGCAACAAUUAAAUUUGCAGUUCAAUAAUUUAUCCGGUGCAAUACCAAAAGAAAUCGGCAACUUGACUAUGCUCAAAGGGAUAUAUCUCCUCUACAACAAACUCCACGGUAUGUUCACAAUACUAUAUAAAUAUUUUAAUUUAUCACUUAUUAUCUUUCUUGAAUAAUUUAGUUAAGAUCUUGUAAGAGAGAUUUUUUGCAUCUACGUUAAUUUACCAGGUGAGAUACCCCACGAAAUCGCUAAUCUUCCAAAUCUAGAGGCUUUAGCGCUUGGAAUCAACAACGUAGUUGGUGUGUUACCAGCUCCCAUCUUCAACAUGUCAACACUGAAGGUACUUAUCCUCAUAAAUAACUCUCUCUCCGGAAGCCUUCCAUCAAGAGUAGACCUUUCACUUCCAACUGUUGAGCAACUUAACUUGGCACUUAAUAGAUUUUCUGGAACCAUUCCUAGUUCCAUCACCAAUGCUUCUAAGCUCACCUUUCUAGAGUUGGGAGCAAACACAUUUUCGGGGUUUAUUCCAAACACAAUUGGUAAUUUAAGAAACCUUAAGUGGCUCGGCUUGGCUAAUAACUCCUUGACAUCUUCAACCUCAAAAUUGAGCUUUCUUUCCUCUUUGGCAAAUUGCAAGAAAUUAAGAUUCGUAAACGUAAUAGGCAAUCCACUGGACGGCUUCCUUCCAAGUUCAAUAGGUAAUCUUUCUGUGUCUUUGGAAACACUUGGCAUCGGCAAUUGCAGUAUUAGUGGCAACAUUCCUCCAGCAAUUAGCAAUUUAAGCAACUUGUUGACCUUAGUAUUAGACGGCAAUAAAUUGACUGGACCAAUCCCAACUACAUUCGGCCAACUGCAGAAACUCCAAGGCUUAGAUCUUGCAUUCAAUAAGUUGGUAGGUUCAUUCCCAGAUGAGCUUUGCCAUCUGGCAAGGCUGGAUCAAUUGGUCUUAUUUGGCAAUAAGCUUUCAGGAUCUAUACCUUCAUGCUUAAGUAACCUCACUUCUCUAAGAUCUCUCUAUUUAGGGUCCAAUAAGUUUACUUCUGUUUUUCCCUCAACCUUCUGGAGCCUAAAAGACAUCUUGUUCUUUGACUUUUCAUCAAAUUUCUUGGUUGGUCCUCUUUCUUUAGAUAUAGGAAAUUUGAAGGUGCUUCUAGGAAUAAGUUUAUCAAAAAAUAAUUUAUCCGGUGAUAUCCCAGCCACAAUUGGAGGACUGAAAGAUCUUCAAUUUAUGGACCUAGCAUAUAAUAGAUUGGAAGGCCCAAUUCCUAAAUCAUUUGGUGACUUGAUAAGUUUAGAAGUUCUGAAUUUAUCAAAUAAUAAAAUCUCUGGGUCUAUUCCAACAUCCAUGGAGAAACUCUUUUACCUCGGAGAGUUAAAUCUCUCUUUCAAUAAACUAGAAGGUGAGAUUCCUAGUGGAGGAACUUUUGCCAACUUCACAGCUGAGUCAUUUAUGGGAAAUGAGUUUUUGUGUGGUUUACCAAAUCUUCAAGUCCAACCAUGCAAAGUUAGCAAGCCGAGGACAGAACAUAAAUCAAGGAAAAAGAUACUUCUCAUUGUGAUUGUUUUGCCAUUGAGUAUUGCUCUAACAAUAGCAAUCACUCUAGCUCUCAAAUCUAAGCCGAUCGAAUGUGGAGAAAGAAGCACAGUGUUGUCAAAUGAUAGUAUCUUGUCAUCACAAGCAACACUAAGAAGAUUUUCAUACUUAGAACUUUUACAAGCAACAGAUAAUUUUGCUGAAAACAGCAUAAUUGGCAGAGGAGGUUUCGGUUCCGUUUAUGGAGCAAGACUUGAAGAUGGGAUGAAGAUUGCAAUAAAAGUGUUUCACCGGCAAUGUGCAAGCGCAUUGAAGAGUUUUGAGGCUGAAUGUGAAGUGUUAAAAAAAAUUCGCCAUCGAAACCUUAUCAAAGUUAUCAGCAGUUGCUCGAACGAUGACUUCAAAGCAUUAGUCCUAGAAUACAUGUCCAACGGGAGCUUAGGGGAUUGGCUGCAUUCGAGCAAUUACGUGCUGAAUAUUUUUCAAAGGUUGAACAUAAUGAUUGACGUUGCAUCAGCUUUAGAAUACCUCCACUUCGAUCAUUCAACUCCUAUUAUUCAUUGUGACUUAAAGCCUAGUAAUGUAUUGUUGGACGAAAAUAUGGUUGCUCAUUUGAGUGAUUUUGGCAUAGCAAAGCUUUUAAGUGGAGAAGAUGAGUCUACGAUGCGAACAAAAACCCUUGCCACUAUAGGUUAUAUGGCACCAGGUUUGCUUCAAACAACUUUUUUUUUUAAGUUCAUUUUAAAUUUUCUAAAUCAUUGAUUUUUACGAUCCUCAUAUCAAAUUGUUAUUGAUUAUUUAUCUAAUUGUGAAAUUAAUUUGAUUCAUAGAGUAUGGCAUAGGAGGAGAAGUAUCUACAAAAAGCGAUGUUUACAGCUACGGGAUUAUGUUGAUGGAAACUUUUACCAAGAAAAAACCCACAGAUGAAAUUUUUGUUGGAGAAUUGAGCUUAAAGCAUUGGGUUAAUGACUUGCUUCCUAAUUCAUUAGUGGAAGUUGUGGACAAAACUCUGCUAAGUGGAGAGGAAAAACAUUUUGCAUCAAAGGGGCAAUGUCUGUUGUCUAUCUUUAGUUUGGCUCUGGAGUGUACAAUGGAAUCACCGGAAAAGAGGAUUAAUGCAAAAGAUAUUGUUACCGGAUUACUCAAGAUAAGAGACACAUUGAGUAAAAGGAUAGGAAAUUUAAGUUAAUUUCGUUUGCUUUCAUUGAUAGUUAAUUCGAAUUCAUGUAAUAAGUGCAAGAAUCUUAUAUCUUUUCCUUUGAUAUAUUCUUUUUCUUGAGAAAACUGUUGUAGUCAUCUUGUUUCCAUGGGAAGAGUUGAUUUAGUUCUUCCAAAAAAUGCUACUGAUGACCUUUGUUUAAUACUUUCUCUUUUUUUGCACGUGUUUAGGUAGAACAGUGGUUUGGCUGCAGGCUAAUAAGUCAAGCUACGCCAAAAGCGUAUGAUUUAAUUUAUUAAACAUAACUUCAAGUUCAAGAAGUGUUUCUCAUUGCCACCAAUGCUUUGGACACCUGUUGGAAGGUUUGUUGUCCUCAGCUUUUGUUUAGAGCAAAAGUUCGAGUCCCAUAAAGGCUCAAACAUUCCUUUCCUUCAUCCCGAGGGCGCCUUCUGUCCUCUGUUUUCUGUUUCCACACACAAAUAGCAAAAAGAAAUUAGAAUGACAACUGGGACAUAUAUAAGAGUGAAAUAAUUAAAAAAAUUAUGCUUUUUUGUCUGUCGUGUUAAAAUCGUAAGUACCGAAGUACUGUGAAAGAGAUUAAUUUACAGAAACUGAAGCCAAGGGUUCAAAAAAAAACUAUUGAUGUAGCUAGGAUGCAAUGUCAUAUUCAUACAGAGAUGAAGUAUAUUAUUUACGGCUGGUAAAGACUAGGAAUUGAUGUAGCUAGAAUCCAAAGAUGAUAAGGUAUGUUGUGCACUAUUGUUUUAUUCUACGGUCAAUCUUGACCCUUGGUGCUUGGCUCUCAAUCUUGUCCAUUGAUCUUCUCUGAUCUUGGAAACUUCAAGACCUUUCACUCUCAUGCCUUAUUAUUGGUGUCUUCCAUGCUGUAGCUUUCAAAUACAAGCUUUCCCGCCAACUUGCCAAUUAUUUGUCCGUUGGUGCAUUUUAUCAAACAGUUUGGAUACUUAUACCAAACGCCUUCUGUUUUAACUCCCCCCCUCAAGCUCAAGCAUCUGGGAAGACAUUAAUAAGCUUGUUUCUCAAGUAUAUAUAUCUGAAAAUUAAAUUUUAUAAAUUAUAUUCGGACUCUACAUUUUCUAAUGAACAUUGGUUUGGCUUAUAAGCUUAUUAUACUCAGGUUUGGUAGGAGCCAUAUCACAAUGUUAACGCUAACCAGCAGUACUGCCAAAGCUGGCCAACUCAGCCUGCAAGUUCAUAGCAACCAUAGUUACAGUCCUAGUCCGGUACAAAAAUCGUAAAUAUCAUUUACAUUACAAUGGUGUGGGGGGGGGGGGGGGGGUUUGUUGGGUGGCUGGAGAGGGAAUCAACAAAGAUCUAGAACGAAGGGUAGGCUUGUAUCCGUAACCCAUGUCACAGUGUUAAUGCUAACCGUGGACCUUAUUAUAUUAGUUGCUGGACUAUUAUUACUUUUGAAUUGCCAUCUUUGAAUUUACGUUCAUUUCUGCCUCGACAAGAUGUUUGUAAAAAUAUGCUAAUUAUUAAUGUGCCGUGUACAAAUAAGCAUGUUACUGUGCAAGGAUUGUAGUCAUGAUACAGUGGUGCAAAAUGUACAUGCUACUUCUUCUUUUCCUCAGUUAGGAUCACCGUCGUCACCAUUUAAUUCUAAGUCCACCCAUGCGGCCUAUGCAAUUGAAAUCAUGUGACCAUGUAAUUUUAGGUUCUGAUCUUCCUUGUGGGGUUAAACCUCAAAACUGUGACCAUUUUGGGACUUUUAAUCAGUUCCAAUCAUUUUCUGGUUCCCAUUCGUCCACCCAAGCCUUGAUUCCCCCGAUAUAGCAUUGCAAUAUAUAUAGGAAUAUUAAGGUUGUGUACAGUUUUUUUCUUUUCUGUUUUUAAUUUGAUAUAAAUUAUCAAUCAUGAAUCUACAUAAAGUUUCAACUAGGCUACUACCACAAUAAACAUUUGGAUGAACUAUUAUUGAAACCUUAUUGAGAAGUAGGACAUGUCGCAUACCAAUGCACUGACAUAUCUUCAAAUAGUGGUAACUCCACACAACAUGGCACAAUAAAUUAAGAGUUAUAUAGAUAAAAUCUUUCACUCUUUGGUAAUCAUCAAUGUCGGCAUGACAAUGCGUCCCACAAAUAUGGCUCCUUAUCAAAAUUCAUAAAUCAAAACAAAAAUAGAGAAUCAUAUUUGUUCUAGAUUGUAGUGAUGGUUGUUGAUGCACUCACAAUUUACAAUUUUAUUUAAUAUCUUCAAAUUCGCAUUUUAAAAUGCCCAAAUGUUUGUGUAUACAUAAUUAGUAAUCGAUUCUCAAGCAUGGCCAUUUAAAAGCAUUGCUGAAAGACAAAAUUUUAAUUUACUAUUUUUUGUCUUUUAAUUUUCUUUAAGUUUUUAAUGAUUCCGCAUUUUAAAAUCCUGUGGAACGUGUAUGUAAAAUUCUUUUAUCUUUUAGAGGAAAAUGGGCAAGAGAAGAAGAUUUGGCAAAGGAAUUGCAACCGCAUUUGGAGCUAGUUUUAAUUUUGUCUUUUAAUUCUUUUACACUUGGCUUUUGUUAUUGAUGUCAACUUCGAUGUGUGUGAAGACUCGAGCUCACUCCCUUAUGAGCUAGUUUUAUUUUUCUACUUUCACAUUAAGAAAAAUACUCCUAUUUUUAAGGAAAAGUCAAGUACCUGUAGUUGUGAAGACUCGAGCUCACUCCCUUAUGAUAAAUCUUCAUAUUAAUUACGUAAAUAUCCUCUAAAAUUUUAAAUUAGCUAUUCAAAAUUUGAUGUUAUACGGGUAUUUCAUUUAUUUGAGUAGGGGUUGGGGGUCAAUUGGAUACAAAUUCAAAAUUAUCCUUACUUGAGAUGGUGAUAAAAAUUGGGGAUUUAAUUUGGAUGUCAUUAGCUACAAAUAUUAAACUCAUACAUUUAAUUCAAAAUUGGAAAGCUGAUAUAUGCGCAUCAUCCCACAACCUCUCCAAUGAAAAAUUAACACGUUUCUUGUGUGCAUUUGAUCAGAAUCCUGAAAAUUAAUCACAAAAUUGUCCUGGAAAAAAAAAUGCUUACAUAAAUGGUUUGAAAAAUCUAGAUUUCAAGUUGUCUAUAUUAGCUUGAUAUUUUUAUAAAUAGUCAUCCUCUCAAAAAAAUUCCAUCAAAAUAUAUUUUAAUUUUAUGUUAAUUCAUAAACAUGAAAAAAUCAUUUCAGAAUUAAUUAAAACAUAAUUUAUUGUUUCUCAAAAAAGGUAGAACUUAGUGAUAAGAAAAAAGUAUCUCAAAUAUAUGUAAAAAAAAAAAAAUCUUGGUUAGUUGGAAUGAUUGAAUUUGUUUUUUUUUUCUUUUUUAAGAAUUAAGACAAUCGGAUUGAUUGAGUAAUAAUAAUAUAUAUUUAUUUGGCAAAUGGCAGGUAGGCUUUCGUCUCAUGCAGAUUGAUUAGAGAGAAAAUAUAACAAUUUUAAGCUCGUCAGAUUCGAAGCUGCUUUCCUGUCGUGUGGGGAUCACUUCCGUGUCUUAUUUUUCUAGAAAAAUCAGGACCAUUGGAUUUAUGCGAAUCGUACUGAACAUUGGAAUUGAUGUAUAAGAAAAAAAUUCUGUAGUUUAAGAAGAACAAAAAGGCAUGUUGAAUAGAUUACAAUAGUUUAAGGAAAAAAAUUAUUCAAUUGGGAAUUUUUUUUUCUUUAAUUUUUGUUGUACUUGAUUGAGAUUUCUCCUUAGUCCUUAGAGUUUUAAGUUUGGAAACCGUAGGAUCAGUAAUUUCGUACUUCCUUUGCAAGCUGAGUAUAAGGAUGAAAUUCUUUUAAGAAAUUAAAAAAGAUAAAAAAAAAGCAUACCAAUAGGUAAUUAUAAAUAACCACAAAUAAAUAUAAACAAAAUGUUUAUGAAGUAAAUUAAACAUGCUCAUAUUAUUUUCUUUUAUUUUCUGCUUGGAAACCCAUAAAUACACUAAUCCAGUAUUACUAAUUUCAGACAGAAAAUUUUGAAUUUAACCAGUAUACACUAAUCCAGUAUUAUUUUUAUUAUUAUUUUAAUUUGUUUAUAAAUUACUAUUUUAAUUUGUUUAUAAAUUACUAUUUUAAUUUUCACUUUUUAUUGGGUUGUUUAACGGAUUAGUGAAGCUGGUGGUCGUUGAUGCACUCACAAGGUACAAUUUUAUUUUAGAAUUUCAAAUUCGUAAUUUAAAAUGCAGGCACAUUAUGUAUACAUAAUUAUUGAUUUUCAUAUGUGGGUGUUUUGAAAUAUUGCCAAAAGACCAAACUUUAAUAAACUAUUUUUGAUCUUUUUUUUUCCUUUGUACCUAAAGUUUGAGUGAUAUCCGCAUUUUAAAUUCAUGUGGACCAAAAGCUAAUGUAUGCACAAAAUUCUUUUAAUUUUUUCCGAGAAAAAUGGGUAAGAGAAGAAGAUUUUUCUCUUGAAAAAGAAAAAAUAAUACGUUGCAAGCAUAGGAAAGAGGCCAGUGUUUUGGAUUUGAAUUUAGUAUUGGGUUGAAUUUUAUGCUAAGCUCUUUUAUAAUACUUUAUAGAAUAAAAAUGUAAGGGAUAUUUGGCUAGGCAUGUACUUUAUAGAAUAAAAAUGUAAUAAUGUAAGUCAGUGCAAUGAUCUGCUGUCAUAGUAGUUAUAAAUAUUUAUGUGUAAUACAGUAACAUGAUGCUUAAUCAGUUAAAAAAAAAUUGUAUAUCUUUUUUUAUUUUUUUUAUUGUGAUCAAUAUAACUAGUCAAAUUUAUUUUUAAAUAUUUUUUUAAAAAUAUUUUUAUCGUGUGUUUGCUCCAUUACAGGGUUUCUUCAAUUUAAAAUAGAGAAUCAUUUGUGUUCUAGAUUAAUCGUGGGUCUAUAUCCAAAUCCAAAAAUUGACUAACUUGAUUUCUAUUAAGUUCUCAACCCUAACAAGAAAAAUAAAAGAGUAAAAAUGACUAUUUUGGUUUCUAUUAAUUUGAGUAACGCUUAAUAUUUAUCAUACAAUAGUCACUUAUAUUAUCAAAAUCUUGGGUCGAAAAUAUUAGGAUAGGUGAUAAUUGGAAUUAAGUUGUAGAUAAGAUAGCCUUUCAAAAAAAAGAAAAGAAAAAAAGUUGUAGAUAAGAUAGAAAUGGAUUUGGAGAGAGAUUGGAAUCCUGGCUAAUCCGGUGCACGUUGUUGCGUUAAAUUCUCGUUGACUUCACGUUGACCGAAGCAUUAUUGGAAGAAACAAGCAAGCUUAUUUUCUUCUCUCAUUUUUUACUUUUGUCUAAAUUUAUUGAUGUGAGCCCUCUGAGAUGGUAAAGUGUUAAAUCUGAGAAGAGUACCCACACACCCAUUUGUUGGAGGAUUAACAAUUAAAACACACUAUUUUAUUUCUUCAACAACACUCCUCACCAAUUACAACUCUUAUUUUUCACUCUCUACACCUUAGAGAUUUUGCUGCUUCACUUGAUGUUUAAACCAAAAGGGAGAGGGGGUAUUUAUAUAUGAAACAAACUAAUCACAACCAUUCAUUUAUUCAACUAAUAAACACAUCCUCACCAUCCAUUAAAACCUACCACUCACCUACUUCACCAACCACACCUAACACACCUAACACAAAUAAUUCAAACCUCACCAACCAUACCUACUCAUGGAACCUUCCAUGAGUUGGGCUUGAUUUAUUCAUCUUGGAUCAAGUUUAUGAUCCAACACCUCUCCUUAAACUUGAUCCUGUGACACCAAGCAAACUUCUGAAUCUUACAAAGUCUUCUUGUUUGAGUGGUUUAGUGAAGAUAUCAGCUGCUUGAUCUUGUGAUUUUACAUACUUGAUUUGCACUUCUUUUCUUGCAAUACACUCUCUUAUGAAAUGAUAGCGAGUGGCUAUGUGUUUACUUCGAUCAUGAAAGACUGGAUUCUUGGAUAGGGCAAUUGCUGAUUUGUUAUCAACACAAAUCUCAGUUGGCUCUUCUUGUGCCAAACUCAACUCCUUUAGCAAAUUUCUGAGCCAAAUUGCAUGACAAACACUUGAUGUGGCAGCUACAUAUUCAGCUUCACAGGUGGAUAGCGUGACAAUUGGUUGCUUCUUUGACAUCCAUGUGAAAGCAGUAUCUCCUAUGAAGAACACAAAUCCUGUGGUGUUAUUUCGAUCAUCUACAUCUCCACCCCAAUCGCUAUCGCUAUAUCCAACAAGCUUGUAGUCAUUAGAAAAUGAGUAUAGCAAGCCGAAAUUAGUUGUACCUUUGAUGUAGCGAAGGAUUCUUUUUGCAGCUUUAAAAUGGGUGGUCUUUGGAUUCUCCAUGUAUCGGCUCACAAGUCCAACAACAUAAAGGAUAUCUGGUCUUGUGCAUGUCAAAUAACGUAGGCUUCCAACCAAACUUUUAAAGAAUGUUGGAUCUAUAUCUUCGCCUUCAUCAUGUUUGGAUAACUUGACUCCGCAUUCCACUGGCGUGCUUAUAGGCUUACAAUCAUUCAUCUUGAACUUCUUGAGAAUCUCCUCUGCAUAGCUUUCUUGGGAGAUAAAUAUGCUUUCUUCCUUUUGCUUGACUUCAAUGCCGAGGUAAUAUGCCAUCAGUCCGAUGUCAGUCAUCUCGAACUCUUUGAUCAUCACUCUCUUGAACUCUUCAAACAAGCCUGGAUUACUUCCAGUGAAAAUGAGAUCAUCCACAUACAGGCACACAAUCAAAAUAUCUCCAUAUUUUUCUUUGACGUAGAGAGCAUGUUCAUAUGGGCAUUUGGUGAAGCCUUUCUCUUGAAAAUACUUGUCAAUUCUGCUAUUCCAUGCCCUUGGUGCUUGCUUUAACCCAUAAAGAGCUUUCUUCAAUCUCAAAACUUUGUCCUCGUGUCCUUUCACCACAUAGCCUAAUGGUUGUUCGAUGUAAACUUCUUCUUCAAGGAAUCCAUUCAAGAAAGCAGACUUCACAUCCAUUUGAAAAAUCUUCCAUUUGUUCUGAGCAGCCAAAGAAAUAAUAAGUCUAAUAGUUUUAAGUCGAGCUACAGGAGCAAAUACCUCGUCAUAGUCUAUGCCAGCCUUUUGACUAUAGCCUUUUGCAACUAGCCUCGCCUUGUGCCUUUCAAUUUCUCCCUUCGCAUUUCUUUUUGUUUUAUACACCCAUUUGACACCGAUCGCCUUGUGACCUUUUGGAAGAGUAGUAAGCUCCCAAGUAUCAUUCUUCACAAUGGCUUUGAUUUCUUCAUCCAUUGCAAUUCUCCACUUCUCAUCUAGUGCAGCUUCUUGGAAGUUGACUGGCUCACAAUCAGCAAAGAGGCAAAAGAGAGUGAGAUUAUCAUGUCUCUCAGUUACCUCAUAGAGAUCUUGAAGACUCCUUGCACGUUCUUCGGUUCUUUCAUUUAAGAAAGACGGCGGUGAAUCUCCGCAUGUGGUUGGUGCUGGUGAGAUAGGUGGAGUGGCAGGCUCUUGUUGUUCGUCUACUUGUUUUACCUGUGUAUGAUCAUCUUCUUCAAUGGGAAAGAAGUUGAAGUCAUCCACACCAGAGCCAAAAUCUCAUUCUCCUUCUUCAUCAAAAAUUACAUCUCGACUGAUCACAAUCUUUCCGUUGUUUGGAUUGUAAAGCUUGUAUCCUUUGGAGUUGUUGUCGUAGCCGAUGAAGAUGAACAACUCACUUUUGUCAUCCAGCUUGGCUCUACUUUCGUCUGGUACAUGUACAUGGGCAAUGCUUCCGAAAACUCUUAGAUGGGUGAUGCCAGGUUUUCUUCCACUCCAAGCUUCUUGUGGCGUCUUGCCCCACACGCUUCUUGUUGGAGAUCGAUUGGAUAAGUAGAUUGCACAUGCAACUGCUUCAGCCCAAAAUUCUUUAGGUAGCCUCUUACUCUUAAGCAUGCUUCUUGCCAUGUCGAGGAUGGUUCUGUUCUUCCUUUCUGCAACACCAUUUUGUUGGGGGGAUCUUGGAACUGUCAAAGGGCGUCGAAUUCCAUUUGCUUCACAAAACUCUAAAAAUUCUUUGGAAGUGAACUCUCCACCUCGAUCAGAUCUCAUGGCUUUAAUCUGGUAUCCACUUUCUUUUUCAACUGCAGCUUUAAACUUCUUGAAAGCUUCAAAGACUUCUGAUUUUUGCUUCAAAAAAUACACCCAAGUUUUUCUUGAAAAAUCAUCUAUAAAAAGAAUGAAGUAGUUACUUUUACCAAGGGAGUUUGGCUUGAAUGGACCGCACACAUCAGUAUGAAUGAGCUCGAGUGGCUUCUGAGCUCUUGAGUUUGACUCCUUUGGAAAGCUCUUUCUGAACUGCUUGCCAAGUAAACAUCCUUCACAAAGUUGAUCAGGGUGAUUGAUGUAUGGUAAGCCUUUCACCAUGUUCUUCUUAGAGAGUAGCUCCAGUCCUCUAAAGUUGAGAUGCUCAUAUCGAAGAUGCCAAGUCCAGGAUUGAUCUUUGUGACAGGCUUUGAGACAUUUUGCAACAUCAUUUUGAAUAUUUAAAGGAAACAUUCUAUUCUUUGACAUUCUCACUUUUGUAUUUAGAUUUCCUUUUUCAUCUCUUAGAAAAAGACUAUAAUCUUUUAAGUGAAUAUCAUAGCCCUUUUUCUAAAAGUUGACCUAAACUAAGAAUGUUGCUUUUCAUAUUGGACACAUAGUAAACAUUCGAAAUUAUUUGGUGGCUACCAUCUUUUGCACGAAAAAGAAUGUUACCUCUACCCUUCACUGGUACUUUUGAAUCAUCUCCAAAAGUGACACUGCCAUUCACAAAUUCACUUAGUUGCACGAACAUGCUUCUGUUUCCACUCAUAUGAUUGCUAGCACCUGUGUCAAGAUACCAUGUAUUUUCUUGACCUCCAUUUGUGUCAUUGCGUGCUAGUAAAAGUGUGUCAUCUUCACCAUUUUUCUCUUCAGCAUAGUUCACUCUCUCUUUAAUUCUGGUGCUUGGAGCUCUGCAUUCUGAAGCAUAAUGCCCAAACUUUUGACAAUUAUAGCACUGUACUUGGGAUUUGUCAUACCUCGAUCUUGAAUUGCCUCUGCCUUGUUCUCUGGUUGAGCUUUCUCCUUUGGCAUAAUUGGAGUUGUUGUUGUUGAAAUUCCAACCUCGUCCAUGACCACGACCUCUACCUCGUCCUCGACCUCUACCUCGGACAUAGUGCCUUCUCUCAUUGUCGGAGCUUUCUUCUCUUUUCUUUGGAUUGACUUCCAUCUUGAGAAGUUGUUCUUCGAUUCCUUGCUUCUUUUUUUGUUUUUCUUCAUAGGCUUGCAACCUUCCUUGAAGUUGCUCGAUCGUCAUAUCCUCCAGAUCUCUUGUUUCUUCAAUUGUCAUAACAAUAUGAUCAAACUUCGAGUCUACUGAUCGAAGUAUCUUUUCAAUGAUCCUUACCUCUUUUAACUCCUCGCCAUUUCUUUUUAAUUCAUUGGAAACGGUCACAACUCGAGUAAAGUAGUCAGAAAUUGACUCCGACACCUUCAUGUGUAAGGACUCAAAUUCUCCUCGUAAUGUUUGGAGACGAACCUUCUUAACUUGCUCUGCUCCUUUGUAAGAGGUCUUUAGUUUCUCCCAUGCUUCUUUUGAGGAGGUUGUACCAGCAAUCUUUUCAAAAGCAUCUUCAUCUAAUGAUUGAAAGAUGAGAUACUUUGCUUUAUUCUCUUUCUUCUUCAAGUCUUUUAAAUUCUCCUUCUGCGCCGCAGUUAAAGUGGCUUCAUUUUCUGGCACAAUAAAGCCUUUCUCCACGACAUCCCAUACGUCAUGUGCACUCAAUAGAGCCUUCAUUUUAAUACUCCAAUUGUCAAACUUACUUCCUUUUAAUUGUGGAACUUGAAAUGACAUCAUCAUACCACCGUUUGCCAUAACUCACAAAUUGAGUGAGAAUUUGGAGAUUCUGAAUGCACAGAUGGAUCCGGCACGUCGAAAAACCUUGGGAAGGACUCGAGUCAACUUUCGGUCAACGGUCAACGUCGGUCAACGGUCAACACCGGCUUGGUAGUCUCGGUUCGGUCCGGAUUGGUUCAGCUCGAGUUGGCUCGGUUCGACUUGAUUCGGUUCAGCUCGGCUCGGCUUGGUUCAGUUCGGCUCAGCUUGGUUCAACUCGGUGAGUCGACUCAGCUUCAGGACAUAAAACUUCCGGCGGCAGGUGUGGGCGCGUACGGUCUCGGAUCGGGAUGAUUUUUGCGGCGUCACGUUCCUCUCGUCGAGAUCUUCGAUUUGAUAUGCUAUAUGACUAUAUAUAGCAUCAAACACUAGCUCUGAUACCACUUUGUUGGAGGAUUAACAAUUAAAACACACAAAAAACACACUAUUUUAUUUCUUCAACAACACUCCUCACCAAUUACAACUCUUAUUUUUCACUCUCUACACCUUAGAGAUUUUGCUGCUUCACUUGAUGUUUAAACCAAAGGGGAGAGGGGGUAUUUAUACAUGAAACAAACUAAUCACAACCAUUAAUUUAUUCAACUAAUAAACACAUCCUCACCAUCCAUUAAAACCUACUACUCACCUACUUCACCAACCACACCUAACACACCUAACACAAAUAAUUCAAACCUCACCAACCAUACCUACUCAUGGAACCUUCCAUGAGUUGGGCUUGAUUUAUUCAUCUUGGAUCAAGUUUAUGAUCCAACACCAUUAUCCUAUUACUCUUAUUUUAUCACAUGCAGAGACGUCAACGUUUGAUUCGCACGGAAAAAAAUUUGCGAGGAUUGUGAGGGUUGAUUCAAUAUAAUUUAGAUGCAAAGUGUUUACAAGUGCGAUGCUUCGUAAGUGCACCCGAAUCAUUAUAAACUCACCUUAUUUUCAUAGUGAUUAUUUCAUCUGCAUGUGAAUAUAAUCAUAUGUGGAGAUUUUUUUUUUCCCUAAACGAUGAUCUUCUCUAGUAUUGAGGUGUUAUAUCUUUUAAAUUAUAAUUAUUAUUAGUAAAAAACUGCAACUAUGAAAAAUAAAUUUAAUAUUAUGUCCUGAAUAUAAUUGUUAAAUAAUAAUUUUGACAAAAUUAAUGAAUAUAUACAGAUUUUUUUAUCAUAUAAAUGUAAAAUUAUAUCAACUUAGCUUCUAAGCUAUACAACGGUUACUAUUUACUAAAUACUUUAGUGUCGUAGUUUUUAAGAUAUAUUUAUCCACCCUCAAUCCCAAACAUAACCUGUAAGGAUAAAAAAUUUCAUCCUAAAAAUUAUACGUCUUGUGACUUAUUUAAUUUAUAUUUUUGUUAUUUAUAUUUAUUAAUUAUAGUCAUCUUUUAAUAAAUUACAAUUGAAGGAAGGUGGUUGAUGUUGUCGAGACACACACACAAAGAUAUAUUGGAAGUGCUUAUGUCCACUCGAAGUUGUGGGGAGUUAAUGCAUGUAUUGAUUUAUUGGGAGUGUUAAUGCAUGUAUUGAUUGAUUGAGUGAUUGAAUACUGUUUGAUUGCUUCAUAUCAAUUCUAGAAAGUUUAUUUCUUUGUGAAAUUUCAACGAAACGUGUUUUUUAGAAUAAUAAGGGUGUUUUAAGUAAUUUUAAAAAAUGAAUGGACUAAUUAGAAUUAAUUAUUAGGUAAUUAACUCGAAUUGUAGAGGGUAAGCAAACAUUUAUCCUAAUUAUAUUAUGAUAAAUCCUUUUCCAAUUAGAAUUAGGAAACCAUAGAUAUACUGAAUUUUUUUUUAUUUCCCUUCGCGAAAACGGAUCAGAGAAUUAGAAAACAAUCCUAGUGAUACUAUUGUUAGGUUUAAAACACUGCAUAGAUGGUAAAAACAUUGGAAUUGAUGUAGAUUAAUUUGUUAAUUGCUAUCGUACUGAACAUUGUUUUAUGCAAAUUAAUUUGAGAAUUAGAAAAAAGUUUGUUGCAUGCAAACUUUUUGUUUUAUGCAAAUCGUACUGAACAUUGGGACUGAUGUUUAAGAAAAAAAUUCUGUAGUUAAAGAAAAACAAAAAGGCAUGUUGAAUAGAUUACGAUAGUUUAUUCAAUUGGGAAUUUUUUUUCUUUAAUUUUUGUUGUACUUGAUUGAGAUUUCUCUUUAGUCCUUUCGUACUUCCUUUGUAAGCUGAGUAUAAGGAUGAAAUUCUUUUAAGAAAUUAAAAAAGAAAAAAAAGCAUGCCACUACGCAAUUAUAAAUAACCACAAAUAAAUAUAAACAAAAUGUUUAUGAAGUAAAUUAAACAUGCACAUAUUAUUUUCUUUUAUUUGCUGCUUGGAAACCCAUAAAUGCACUAAUCCAAUAUUACAAUUAAUUUCAAACAGAAAAAAUUGAACUCUAGGCUGCAGUUUGACUCAAAAUGAUGACCACUGGCUUCGCACCAUUCAACCGGUAUACAUUUCUACAAACCGAACAACGCUAUUGAUUUUUAUUUUUUUUUUUAAUUUGUCUAUAAAUUACUAUUUUAAUUUUCACUUUUUAUUGGGUUGUUUAACGGAUUAGUGAAGCUGGUGGUCGUUGAUGCACUCAUAAGGUACAAUUUUAUUUUAGAAUUUCAAAUUCGUAUUUUAAAAUGCAGGCACAUUAUGUAUACAUAAUUAUUGAUUUUCAUAUGUGGGUGUUUUGAAAUAUUGCCAAAAGACCAAACUUUAAUAAACUAUUUUUGAUUUUUUUUUUCCUUUUUACCUAAAGUUGGAGUGAUAUCCGCAUUUUAAAUUCAUGUGGAACAAAGCUAAUGUAAGCACAAAAUUCUUUUAUUUUUUCCGAGAAAAAUGGGUAAGAGAAGAAGAUUUUUCUCUUGAAAAAUGAAAAAAAAUACAAUGCAAGCAUAGGAAAGAGGUCAGUGUUUUGGAUUUGAAUUUAGUAUUGAGCUGAAUUUUAUGCUAAGCUCUUUUAUAGUACUGCGAUUAAUAAGCUAGCUCAGGAUUUGCUUUUGCUUUUACUUCAAGUAAAAGAAAGAGGAAGCCUUUUGUUUUUUUGUUUGAUUUUUGACUAUAUAUGUUACCUAUAUAGAGAGUUGAGGUAGCAGCCUUAAGUGAUGGUGAUAAAAAGAUUAAGCAGUGCACACAAUCUUACUGUCAUCCAGACCAUCCAGUGAUGGCUCUAGUUUUUUUGUUACGUUAGCUUUAGUGGAAAGAAGGGCCAAUUUAACAAAGACUAGAUUUGGUGGCUUACUAUGUUUAAUGUAAUGCUUAUUCUCAGCGCACACAAUCUUACUAUGUUUAAUGUAAUGGUUAUGUUGAAUGAUCUUCUAUGAUUGUGAGUAGUAUAGUAUAAUUGAAAAGGGCCUGGGCUCCUAUGAUGAAUAACAGUAACACAUUACUGUGAUUGAGAAAACUCAGUUCCAAUAAACUCUUCAUUUACUCAUUGCGGAGAUCGAAUGGCAAACAGAGAAUAGAAUGAAGCAGAAGAAUCUCAUUGUUAGGUUUUGAUGAUUUCAGAUGCUUUUUUUUUAAAAAAAAAUUGUGACAUCUUUGAUUUACGGCAGUUUUGCAGAAAAAAAAAACAUAUAAAAAUUAAGAGGGAUGAGUUAACUGACGAUUACAAUCAUUACAGCAAUGCUGAUGAGUGAUAUAUCACUUGAAAUUUACUUGUCAGUUGCUGAAAUGAUGAAAAAAAACCAACAAACGAUAACAGUAAUAAUGUUCCCUUGCUGAAAUUCAAUUUUGACUUUCGACUCUUGGCUUUUAUGGAGAGUAAAAUGACUUGUAUAUUAUACUCAUACAAUCCACUCUACAUAAUGAUAUCGUUUUAAUAAGGCAAUGGCUGAUGAUCUCCAUUUAAAAACUACAUCAAUUUUUUUGCUUCAUUUAACUUUUUGGUUGUUGAAAAUAACCUUAAUUAUCAAAUAAUUGGAGAAAGAGUUAAGAACAUUUAACAAAUUUAUGUGCAAAAAAAAAAAAAAAAGGAAGAAGUUGAAGAGAAAGGGUGCUUGCAGAAGUGGGUGUCAAAGAUAAAUCGGUCCAUAAGAAUUAUUGUGGUUAUUUUUUGGCAAUAUAAAAAUUUUUUAGCAAGUAAAAAUAAUUUUUUUUCCGAUUUACUAAAAAAUUAACUAAAAACUUCUGCGAUGUCAUUUUUUAUGGGUGCAUAUACCCUCCCUUUAAAAAAUUUAUAAUAAUUACUGCUUAAUAUAGUAUUAAAUACGAAAAAUAUCAAUAUUUGACUACUCAAAUUUAUAUCAUUAGGUCCUUAAAAUUUAAAAUGGAAGAUAUGAAAGGAAAUAUAUAUAAAUUUCAUUGUCCUGGGAAAGGACCCUCUUAUUAUCUUAUAAUAUUUGAAAUUUGAUAGAUUUUUUGAAACAAAUGUACUUUUAUUUGUGUACAAUCAAUAUUUACUCAUUUAUUAUAUUUUAAUUUAUUAACUAUCAAUCAUGUAAGUAUACUUAGUCAAAAAAAUUAUAUCAAGAGAGAAUUCUAAUUUCACGCAAAAACAAAUACCAAAACAAAUAUCUCAAUUUCUAUACUAUUCACUUUCCUGUAGAAUCAAUUAUUUAAAAUGCAAGUUUGUGGCUACAGAAAACUCGCCAAAGAAAGAAGAUAAUAACAAUUGAGCAUUGAUGGCAAAACUAAUGCAUCCAAUUCUUCUUGACUUGAUGAGAUGGCGCCAUAACGUAGAAACAAGUACCUAAAUUGACCGGCACUGAGUGGUGUGAAUACUACCAGCCAGUUCAUCUCUUCCAGUCUUGCUUAAUCACAAUCACAAACACCACGAGAUCGACAUUUGCAUUAUAUAUAUCUUCUGCAAUCGAAACACCUUGCAUUACCAAAUAAGCCCGUAACAGACAAAGCAAUCUUUCAUGGAGAGAAACCUUAGUCUCAGUAUGAUCACUGUGUCAUUAACGUACUGCCUGCUUCUUUGCUUGGUUGCUGCAGCAGCAGCAGCGGCAAGCAACAAUAUUACCACAGACCAACAAGCUCUUCUUGCCCUGAAAGAUCAUAUAAUUUAUGAUCCGACCAGCCUUUUAGCUCACAAUUGGACCUCGAAUACCUCUGUUUGUACCUGGAUUGGCAUCACUUGUGAUGCCAAUAGCCAUAGAGUCACAACCUUAGAUAUUUCUCAAUUCAAUCUACAAGGCACCAUCCCUCCUCAACUUGGGAACCUCUCUUCACUCACAACACUUAAUCUUAGUCAUAACAAGCUUUCUGGAAACGUUCCCUCCUCCAUCUACACCAUGCAUACGCUAGAAUUUCUUGACUUCACUGAUAACCAGCUCUCUGGUUCAGUGACUUCCUUCGUCUUGAACAUGUCUUCAAUAUUAGACAUUCGUUUGACCAAUAACAGACUUUCUGGUGAGCUUCCGAAAAAUAUUUAGAGCUAUCUUCCUCAUUUGAAAGCCCUUUUUUUGGACAAAAACAUGUUUCAUAGCAAACUUCCUUCUGCUUUAUCAAAGUGCAAACAACUGCAACAAUUAAAUUUGAAGUUCAAUAAUUUAUCCGGUGCAAUACCAAAAGAAAUCGGCAACUUGACUAUGCUCAAAGGGAUAGACCUCGGCUACAACAAACUCCACGGUAUGUUCAUAAUACUAUACAAAUAUUAUCUUUCUUGAAUACUUUAGAUAAGAUCUUGUAUGUGAGAUUUUUUUGCAUCUAUAUUAAUUUUCCAGGUGAGAUACCGCACGAAAUCGCUAAUCUUCCAAAUCUAGAGGCUUUAGCGCUUGGAAUGAACAACCUAGUUGGUGUGUUACCAGCUCCAAUCUUCAACAUGUCAACACUGAAUGUACUUAUCCUCAUAAAUAACUCUCUCUCCGGUAGUCUUCCAUCAAGAAUGGACCUUUCACUUCCAACUAUUGAGCAUCUUAACUUUGCACUUAAUAGAUUUUCUGGAACAAUUCCUAGUUCCAUAACCAAUGCUUCUAAGCUCACAUUUCUAGAGUUGGGAGGAAACACAUUUUCGGGCUUUAUUCCAAACACAAUUGGUAAUUUAAGAAACCUUGAGUUGUUCGGCUUGGUUUUUAACUACUUGACAUCUUCGAGCUCAAAAUUGAGCUUUCUUUCCUCUUUGGCAAAUUGCAAGAAAUUAAGAGUCAUAGGCUUAACAGGCAAUCCACUCAACGGCAUCCUUCCAAGUUCAGUAGGUAAUCUUUCUAUGUCUUUGAAAACACUUCACAUCGCCAAUUGCAGUAUUAGUGGCAACAUUCCUCCAGCAAUUAGCAAUUUAAGCAACUUGUUGGCCUUAGUAUUAGAAGGCAAUAAAUUGACUGGACCAAUCCCAACUACAUUCGGCCAACUACAGAAACUCCAAGGCUUAGAUCUCGCAUUCAAUAAGUUGGUAGGUUCAUUCCCAGAUGAGCUUUGCCAUCUAGCUAGGCUGGAUGAAUUGGUCUUAUUUGGCAAUAAGCUUUCAGGAUCUAUACCUUCAUGCUUAAGUAACCUCACUUCUCUGAGAUCUCUCCACUUAGGGUCCAAUAGGUUUACUUAUGUCAUUCCCUCAACUUUCUGGAGCCUAAAAGACAUCUUGUUCUUUGACUUUUCAUCAAAUUUCUUGGUUGGUCCUCUUUCUUUAGACAUAGGAAAUUUGAAGGUGCUUCUAGGAAUAAAUUUAUCAGAAAAUAACUUAUCGGGUGAUAUGCCAGCCACAAUUGGAGGACUAAAAAACCUUCAAAUUAUGGACCUAACAUAUAAUAGACUGGAAGGGCAAAUUCCUGAAUCAUUUGGUGACUUGACAAGUUUGGAGGUUUUGAAUUUGUCAAAUAAUAAAAUCUCUGGGUCUAUUCCAAAAUCCAUGGAGAAACUCUUUUACCUUCGAGAGUUAAAUCUCUCUUUCAAUGAACUAGAAGGUGAGAUUCCUAGUGGAGAAAUUUUUACCAACUUCACAGUUGAGUCAUUUAUGGGAAAUGAGUUAUUGUGUGGUUUACCAAAUCUUCAAGUCCAACCAUGCAAACUUAGCAAGCCAAGGACAGAACAUAAAUCAAGGAAAAAGAUACUUCUCAUUGUGAUUGUUUUGCCAUUGAGUAUUGCUCUAACAAUAGCAAUCACUCUACCUCUCAAAUCUAAGCUGACCAAAUGUGGAAAAAGAUGCACAGUGUUGUCAAAUGAUAGUGUCUUGUCAUCACAAGCAACACUAAGAAGAUUUUCAUACUUAGAACUUUUACAAGCAACAGAUAAUUUUGCUGAAAACAACGUAAUUGGCAUAGGUGGUUUUGGUUCUGUUUAUAGAGCAAGACUUGAAGAUGGGAUGAAGAUUGCAAUAAAAGUGUUUCACCAGCAAUGUGCAAGCGCAUUGAAGAGUUUUGAGGCUGAAUGUGAAGUGUUAAAAAAUAUUCGCCAUCGAAAUCUUAUCAAAGUUAUCAGCAGUUAUUCAAACAAUGACUUCAAAGCAUUAGUCCUAGAAUACAUGUCCAACAGGAGCUUGGGGGAUUGGUUGCAUUCCAGCAAUUAUAUGCUGAAUAUAUUUCAAAGGUUGAACAUAAUGAUUGACGUUGCAUCAGCUUUGGAAUAUCUCCACUUCGAUCAUUUACCUCCUAUUAUUCAUUGUGACUUAAAGCCUAGUAAUGUAUUGUUGGAUGAAAAUAUGGUUGCUCAUUUGAGUGAUUUUGGCAUAGCAAAGCUUUUAAUUGGGGAGGAUGUGUAUGUCAUGCGAACAAAAACCCUUGCCACUAUAGGUUACAUCGCACCAGGUUUGCUUCAAACAACUUUUUUUUAGUUCAUUUUAAAUUUUCUAAAUCAUUGAUUUUUACGAUCCUCAUAUCAAAUUGUUAUUGAUUAUUUAUCUAAUUGUGAAAUUAAUUUGAUUCAUAGAGUAUGGCAUAGAAGGAGAAAUAUCUACAAAAAGUGAUGUUUACAGCUAUGGGAUUAUGUCGAUGGAAACUUUUACCAAGAAAAAACCCACAGAUGAAAUUUUUGUUGGAGAAUUGAGCUUAAAGCGUUGGGUUGAUGACUUGCUUCCUGAUUCAUUAGUGGAAGUUGUGGACAAAACUCUAGUAAGUGGAGAGGAAAAACAUUUUGCCGCAAAGGAGCAAUGUCUGUUGUCUAUCUUUAGUUUGGCUCUGGAGUGUACAAUGGAAUCACUGAAAAAGAGGAUCAAUGCAAAAGAUAUUGUUACCAGAUUACUCAAGAUAAGAGACACAUUGAGUAAAAGGAUAGGAAAUUUAAGUUAAUAUCGUUUGCUUUCAUUGAUAGUUAUUUUGAAUUCAUGUAAUAAGUGUACGAACCUUAUAUCUUUUCCUUUGAUAUUUUUUUCCUUGAGAAAACUAUUGUAGUCAUCUUAUUUCCAUGGGCAGAGUUGAUUUAGUUCUUCCAAGAAAUGCUACUGAUGACCUUUGUUUUAUACUUUCUCUUUUUUUGCAUGUGUUUAGGUAGAACAGUGGUUUGGCUGCAGGCUAAGAAGACUAACUACACUAAAAGAAUAUGAUUUAAUUUAUUAAACAAAACUUCAAGAAAAGUAUUUCACUGCCCCCAAUGCUUUGGACACCUACUGGUGGGUUUGUACGUGUCCUCAACUUUUUUUUGGAGCACAAAAUUCGAGUCCCAUGGAGACUCAAACAUUCCUUUCCCACAUCUCGAGCACGCUAAAUUUAUCAGACUGACAACUGGGACAUAUACAAGAGUGAAAUGUUUAGAGCACUCUAAGUUCGAGUGAAAGAGAUUAAUUUACAGAAAAUAAAGCCAAGGGUUCAGAAAAAAGUGCAAAGAGAAUAAAGGAACGUCUGAGCUAUUUAAAGCUUCAUGGAAAGUUGAAGGCUCUCCAUAUUUUGUUAGAAGAUAGUAUGCAACAUUGAUCUCUGUGACAUACUCCGAGUGCCACGUUGGCGGUCGUCUCUCACGAGUUGACCGACGAAUUUCUUGAGCCUCGGACUCGACUAGUUCUUGUUCCUCGUGCUCUGGUGCUGCUUCAGAAGAAUUUGAAUCUUUUGAAUUAUUUUUCACAUAUACCGGUACAGUCUCUGACUUUUCUUUUACAGUGCUAUCAUCCUCAUCUUUCCUUUGCAAUUGAUCUUCUAUAAAAAUAACAUCUCUGCUGAUGACGAUCUUGUGGGCAGUGGGAUCCCACAGACGAUACCCUUUUACUCCAUCAGCAUAUCCCAAGAAGAUACAUCUUCUAGAUUUUGCAUCCAGUUUUGUUUUUUCUUGAGCAUUGUACAUCACGUACACAGGACAUCCAAAUGUAUGUAGGUAGGAAUAAUCAGCUGGCUUUCCAGUCUAUAUCUCCAUCGCUGUCUUCAGCCCAAUUACUGUAGAUGGUGAUCGAUUUACUAUAUAACAGGCAGUUUUGGCUGCUUCUACCCAAAAUGAAUUGGGUAGACCAGCAGUCCUCAACAUAGCUCUUAUCCGUUCUGUAAUAGUUCUAUUCAUCCGCUCUGCCACUCUAUUUUGUUGAGGAGUGUAUGCCACCGUGAACUGUCUCUGAAUACCUUCUUGCUUACAGAAAACAAGAAACUCGCCGUCUAUAUACUCUCCACCAUUAUCUGUCCUCAAGCACUUGAUCUUUUUACCAGAUUCAAGUUCUACCGUGCUUUUAAACACUGGAAAUACAUCUGACUUUUUCUUAAUUGGAUACACCCAACAUCUUCUGGAAUAAUCAUUAAUGAAAGUCACCAUGUACUUUGCACCUCCCAUGGAUAUAUCCGGUGAUUCCCAAAUAUCAAAAUGAAUCAAGUCUAUAAUGCAUUUACUUCUAGCAAUAGAUCUACUGAAUUUUAAUUUAUGCUGCUUACUUGUAACACAAUGCUCGCAAAAUGGUAAACUUACCGAUUUGAGCCCCGGAAGCAAUUUUCGCUCAAAGAGAAUCUUCAAUCCUUGUUCUGACAUGUGGCCAAGUUUGAGAUGCCACAUCAUCGUUGACUCUUCUCCAUUUGACGCGACACAUGCAUCAGCCUCUUGUAGUGUUUCUCCUUUAAGCAUGAAUAAAUUAGCACCGAUCUUUUCUGCCUUCAUCAAUACAAACGCACCUUUAACGAUCUUCAUAAUUCCAUUCUCCACAUGAGUUUUGUACCCAUGACUAUCCAUUUGUCCCAAAGGUAAAAGAUUUUUCUUCAGGCCGUUGACAUGUCGUACCUCCCUAAUUGUGCGAAUUGUACCAUCAAACAUUUUUAUUUUGAUAGUACCAAUACCAACGAUCUCCAAGGCAUGAUCAUUACCCAUAUAUACAGAUCCUCCUGAGAUAGGUUCAUAUGUGUGGAACCAUUCUCUCCGAGAGGUCAUGUGUCAGGUAGCUCCUGAGUCUAUAAGUCAGACAUCAGAUAGUCGUUUUCUGCCUUCUAAAACAGUUGUUGCCUCGCUGUAGAGAAUUUCGCCAUCAUCCGAGGUACUUACGACACAACCCUGAGCAUUUGAUGACUUAGGUUCUUUGCCCACUCUUGUCUUCUAAUUACUCCAACACUCUUUCUUGACGUGCCCUUUCUUGCCACAGUUGUAGCAUUUAACAUUCUUCUUACUUCUAGAUUUUGAUCUACCAUGAUUUUGACUCCCAUUGGGGCCACGUUCCGUUGAUCUCCCUCUCGUCACCGAUAGCGCCUCCGCUUGCUGCGAACUUGCUUGUCUGUUUUUCUUAUUUUUUCGUCUGCUUUCCUCAUUUAAUACAGAGGCUGCAACAUCGUCGAAAACUAGACUGUCCACUGGAUUGCUGUUCGUUAGGUUGAUGAUGAGUUGAUCAUACGAAUCUGGUAGACUUUGAAGUAGAAGCUCUGCACGUUCAUUCUCCUCUAUAUUAUGACCCAACGUUGUAAGUUGUGAAAAUAGAGUCUUCAAGGUGUUGAUGUGAUCGGUUACCAUUAUAGAUUCCGCCAUUUGAAGAGUAUAAAGUUUCCUCUUCAAGAAGAUUUUGUUGUGUAGUGACUUGGCCUCGUACAAUUUUGUGAGAGUAUCCUAAAUUUCCUUCGCUGUAUUUUUCUUUGCCACACUGGAUAAUACUCCGUCUGCAAGUGCCAAGUGUAGAUCAGAAAUGGCAUUGCCAUCUAUCUCGUUCCACUUGUCAUCAGUUAUCUCCAUGGGCCUUUCUCCAAUUGCUUCCAAGUAAUUAUUUUUCCUCAAUACAACUUUCAUCUUAAUUUUCCACAACGAAAAAUUAUUUUCGUUAAAUUUCUCAAUUUCAUACUUUGCUGUCAUUUUGUUGAUAAAUAUUGUACACAAACUAGUGUAUCACCUUGAAUAGUUGUGAGUAUGUGUAAGAAUGCACACCAGAAAAGUUCCUAGGAAAGACUGGAGGGGUCACAAUAGUCCCACUUAAAACUCAGACUCCUUAAGCUCUUAUCGCCUUUGUGACAGAACUUUCCUAGACAUGUAUAAAACCACACAAUUGCUUUACUCACACCACUAUUCCCUGCUUUGUACCGCCAAAUUCUUCGAUCGCUCCCACCGUUUCACGUGAAUAGUACUGUAUACGUGAACAGUACCGUGUACGUGAAUAGUAUCCCUUACGUGAACAGUACCCAACUCUAAAAAAUACAAUAAAUAGCUCUGAUACCACUGUUAGGAAAUUGGUGGGUGAAGCAGGACCGCAGCUAAUAUGAAAUUGGAAGAAAAUAAAGAACAAGGACAAAAAGAGGAUACCAGAAAUUACGUGGUUCGGCUUUUAACCUACGUCCACGGGCGAAAACAGAAGGAAAUAUUUUACUCGUAAAAAGGAGUUACAAGUAUUGUAGUAUUUUAGCUCACUUUCCAAAAUCCCAAUACACCCAAACUCUCAAAACACUAAAACAAGAGCUUAUAAUUUCAAGCUCUCUAAACUCUCUCUAAAUACAAGAAAACUCUUCUCAAAAUUGGAUAAGCAAAUGAGGGAAUGAGCCCCUCUAUUUAUAGCCAAAAUCUUGGCUACUAUUCACUUUUUUUUAAAAAUUAUUUAUUAUUGUUCAAAAUUUCAACAUUCAAAGUUUGAUAUUCAAACUUUGAAUAUCUAGAAUUUUGAAUUUGAUAUUCAAAGUUUGAAUAUCUAGAAGUUUGAAUUUGAUAUUCAAAGUUUGAAUAUCAAGACACCCAAUCUUGACACUAAAUUCACCAGACUGACAACUGGGGCAUAUAGAAGAGCGAAAUAACUGGGACAUAUACAAGAGUGAAAUGUUUAGAGCACGCUAAGUUCGAGUGAAAGAGAUUAAUUUACGGAAACUGAAGCCAAGAGAAUAAAGGACAACACUUACGUGAAGCGACAUAAUUGUAUUGAAAGCACAAUGUCAAAUUCAUACGGAGAUCUAGUAUAUUAUUUACAGCUGGUGAGGGCUAAGAAUUGAUGUAGCUAGAAUACAAAGACGAUAAGGUAUGUUGUGCACUAUUGUUUUAUUCUACGAUCAAUCUUGACCCUUGAUGCUUGGCUCUCAAUCUUGUCCAUUGAUCUUCUUUGAUUUUGGACACUUCAAGACCUUUCAGUAUCAUUCCUUGUUGUUGGUGUCUUCCGUGCUGUAGAAUUCAUAUACAAGCCUUCCCGCCGACUUGCCAAGUAUUCGUUCAUUGAUGCAUUUUUAUCAAACAGCUGGGCUACUUAUGCCAAACACCGCCUGGUUUAACUCCCCCUCUCUAGCUCAACUAUCUGGGAAGACAAUUAAUUGAGAUAUGAAUCAGAAAAUUAAAUUUUAAAAAUUGUAUUCGGACUCUACAUUUUGUAAUGAACAUUGGUUUGACUUGUUAUACAUUUAUGCGUACAUAAUUAAUAACCGAUUCUCAAGUGCGGACAUUCAAGAGCACUGCUUAAAGACCAAAUAUUUUGAUUUACUAUUUUUUGUCUUUCAAUUUUCUUUUAAGUUCUGAUGACGUCCGCAUUUUAAAAUCCUGUGGAACAAAGGCCUGACGUGCAUAUAAAAUUCUUUUAUUUUUUCAGAGGAAAAUGGGUUAGAGAAGAAGAUUUGGCAAAAGAAUUGCAACGGCAUUUGAAACUAGUCUUCGUCUUUUAAUUCUUUUAUAUUUGUUUUUGUUAUUGAUGUUAGCUUGGAUGUGAACCCGUGUGACUGAAUUCAACUUAUAUUUGUUUUUGUUAUUGUUAUUAAUUUUAUUUGUUUUUGUUAAAUUGGACCACCAACAAGGGCGGUCCAUUAUCAAAUCAACACGGUUUAAUUAUUAUUAUUUCUACACUUUUUUUAUGAACAAAUAUAAAAUAAAAGGACAUUUACACCCUCAAUUUUAGUGAAAUAGUCAUUAACACCCCUAAAUUUUUAAAAGUAGACAUCAAGAUCAUUUUUUUACCUUAAUACUCUUAUACGGUACCUCUAUUAUUCCCAAAAAUUGAUUCUAAUGUUUUAUAAUAAAUAAAAAUAAAACAUUAAAAUAAAUGUAAUAACAUAUAUAUUUUAAAAUAAUUUCAAUAUUUAAAAAAUAUUUUUAACAUUUUACAAUCUAUUAACUAUAUUUUAUUAUAUUGAAGUAAAUUUUAUAAUAAAUAGAAUCAUAUUAUUAAAAUAAAUGUAUUAAAAUUUAAAUGAUUUUGAAUAUCAUGUACAAUAAUAAUUUUAACAUUACUAAUAUGUCAGAUUUUUUUUUAAGAAUGUAUUUAGUGCAAAUAUUUCUUUCAAAUCUCCACAAUAAAUAAAAGAUUAAAAUAAAUAUAAUAAUUUACAUAUCUAAAUUUAUUAAAAUAUUUUAAUAUUGUUAGUCUACUGCAUAGAUCACAAUAUUUAUAUAAUAUUUGUAUUUAUUAAAAACUUUAAAAUCAAUUCUUUUGAGAAUAAUAGAGGUAAAGGGUAUAAUGGUCAAAAUGGGGACUUUGUACUCCUUUUUGAAAACUUGAAGGUGUUGGUGGCUAUUUUUCCAAACCUUCAGGGUGUAGAUGUCAUUUUUCCACAAAUAUAUGAGAAAAUUAUCAAGAAAUACAGUAUCUGAACUCUGAAGUAACAAGGAUCACCUUUUAUGAAAUCGAUUGCUUUUCAUGAUAGACUGUUACUAUUUUUCUACAAUAGAUUGAAUUUAGUAAAAAAUUGAUUAAGAUGUCUACUCAUGGAGAGUGAAAUUUAUGUUCAAUACUAAUUUCAACAUGCAUGCACCACCGAACGUGUUUCUCACGGAAAAGUUGCUUGGAUUUUUGGGACUUCCUGUUCAAAUAUUCAACACGGCAUGCACCACGCGAUUGAACAUGCAAAAGUAGGGGUCUAUUAUCAUUUCCAGCAUUAUAGAAAUCUUAAUUUUGUUCAUUAUUUAUUUUGAUCAGCACUGUUGAAUCUCCAUGUAUUGCCAAUCACUGGGAAACAACAUAUUCUUAUUAAUUAUAUCCUCUAAUGGAGAGAACUCAUUGUCUCAGUGUAAGAUCACUGUGUCAUUAACCCACAGCCUGCUGAUUUGCUUGGUUGCUGCAGCAAGCAAAAAUAUUACCACAGAUCAAAAAGCUCUUCUUGCCCCAAAAGAUCACAUAACUUAUGCUCCAACCAAUCUUUUGACCGAAAAUUGGACCUCAAAUACCUCUGUUUGUACGGGGAUUAGCAUCACUUGUGAUGUCAAUAGCCGCAGCCUUGGAUAUUUCUCAAUUCAAUCUACAAGGCACCAUUAUUCCAAACACAACUGGUAAUUUAAGAAACCUUAAGUGGCUCGGCUUGGCUUAUAAACUACUUGACAUCUUCAACUUCAAAAUUGAGCUUUCUUUCCUCUUUGGCAAAUUGCAAAAAAUUAAGAAUCUUAGGCUUACUGGAAAUCCACUUGACCGUAUCCUCUCACGUUCAAUAGGUAAUCUUUCUAUGUCUUAGGAAAGAUUUCACGUCGCCAAUUGCAGCAUUAGUGGCAGAAUUCCUCAAGUAAUCAGCAAUUUAAGCAACUUGUUGGCAGUUGUGCAAAAUUUUAAUAUACUCGCAAGUGCACGAAUCUAGAAAUAGAAUAAUGGUAAUGAGGUCAAACCCAUAGGGAUUGUUUUAAAAUGACAAAAGAAUAGCUGCUGGUCUAGAGGUGGCUUACUACAUUCAUACAAGAUCGUUUCUUGUUCUCUAAGAUGUGCAUUAUACUAAUAAUGCUAUACAAACUUAUCCAAAGGUCUAUUAAUUAAUUCAUUAAUCCAACGGCUUGUUAGGUUGUCCUUUCAUCCAUACAGCUGCAUGCUUGUCUUCAUAUACACUGAUCUUAUCCUCUAGAUCUGUUCAGGCUGAGUGAUCUCUCACAUUUGCCAUAUCAGAAGAUUACAUGCCAGUAAUGUCAUGUGAUGACCUGUUGCUUGGUGAUGUCGAAUGCCUGGCCUUUACUUCUCUGAGCAAAUUGAUCAAACAAUUUGUUCAUUUUAUCGAACACCUUCACCAACUAACAUUUUAUUUACUUUGGAUGGUUUUUAAGUGCAUUUAAUGAUUAUUUUUGCUCCAACUUCAGAUAAACCAAACGCCAGUAUAUUAGAAGAAGAAGUUAACUGGCAGCUAACCAGGUCAAAAUAGCGACUCUAUAUAAAAAAAAUAUAUAAAAUAAAAAAAUGGGACUUUAUUUAAUUAAUUGUUGGUCUAAAGCUGUUGGUAUCCGUUGGCCACGUUUCUGAAGAGUCAUCUCAAAUCGAAAUUUUUAACGAACAAAGGACAUUGCUGCUGGCUGCCGCCCGUGAGAUAAAAGUGCUAAAAUCCAAAAUGUUCCACCAUCAUUUAUUCUAAUUUUAAUUUUCCAAUGGAAAAAAUUACAUAAUUAAAAUGGCUUCUAAUAUCAUUUCCACACCUCAAUAUGUGUCACUAUCAUAAAGUUGUUCUCAUGAUUCAUGGAAAAUUUGGAUUACAGCACCUGUACUUUCUGAUGGUUCAUUAUUUAUUCUCAGGAAUCGAGUCUCCUUACAUUACCAAACUAAUAACAAACAGGAAUCUUUUAUCCUUUCACGGUGAGAAAUUACAGUCUUCGUAUGAUCGCAGUGCCAUUAACCCACUGCCUGCUUCUUUACUUGGUUGUUGCAGUAGCAGCAGCAAGCUACAUUACCACAGACCAACAAGCUCUUCUUGCCCUGAAAGCUCAUAUAAGUUAUGAUCCAACUAAUCUUUUGGCUCAAAAUUGGACCUCAAAUACCUCUGUUUGUAACUGGAUAGGCAUUACUUGUAAUGUCAAUAGCCAUAGAGUUACAGCAUUUGGAUGAAUUUUUAUUGAAACCUUUCUGAGAAGUAGGACAUGUCAGACAUCAAAGCACUGAGAUAUCUUCAAAUAGUGGUAACCCCACUCAUCAAGGCACAAUAAAUUAUACAGAUAAAAUCCUCCACUCUUUCGUAAUCAUCGGUGUAGGCACGGUGAUGCGUCGGACAGAUAUGGGUCGGAUCCACUCCAGCUCCAUAUCAAGAUUCAUAAACCAUGACAAAAAUAGAGAAUCAUAGGUGUUGCAGAUAGUGAUGGUUGUUGAUGCACUCGUAAUUUAAAAUUUUAUUUUAUAUCUUCAAGUUCGCAUUUUAAGUGUACAUUUUUUUUUUAUUUUGUGAUCAAUAUAACUUGUCAAAUCUAUUUUUAAAUAAUUUUUUAAAACAUUUUAUUAACAAUGAUAUGAAAAUAUUCGACCCCUUUUCAUAGUAAAGUGAAUUAUUAUCCGACAAUCCAACUCAUGUUUUCAAAUUGUAAAUUGCAAAUCGUGUGUUUGCUCCUGUUAGAGUGCAAUUUAUGCACUAGUUUUGCAUUGUUUACUUCCCUUAAUAUCGAUGUUUUGCACUUAAUAAUAAUGAUUUACUUGUGUUUUACUUUUGUAGGUGCAAUUCUAUUGAUUUGUGAUAAAAUUGAGCUAUAAGAUGAUGUUUAAAGAUGAUUGUUCUCUUGGAGAAAUGAUGAGCGUCAGAAGAACUUUGUUGAUAAGGCGUGAGCGCGUGCUGUCAACUACGGGCCUGCUGUUUUUAGUUUAACGUGUUUUGUAUUUUUGGUUAUUUUUGUAAUUACGAAUUUAAUAUUUCAGAUAUUAGUAUUUUAUUUUAAAUAGAAUUCUAGAGGAGAAGAGAGAGAGAGUAUUUAAGGGAGGAAUCUAUUGUGAAAAAAGGGGAUUUUGGAUUGGAGGAAAAGAAAAGAAACCCUAGAUCUAAUUUUUCUCUUCUCUCUAUGAAGAACUAAACUUAUUUUUCUGGUUGAAGGAUAAUGAAGCUUUGAUUCAUCACUACUGUGAGAUCUUUCUUGUGCUUUAAUUGUUUUAUUGCUUUUUGGGUAUUUGUUUAUUCUCUGAAUUAUUUUCAUGAUUAUGUUUGUUAAUUAGAUAAUUGGCCACUAUUUAAUUAUCAACUUAAUCUAUUGUUAAUUAAAGGAUUUAUCGUAUGAAGAAUUUAAUGUUUGUGACAAAUAACAUAGCAGAGAGUUGUGUUGUGAGAAUAAACAAUCUAAUUUAAAUGAAUCAUCAUAUGUGUUGAUUAGGAUUUAGGUCUCUCUGGUUUUUCAGGCUGUCAAUUGAUUAAAUCCUAUGAUCGUAUCUAGGGUUGUCCAUUGAUUAGGGAAAUAUCCAACGGUCGUACCUUGGUUAUCGACUAAUUAAGGAGAGAUUGGCUAUUAGAGGGUCUCAGUAGCUAUAACCGGUCUAUUCAUAAGUAAUAAUAAUUUAUAUUUGAAUCAAUGAUCAGUAGUCGAAUCAAGCUGAGUUAAUUCCUUCAACCGGAGCUUUCUCCAAUUUGAAUUACAACUUUAAUUUGCAUUCUUGUUAUUUUAAUUUGAUUUUUAUUAUUGUCAACAAUUCCCCCAUUUUACGUUUUACGUUUCAAAAGGAUUUAAAUAAUUACCGAUCUCUGUGGACACGACCCUGCUCAAUCACUAUACACAAUUUAUUUAGAGUAGGAAUUUAUUUUUGUUGGCUUCGACAACCAUCAAAUUUUGGCACUGUUGCCGGGGAUUGGUGUCAUUUAUUUAAUCCUUUUUACGUUUUACUUGGUGUAUGAUUCGUUCUUCUCGUACAGGUACACUUUCGUUUGAUCCUGAAAUUGAGAAGAUAGCUCGCCACCUGAGACAGCAGACGAAGCGAGCUAAGCAACGAUCCUCGUCACCUUUGCUUUCUGAAACAGAUACGGUGCUUGAUUUAGUUGAAUCAUCUAGCGAUUCGGAAGAACAAGUGAUGGAUAGAGUUGCACCUGUAGAAAGAACUCUUAGAGAGUUAGCUGAACCAGACUUGAAUCAACAACCACUCUGCAUUCAAUAUGUAGACUUGGAGGUAAAUUUUGAAUUAAAGUCUGGUCUUAUUCAUUUAUUACCCAAGUUUCGUGGUUUUGCAGGUGAAGAUCCUCAUAAACAUCUUAAGGAGUUUCAUGUUGUGUGUUCAAGUAUGAGGCCACAAGGCGUGACUGAAGAGCAGAUUAAGCUGCGUGCUUUUCCGUUCUCUGUAGAUGGGCUAGCUAAAGACUGGUUGUACUACUUGCCUCCUGGAUCGAUUACAACGUGGAAUGGUUUGAAGAAGCAAUUCCUCGAGAAGUACUUUCCUACUUCAAGAGCUGCCAACAUCAGAAAAGAUAUUUGUGGGAUCAGACAACUUCCUGGGGAGACUUUGUAUGAGUAUUGGGAGCGAUUUAAACAAUUGUGUGCCAGCUGUCCUCAGCAUCAGAUUUCUGAUCAACUUCUUAUUCAAUAUUUUUACGAAGGACUGUCAUUGAUGGAUAGGAGUAUGAUAGAUGCUGCUAGUGGAGGCGUGUUGGUGAACAAGACCCCUACUCAAGCAAGGGAGCUGAUAUCAAAUAUGGCUGCCAAUGCACAACAAUUUGGCAGCAGGCAAGAUCCCACUUCAAGGAAGGUAAAUGAGGUAAAUAUUUCUUCUGUUGAACAACGUUUAGAUAAACUUACUUCUCUUGUGGAAAAGUUUGUUGUAGGUAAUGUGCAACAUAUGAAGACUUGUGGCAUUUGUUACAAUAUGGGUCAUUCAAUUGAUAUGUGUCCUACACUUCAAGAAGAACCCGUUGAACAAGCCAAUGCAAUUCAAGGAUUUCCAGGCAUGCCUCAGAGGAGGUAUGAUCCUUAUGCACAAACAUACAAUCCGGGAUGGAAGGAUCAUCCCAACUUCAGCUAUGGAGUUAGGCCGUCAGGAUUCCCACAACAGUAUCCACCAAGACAACCAGCACCUCCACAGUCAAACUCCAAGUCAGGUAUAUCUCUUGAAGAAAUUGUUAAAUCACUUGCGACUAACACUCAACAAUUUCAGCAGGCAACUACAGCAAGCAUUCAGAAUUUGGAGAACCAAAUGAGUCAAUUGGCGAUUACAGUGAGCCGUCUGGAGUCUCAAGUAUUAGGGAGAUUGCCUUCACAAUCUGAGGUGAAUCCAAAGCAAAACAUUAGUGCUGUCAUCCUUAGAAGUGGGAAGGAGUUGCAAGAGCCUAGUAAGAAAGUGACAAAGCAUGUAGAAGAUGAGUUUGAGAAGAAUGAAUUGAUGCCUCAAUCUCAAGAUGUGGAACCCACCAGAGCGAAACCCCUACCUAUUGUGAUACCUCCUCCUUUUCCAAGCCGGUUUGCAAAAUCCAAGAAGGAGGAACAAGAGAAAGACAUCCUUGAGACAUUUCGCAAGGUUGAGGUAAAUAUUCCUUUAUUAGAUGCUAUAAAACAAAUACCUCGAUAUGCUAAAGUCCUUAAGGAACUGUGCACCUCCAAGAGAAAAUUAAGAGGAGAUGAAAAAGUUCACAUGGGGGAGAAUGUUUCAGCAGUUCUCCAAAAGAAACUACCUCCUAAGUGCAAGGAUCCAUGUAUGUUUACUAUCCCUUGUAAAAUUGGUAGUGUUAGAAUUGAAAAGGCUUUGUUAGAUCUAGGAGCUGCUAUUAAUGUCAUGCCUCGUUCCAUUUAUUCAUCUUUAAAUUUGGUCCAUUAAAAGAAACUGGCGUGAUAAUUCAACUAGCUGAUAGGUCUAAUGCAUAUCCUGAUGGGGUAUUAGAAGAUGUCUUAGUACAAGUUAAUGAGUUGGUUUUUCCUGCUGAUUUUUAUGUACUUGAUAUGGAAGAGGAUAACUCCUCUAAUUCUGUCCCAAUUUUGCUAGGAAGACCUUUUCUUAAGACUGCUAGGACUAAAAUGGAUGUACAUAAAGGGACUCUUACUAUGGAGUUUGAUGGAGAGGUUAUAGAAUUCAAUAUGAAUGAUGCCAUGAAAUAUCAUAGUGAGGAACAUUCGGUAUUUUCUGUAGAUGUUAUUAACCCGAUAGUGCAGGAAGUUAUUUACAAGGAAAAAACGACGACAUUUCAUGAUAGAAUGAUUUUGUGAAAGGAGUUCUCUGUUGGUCAAAAAGUUCUUCUUUUUCAUUCUAAGCUUAAACUUUUUUCGGGUAAAUUACGUUCUUGCUGGGUUGGACCUUUUAUUGUUACUAAUAUUUUUCCUCAUGGUGCAGUUGAGAUUCGGAGUCCGACCUCUGACAAAGUUUCUAAGGUUAAUGGUCAUCGCUUAAAACCUUUUUAUGAAGGUUUUUCGGUGAAUAUUGUGGAGGAUGUGGCUCUCGAGAGUCCCAAUUAUGGAGAUUGAUGCAUAAAUGUGUCUAGCCAAAGACAUAAAACAAAGGCGCUUUUUGGGAGGCAACCCAAAUGAUUUAUUUAUUUUGGUUUUUGUUAUAUCUUCUUUUAAUUUUGAUUCUUUUUUUUUUUAAUGUGUUUGCUUAUUUUGGUCAGAAUAAAAUUUUUGAUAAGGCGUGUCCACGUCUUAACUAAUAAGUACUUCUGUGAUUUUUAAAGUAAAAUGGUUUUAAGGUGUGCCCACGUGCUUAUUAAAAAAGUGCAUCUGAAAUUUUUGUUGUCUCAAAGUGAUUCAUCACAAAAAUAAAAAAAAAAUUAUUUAUUUAUUAUUUUUUUUUCUAUUUAUUUUUUUUUAAAAAAACGAAAAAAAAAGGAGAUUUUCUUUUGUUCUUUCUUUUAUAUAUUUAUUUAUUUAUUUAUAAAAAAAAUUCAAAAAAUCACUGUUAAAAAAAAAAAUUUACUGUUCAUAAAAUCCCUAAUUUUCCAGAACUUGUUUUCUUCUCCAACCGCUUGCAGCACACCAGCAGCAAAGCAGCCCGCCGGAAAACGCACCACCCCGCGCGCGCAGCACCAGCAUCGAGCACCAUCCCGCGAGCGCAGCACCAGCAUUCUGUGUCUCGCAGCCCAGCAGCGCGCAACGAAGUCCCACCAGCGCGCAACGCAGCCUCACCAGCGCGCAACGCAGCCCCAACGCACAGCAAACGAGCACGCCCCGCAACGCAGAUCCGCAGCUCUAGCCCGCCCGCGCAGCGCAAAUCAAUCCAGCCAUCACCAUCGCGCAGCGCAUCGGUCCCGCGCGCGCAACGCAACGCAGCAUCAGCAUCCCACGUCCAGCGAGCAGCAACCCGCGCGCGCAGAUCUAGUCUUCGCCCAGCAGCGCGCAGAACCAGCGUCAGCCUAGCUCUCGCGCGCAACACAGCCCACGCAGCACGCAGAUCUAGUAGCCCCAGCGCGCGCGCACAACACAAUCAGCGCCAUCCCGCGUCCAUCAAGCAAGCUCCAGCCGAGCAGCAAUCGCAACGCAACCAACGUACGACCUAUAUUCCAGCUGGAUAAAUCGAAAUCCGUGAGUGCAAUUAUUGUAACAAUGCCGAAGAGAAAAGCAUCAACUUCCAAGUCAUCUAAAAAGACACCCGUCGCAAAUAAAUCCAAGAUUGCCGGUCCCACUACGGUUCCUUGGAACACAAUUUCAGAUUCACGCCAAGCCGUGAGACAAAGCUCGAAACAUGGAAAAGGCAUGAGUGUUUUGCCACUUGCAGAAUCCAAUCUUGGAGGGUGCCUCGCAUUCGCGACUCAACAAGAGAAAGAGAGGUACAAAGAUAUUUUCACGCACAAAAUACUUCCAGCUAAGUAUAUUCCUUACCUGACUCUUGAAAAAUUGAAUGUUAAGGAUAAUUUUGAUUCUUUGAUAGAUAAGAUUGGGUUGCGUAAGUUUGUUGAUGUUGAUUGUUUGGGUUAUGUUGAGUUGAUUAGGGAGUUUUAUGCUACUUUUCAAUUUAAUAUGUCGAAUGAUUUUACUUUGCAUACCCCGGAUGUCAUAAAGUUUAGGUUAAUGGGACGAAAUUUUUCACACUCUAUCACGGAUUUUAACCUAGCUUUAGGAUUCAUUGAUGAUGAUUAUUCUUCUAGUGAUGCAUAUUUAGGAACAACUUGUGACUUUAGCGAAAAUUUUGAGCCUUAUGGUCUUUGCCGUAAUUUAUCUGUUGAUCACAAUGCUUAUGACCCAAGUAAAUCAAAGAGUUCUUUCUUACGUGAUCCUGUUUUGAAAUGUGUGCAUCGAUUCUUAGCAUAUAAAUUUUUAGGCAAGAAAGAUCACUCAGGAGUUUUCUCUAAAACUGAAUUUUAUUUUAUCUGGUGCAUGUUAAAUGAUGUGAGGCCUAAUUUAGGUUUUUGGUUAGCGGAUUAAUUUCAAAGUGUGCUUAAACGGUAUAUGACUUUAUUUCUUGGUCCAUACAUUACUCUGUUAGCUGUAAACCUACCUAUGUGUGCUUGAUCUUGACAAUAAUGAUUUGCAUCUUGCUUGAUUUUUGGAUAUGUCUGAGUUUGAAAGAACAGGUGUGGUCGAAUUCAAGGAGGGGAGAUUUCAGUUUACUGAACCAGCACCCACUCAACCUCCGAAGAAGCUUUAUGCUAGAAGUGGUGCUACCUCUGAUGACGAGUUUGACGACGACACUGCUGCCCCGCCAACUAUUCCUUCUACAUCCGCACCACCUUUGAGCAUUCAGUUAGAGAAAAUGGAGCACAAGCUGCACAAGAUGGAGCAGAAUUUGGCCGCACACUUCGAGAGUGUGGGAUUUACCCCACCAUUUCCGCCAAGCCCAUAGACGUUAUGUGGAUCAAAGUUCACAAUUCAGGGAAGUUUCUUUUUGCCCUUAAUCUUUUAUCCUUACGCUUUAAUUUUUGUGUGAGCUUUGAUUAUCUUACAUUGGGGACAAUGUAAGUUCUUGGUGUGGGGGAGGGAUUUUUGCAUUAUUGAUGUCUGAAAUUAUUGUUUUCACUCUACUCAUCCUUAAAUGAUUUUGGAGUUAGUAUGCUUUAUAUAUUAUUAAUUUUCUUUUCCUUUCUCUCUCACUACUCUUUUCCCAUCUAUCUCAAAUUAUUUACAUCUAUUUUUUUUUCUAUCAUACUCUUUCAUCACUCACAUUUUAUCUUUCAUUUUUUUUACUACAUACAUCUUUCUCGCUUAUUAUCCUUUUUACCUUUCCUUUUAUAUCUCACUCAUACCUUCUUCUCAUUCUACACCACUAUUGAUGGUUGAUUCGUUUGAAGAGUGUACAGGAUUUGAUGGCAAAUUUACCAACUUUGUGAGGAUUUAAGCCUAUGAGCAACCACUUUGCUCUAAUUAUUUUUUGUUAUGUGAAUAUCAAUCCUAGUUUGUUUAUUCUAGAACUUGCUUUGUUAUGCAUGUUGAAGCCACAUUACGGGAUUUUAUGCAUUAAAAUGAUAAGGGCAAACCCUUUUCUAUUUUUCUAUUCUCCCAUUUUUUUUUCUCUAUCCGAAGACCUUUAUUUGCUAUCUUGGUUUGAGCCUUAACCAUUACCCAUCUAAUUCUCUCCGUCUACUUAACCAUUUUUCUUCUUUUUGAGCCUCAAUUUAAUGAGAUUUUUUUUGGACUCAUUGUGUGGAUAUAUUUUGUUGCUUUUUCUACCUUGUAUUAAAGUUUCUCAAUUAGAUCAACAAGCAUUAUGCUUGAAUUGAAUUGUGCAAGGUUCGUUUCUUUUGUUUGAUUCAAAAACAAAAAAAAAAAGAAAAAGAAAAAGAAAAAGAAAAAUCGAAAAAAAAAGAAAAAAAAUGUUUACAUUCUUGGUGACAUGAGUAGAAAUAAGCAUUUUGAUAUCAUAAGUUCAUUCAAUGAGUUCAUUCUUCUCAUUUUGAUCUCUUUUUCUUUCGUAAACCUUUCUUUUUCAUUCAACCUAUUUAACCCCAUUACAACCCUUUUAAGACCCUUAGAUUUUUGCAUUUUAUUCAUGUUUUGUGGAUUGAGAUGUGAUAUAUGAGCAAGCUUAUGGUAAUAGCAUUCUUUGAUUUGAUUUGAGUGAAUAAAUGACACCCUAAAUACUUUGAGUGCAUGGAGUGAAGUUAUUGAGAGGGCUAUUAAAUAUUGUUGCACUUGAAUUUUGAAUGGAUCUUCUUGGUGGUUGAAUGUUCUUAUUCUAUCUUAUGAAAUUCUAUGCUUUAAAAUCCUUGUCUCUAGAAUGUUGAUCGACUUAAUUUCUUGAGGUAUGCUUGCCUAAAAUUGUUUUUGGAUGAGUUGAGAUGAGAAUUGAGUGGAACUUUGGGAUUAAUCUUGAGUUAUAUGCUUGAGGACAAGCAUCAUCUUGGUGUGGGGGAAUUUGUUAGAGUGCAAUUUAUGCACUAGUUUUGCAUUGUUUACUUCCCUUAAUAUCGAUGUUUUGCACUUAAUAAUAAUGAUUUACUUGUGUUUUACUUUUGUUGGUGCAAUUCUAUUUAUUUGUGAUAAAAUUGAGCUAUAAGAUGAUGUUUAAAGAUGAUUGUUCUCUUGGAGAAAUUAUGAGCAUCAGAAGAACUUUGUUGAUAAGGCGUGGGCGCGUGCUGUCAACUACGGACCUGCAGUUUUUAGUUUAACGUGUUUUGUAUUUUUGGUUAUUUUUGUAAUUAUGAAUUUAAUAUUUCAGAUAUUAGUAUUUUAUUUUAAAUAGAAUUCUAGAGGAGAAGAGAGAGAGAGUAUUUAAGGGAGGAAUCUAUUGUGAAAAAAAGGGAUUUUGGAUUGGAGGAAAAGAAAAGAAACCCUAGAUCUAAUUUUUCUCUUCUCUCUAUGAAGAACUAAACUUAUUUUUCUGGUUGAAGGAUAAUGAAGCUUUGAUUCAUCACUACUGUGAGAUCUUUCUUGUGCUUUAAUUGUUUUAUUGCUUUUUGGGUAUUUGUUUAUUCUCUGAAUUAUUUUCAUGAUUAUGUUUGUUAAUUAGAUAAUUGGGCACUAUUUAAUUAUCAACUUAAUCUAUUGUUAAUUAAAGGAUUCAUCGUAUGAAGAAUUUAAUGUUUGUGACAAAUAACAUAGCAGAGAAUUGUGUUGUGAGAAUAAACAAUCUAAUUUAAAUGAAUCAUCAUAUGUGUUGAUUAGGAUUUGGGUCUCUCUGGUUUUUCAGGCUGUCAAUUGAUUAAAUCCUAUGAUCGUAUCUAGGGUUGUCUAUUGAUUAGGGAAAUAUCCAAUGGUCGUACCUUGGUUAUCGACUAAUUAAGGAGAGAUUGGCUAUUAGAGGGUCUCAGUAGCUAUAACCGGUCUAUUCAUAAGUAAUAAUAAUUUAUAUUUGAAUCAAUGAUCAGUAGUCGAAUCAAGCUGAGUUAAUUCCUUCAACCAGAGCUUUCUCCAAUUUGAAUUACAACUUUAAUUUGCAUUCUUGUUAUUUUAAUUUGAUUUUUAUUAUUAUCAACAAUUCUCCCAUUUUACGUUUUACGUUUCAAAAGGAUUUAAAUAAUUACCGAUCUCUGUGGACACGACCCUGCUCAAUCACUAUACACAAUUUAUUUAGAGUAGGAAUUUAUUUUUGUUGGCUUCGACAACCAUCAGCUCCAUUACAGAGUUUCAUCAAUUUGAAAUAGAGAAUCAUUUGUGUUCUAGAUUAAUCGAGGGUCUAUAUCCAAAUCUAAAAAUUGACUAACUUGGUUUCUAUUAAAUUCUUAAUCCUAACAAGAAAAAUAGAAGAUUAAAAAUGACUAAUUUGGUUUCUAUUAAUUUGAGUAACGAUCGAAUUACCUCAUUUAUUAAGAUUUAUCAAAAUCCUAUGUCAAAAUCCAUUAAUAAUAUAGGUUGGAUGAUGAAAUAGUCACUUAUUAUUAUUUUUGACUUCAUAAAUAGAUGAACGGAUGUUAUUUUUGGAUUCUGGAGAAUCCAAAAUAUCAGGAUAUGUGAUAAAUGGAAUUAAGUUGUAGAUAAGAUAGAAAUGGAUUUGGAGAGAGAUUGGAAUCCUGGGUAAUCCGGUGUACGUUGUUGUGUUGAAUGCUCGUUGACUUCACGUUGACUGACACAUUAUUGGAAGAAGUGAGCAAGCUUAUUUUCUUCUCUCAUUUUUAAAUUUGUCUAAGUUUAUUGAUGUGAGGCCUUUGAGAUUGUAAGUUUCAAAUCUGAGAAGAAUAACCACACACCCAUUAAUAAAUUUGUGAGGAUUGUGAGGGUUGAUGCAAUAUAAUUUAGAUGCAAAGUGUUUACAAGUACGAUGCUUCAUAAGUGUUCUUCAAUCAUUAUAAACUCACGUUAUUUUUAUAAUGAUUGUUUCAUCUGCACAUGGAUAUAAUCAUAUGUUGAGAUUUUUUCCUAAAUUAUGGUCUUAUUUGGUAUUGAGGUGUUAGAUCUUUUAAGAUACAAUUACUAUUGGAAAAAAUAGUGCAACUAUGAAAUAAAAGUUAAUAUUGUGUACUAAUUAUAAUUGUUAAAUAAUAAUUUUGACAAAAUUAGUGAAGAUAUAUAGUUUUUUUUUUAUCAUAUAAGUAUAAAAUCAAAUCAACUUAACUUCUAAACUAUAUAGCAGCUACUGCUUACCAAAUAUUUUAGUGCUGUAGCUUUUAAGUUAUAACUGCCUAACCUCAGUCUCAAACAAUGGCUAUAAAGAUCAAAGAUUUCCUCAUAAAAAUUAUACGUCUUGUGAUUGCUUAUUUAAUUUAUAUUUUUUUAUUUAUCUUUAUUAAUUACAAUCAUCUUUUAAUAAAUUACAAUUGGAGGAAGUUGAUGUUCGAAGUGCUUAUGUCGACUCGAAGUUGUUGGGAAUUAAUGCAUGUAUUGAUUUAUUGGGAGUGUUUAAAUGAUUUUGUGAUUUACUUGAUUGAUUGAUUGAAUAUUGUUUGAUUACUUUGUAUCCAUUCUAGAAAGUUUAUUUCUUUGUGAAAUUUCGACAAAAUAUGUUUUUCUUUUUAAAUAAUAAGGGUGUUUUAAGUAAUUUUUAAAAAUAAAUGGACUAACUAGAAUUAAUUAUUAGGUAACUAACUCGAACUGUACAAGGUAAGCGAACAUUUAUGCUGAUUAUAUCAUGAUAAAUCAUUUUCCGAUUAGAAUUAGGAAACCAUUAGCAUAUUGACUUUUUUUUUUUUUUUUUUCAAUCUCCCUUUGCGAAAACGGAUUACAGAAUUAGAAAACAAUCCUAAUGAUAUUAUUGUUAGGUUUAAAACACGGCAUAGAUAGUCAAAAGCUAACUAGUCUGCAGUAAUUUGUUAAUUGCUAUCGCCUCUCCAUGCGUGGUGAAUAAUUUGUUGCAUGCAAACUUUUUCCAUUUUAAAUAAACACAACGCGAUGUUUAUCUGCUCCGCGUUUUGCAAUCUGUUUAUUCGUUGUUUAUUUGCUUCGUAAGUCCUCAAACUUUGAUAACCAAAAAUUUCACCAAACUAUGAAAAUUAUUCUGCAGGUUAGUUUUUAUUUUCGGAAUAAUUAUUUGAGAAUACUAAAACACAAUAUAAAAUAAGAAAAUAGGGGGUUAAAAUUUGAAAAAAAAAAACAAAAGGGCAUGUUGGAUAGAUUACUGUGGUUUAAGAAAAAAAAUUAUUCAGUUGGGAAUUUUUUUUCUUUAAUUUUUGUUUUACUUAAUUGAGAUUUCUCCUUAAUCCUUACAGUUUUAAAUUUGGAUAACAUAGGAUUAGUAAUUUAGUACUUCCUUUGCAAGCUGAGGUUAAGGAUGAAAUUCUUUUAAGAAAAAAAGAUAAAAGAGCAUAACAAUAGUCAAUUAUAAAUAACCACAAAUAAAUACAAACAAAAUGUUUAUGAAGUAAAUUAAAAAUGCACAUAUUAUUUUUUAUUUUAUUUCUUACUAAUCUGUGUAUUUGCUGCUUGAAAAACCAUAAAUACACAGAUGACCAUUGGCUUCGCACCAUUUAAUCGGGAUACAUUUCUACGUACAAACUGAACAAGGCUAUUGAUUUUUAUUUAUUUAUAAAUUACUAUUUCAAUUUUCACUUUUUAUUGGGUUGUUUAAUGGAUUAGUGAGGCUGGUGGUCGUUGAUGCACUCACAAGGUACAAUUUUGUUUUCAAAUUUCAAAUUCGUAUUUUAAAAUGCAGCACAUUAUGCAUACAUAAUUAUUGAUUUUCAUAUGUGGGUGUUUUGAAAUAUUGCUAAAAGGCCAAACUUUAAUAAACUAUUUUUGAUCCUUUUUUGUUUCUUUUUUCCUAAAGUUUGAGUGAUAUCCGCAUUUUUAAAAGCUAAUGUAUGCAAAAAAUUCUUUCAUUUUUCUGGGGAAAAUAGGUAAGAGAAAAAGUUUUGGCAAAUGAGCUGCAACUGAAUUCAAAACCAAUACGAUGCGAGCAUAGGAAAGAGGUCAGUGUUUUGGAUUUGAAUUUAAAGAGGUCAGUGUUUUGGAUUUGAAUUUAGUAUUGAGCUGAAUUUUAUGUUUAACACAUGAUUCUAUUAUAGUACUGCGAUUAAUAAGCUCAGCCCCGGAUUUGCUUUUGCUUUUGCUUUUACUUCAAGUGAAAGAAAGAGGAAACCUUUUGUUUUUUCUUUGGUUUUUGACUAUGUUACCUAUACAGAGAGUCAAGAUAUCAGCCAUAAGUGAUGGUGUUAAAAAGAUUAAGCAGCGCACACAAUCUUACUGCUGUCUAGACGAUCCAAUGAUGACUCCAGUCUUUUGGUUACAUUAGCUUUAGUUGAAAUAAGGGCCAAUUUAGCAAACACUAGCUUUGGUGGCUUAUUAUGUUUAAUGUAAUGCUUAUUCUUAAGGAAUCUAAUGUAUAUAAGAUGAUUGAAUGAUCUUCUAUGAUUGUGAGUAGUAUAGGAUAAUUGAAAAGAGUCUGGUGUUAAAGGCUUACAGUUUUAAGCCUUUUAAACCAUGCGAUUUUAAAGUUUUACCGGAUUUUCCCGCACUUUAAAAUUUUAGACUGAAACAUUUUUGUAUAUAUAUACAUAAAAAUAUAUAUAUAUAAAUAUAUAAAUUAAGAGGGAUGAGUUAACUGAAGAUUAUAAUCAUUACAACAAUGCUGAUGAGUGAUACAUCACUUGAAAUUUACUUGUCAGUUGCUGAAAUGAUGAAAAAAAAAAUAAACAAUAACAGUGAUAAUGUUCUCUUGCUGAAAUGACUUGUAUAUUAUACAAUCCACUCUACUUAAUGAUAUCGUUUUAAUAAAUGUUUGAUGAUCUCCAUUUAAAAACUACUUCAAUUUUUUUCUUCAUUUAAGUUUUUGGUUGUUGAAAAUAACCUUAAUUAUCAAAUAAUUGGAGAAAGAGUAAAGAACAUUUAACAAAUUUAUGUGCAAAAAAAAAAAAGGGAGAAGUUGAAGAGAAAGGGUGCUUGCAGAAGUAGGUGUCAAAGAUAAAUCGGUCCAUAGGAAUUAUUUUGGUUAUUUUUUAGCAAUAGAAAAAUUUUUUAGCAAGUAAAAAUUAAUUUUUUUCCGCUUUACUAAAAAAUUAACUAAAAACUUAUGCGAUAGCAUUUUUUAUGGGUGCAUAUACUUCCCUUUAAAAAAAAUAUAAUAAUUAAUGCUUAAUAUAGUAUUAAAUACGAAAAUAUCAAUAUUUGACUACUCAAAUGUAUAUCAUUAGGUCCUUAAAAUUUAAAAUUGAAGAUACAAAAGGUAAUAUAUAUAAAUUUCAUUCUCAUGGGAAAGGAUCAUCUUAUAAUCUUAUAAUAUUUGAGCUUUGAAAGAUUUUUUUGAAACAAAUGUACUUUUAUUUGUGUACAAUCAAUAUGUACUUAUUUAUUAUAUUUUUAUUUAUUAACUAUCAAUCAUGUGAGUAUAUUUAGUCAGAAAAAUUAUAUCAAGAGAGAACCCUAAUUUCACGUAAAGACAAAUACAAGACAAAUAUGGCAAUUUCUAUACUAUUCACUUUCCUGUAAAAUCAAUUAUCUAAAAUGCAAGUUUGUGGCUUCAAAAAACUCGCCAAAGAAAGAAGAUAAUAGCAAUUGAGCAUUGAUAGCAAAUCUAAUGCAUCCAAUUCUUCUUAACUUGAUGAGUGACGUGAAUGCUACCAGUCUGUGACACCCAAAUUUUUAUUAUUUUAUUUAUUUUUUUAAUGGAAUUUGUAAAUGACGUUUUUGCCCUUAUAAAAAGGGUUAUUCAUGGAAUAAUUUUUAGGAAAGGGUUAUUUUUCCAAAUUCAAUAGGGUUUCUUAAGACUCCCUAUAAAUUCAUAUUUUUCUCCUUUCAUAACCCUAAAAGCACGACGUUUCUUCUUUUUCUAUACUGCUCAUUACACUCUUACCCAAACCCUAAGAUUCAAACCUUUGGUUAAGAGAGAAUCAAAGCGAUUGGUAAGUUUAUUCCCCUUAUUCUCUACAAGAUUCCCAAUCACUCUAUCUAGGGUCUAUAUUGGCAUGAUUUUAGAUUGUUAUAGAUCAUAAUACAUGAUUUAGAAUGUGUUUAGGCUUUGUUUAGAGUUUUGAUUUAUUAUGAGUUUAGUUAAUCAACCUUGACGUAUUAAGCACAUAGAAUAGUUCCAUAGAAUAUUAUGUUAUUCUAAGUUUUAGAUUAAGAGUUAAAAUUCUAAGCAUCAGACUUGUACGGGUACGAAUUAGAAAAAUCGGGUUCUUAGAAUAAGUUAUUAAUUGUCAUAUCUUGUAUUUGUUUAAGGUGAUUGAGGCUCUUAGAGGGUUAGAGGUGUGUUAAUUCAAAUUCUUUUGUCGAGGUAAGUAACUUCAUUCCUAAUGUACUGGAUAUAUAUAUAUAUAUAUGAUUAUUUUGAUAUUAUUAUAAGUACACAAAUUUUUUUACUACUUAGAAGAUUAAUUGAUUUUCAUAACAAAAUCAGUUUGUGUAAAUGUUUUCAAACCUAAAUUCCUUUUAAUAAAUUAUUUUGUAAAGGCUUUUAAAUAUGUAAGUUAUUUUAUGACAUGACUACCUUUUAUAAUUUUGUCUAUGAAAUAUUUGCAAGCCUAAAUUGUGGUUAUGGACUUUCAUGAAACUAAUACGAAUGUUUUGUACCUAUGUAUGAUUUCAAUUAUUUAUGAUUGUACGGGGGCCACCUCUUGGGACUAUAUGGGGGCCACCUCUUGAAAUUCAAAGCAUCACAAAAGUGCCACGUAUAAGUCAUUAUGUUUUGGCUCAUUAUCUGUAGUUAUUCUGAUUCUGAUUCUGAUGGUAUAAUACAAUAUAUGUCUGUUCUGGACCAGUACUAGGUUUUUGUUUUGAGUGUGCACAUGAUAUUCUGACUCUGUUUCUGGCCGGGUCACUAGGACUAUAGGUGACACUAUGUGACAUGAGCUAACCUUUUGUUUUCUGUGAAUGUGAUAUAUGAUUUGCUUUUGUAAAUAACUAUGCUUUUGAUAUUCUGAGUUACAAUGAAUUUAAAUUAUUUUAUAGUGAUAUAUCGUUUUAUGAAAUUUAUGGAUUAUGAUAUAUGUUUUAAUUAAAAGAAGGCUUGCAAUAUUUUUGGUAUUGAUAGGUCUAGUGUGUUAGGAAUAUUUUUACUUACCGAGUUGACGGCUCACCCCUCGUCAUUACUUUUUGCAGAUUAAGUUUCUUUUGAGAGCUGCGCUUAGCUUUGGAGUUAGUAAUUUUCUGUUUCCGUUUGCCAUUUGAAUAAGAGGAGAAAUAAACUCAUGUUUCUAUUUAGUUUAUUUAUGUUAUGAAUGUGUAAUUUGGAGUUUGAGACUUUUGUUAUUUUUUUUAUGUCCUCGGGAGAGAUUAUUUAGUAUUAGACGUUUGAAUUUGUGGAUUUAUUUGAAUAAGAAUUUGAGGUAUUUCAGUUUGAAACUUAUGAGUAAAGAUUAUGAUUUGUAAGUAACAUCCUUCUUCACGUGCUCCGCACGUGUUAGAUUUGGGGUGUUACAAUUGUGGUAUCAGGGCAUUAGGUUUGGGAUUCUGUAAACUUUAUUUGAGGCUAGAUUUCUUAAGCACAAUCAAUUAGUUCAAUGGUAUUGCUUGCCAUGAGGUUAUCGGAAAGAGUAGAUCUUUAAGGCGAGGAGUAAUUUUGGUCUUUUUGAUUUUCUAGUUGCUUGUGACUUUGUAAUAACUCCUUGAUAUAGGAUUUUGGUAUUAACGUAGAAUGAAAUAUUUGUUUGCUCUUGUUGUCAAUUACUAACUUUUCUCAAUUAUACUAUUUACUCAGUACUUUGUGCUAUAGCAAGCCCUUUAACUAUGAAUUAUUUACCAUUUUAUUUAUUUAUUUAUUUUUAUUCUUCGUGUUAUAGUCAAAAGAUGUCACGUAGGGGAGGUGCUAGGCAUGCCUUUAGCUCGAGAGAUGUUUUAGGUAUCGUUGAUGACGCUGACCUAACCUUGCGCGAGAUGGCUAACGAAGGGAAUCCUAUGAUGCGCGCAAUGGUUAGAUUGAUGGAACAACAAAGUAAGUUGAUUCAAGAUAUGGCUAGAGGUAAAGUUGGGGCACAUGAGAUUGUGCCAGUUGAAAGACAAGGUGGUGGAAGAGAUCAGGGAGGUAUGAUGAGCUUAGAGCGGUUUAGGAAAUUGAGACCACCUACCUUUCAGGGGGCUGCCAAUCCUAUGGUUGCAGAGGCAUGGCUAAAACAGAUGGAGAAGAUAUUUAUGGCUAUGGGUUGUAAUGAUGAUUAGAGGGUGAUAUUGGCCUCAUUGGUCCUUUAGGGUGAGGUAGACCACUGGUGGGAUGCCAAAUCCCGUCUUUUGAGGGCCGGGUUGCAAGAUGCACCUAUUACUUGGGAGUUAUUUCUGAAGGCUUUUCAUGAAAAAUAUUUUCCUGAACGAGUUCGACAUCAGAUGGAGGCUGACUUCCUGAAAUUGACUCAAGGAACAAAGCAUGUUGCGGAGUAUGAGGAGCAAUUUACUGCUCUAUCUCGUUUUUCUCGUACCUUAGUUGCUAAUGAGGGUAGUAAGUGUAGGAAAUUCUUGGAAGGCUUACAUCCAAACAUAAAAAGACGGUUGACCAUCCUUAAGCUUAAUAAUAAUGCCCAUUUGGUGGAUAGUACGAUUAUUGCAGAGAGGGAUAUAAUUCAAUCUCAAGUUGCACGAUCUAAUCGACAUAAUAACCAGCCAAUAAAACAUGAUAGUAAUGGUAGUGAAGGUGAACAUAAGUGCACUCUAAUGGUGGGUCUAUUCAAGAGAACAAACCAUUCUGUAAUCGUUGUGACAAGUACCAUAAUGGCACGUGUUAUUUAAAGAUAUGAGCUUGUUUUGGCUAUGGACAGAUUGGGCAUAAGGUUAUAAAUUGCCCAAAAAAGCACAGUGGUAACAUAGAUUCUGCCGAGAACCAAAGGAAAAAGCCACGUGUCUUCGCCAUGGUGGAGCAAGAUAUUAAAAAACCGAAUAACGAAGCCUCAGGUGCAUUACCUAUUUUCCAUAGAAAGCCUUGAAUUUUUGAGUAAUUGGUAUUGUGCUUUUCCUCCAUCCUUUCUUAUUGGAUGCAUCGUAGCUAGAGUUUUUAGCCUAAUAAUCACUACUAGAAAAAUAGGCUUUACUGACGCUAAAUUAGUGUCAGUAAUUACUUUUCCUGACACUUAUUAAUUGUGUCAAUAAUGCUCCAGCCAUAAUACACUGACACUAAUUUCUAGUGUCAGCGAUUUUUGUGUCAGUAAUUCAUGUCAUUAUGGUAUCACGAAAAUAAUGACACGAUAGCGUUAGUAUUUAAUGAUACUAUUUAUAUGUCAGUAAUUUAUGAGACUACAGUAUCAAGAGCACACUGACUCAAUAACAUCAAAAAUUACUACUGCUAUUUUAAACAUUUAGUGUCAGUAUUUAGUGAUGUUAUGGUUCUUUUGGUUAAUAGUAUACUUUGAUUUUAAUUAUAUUUUCCUAUUUGUUUUACAACUGAAAGAAAACUCAAAAUAUAUUAAAUAUACAAAAUCUCGCAACACAAUUGCAUAAGAAACAUCUCAAAUACAUCACUCAAAUUCAUAUCAUUAAACUACAUCAUUGUUUGGAAAAGAAAAAUAUAAAUACUAAAUUAAGUCUUGGACAAGCUCUUAACAACCAAGUACUAAGUUAAGAUUCAACAAAUAUUAACCAACAAAAAGAAGCACAUAAUGUCAUUGAACAUCCACAAGCGGCUUCAUUUUUCUUUUCCCACCUACAAGUACAUAAAAUCAAUUAGUAUACCACAAAAAGUAAUUCUUGAAUUUUUGGGAGAAAAAACAAUCAGGCCAAUUUCAGUGUUCAAAGAGACUAACAAAGAAUGGGGGCAAAAACAAUACAUAGCUCUCUUAGUGCAAGCUAAUUGUAAUAGGUAGUAUUGUGAAGAAUAUUUAUCUGCUAAGAAUUGAACUUGAGUGGAUUUUCCUACAGAUCUAUACACAACUCAACUUAAGAAGAAUAAAAAAAUAAAAAAAUAAAAAUCCUAAGGAUUAAGAAAGAUAAAUGGAGAUUUAUUAGUAUACAUCCAAAAUUAGAAACUCAUUAAACAAUCCAGGGGUAAAAAUUGAGGAAUAAGAAUAUAGCGUAUCUCAGGAUAAGACCAAAGACAUAAUAACAGAAACAUUUGAGGCAAACCACUACAAAGUUUUUACAUAAUAACCCAAAGCAAAGCAAACCAUUAUAAAAUUUUUACAUAAUAACCUAGAAACAAAACAGACGAAAAUUGGGCAAGUCCAUAUCCCAAACCUCUGUUAGGAAAAAUGUGUUCAGCAGACUCAUGGCUCCAACAAUAGAAAUUAACCCGUACACAAGGAAACAAAUUAAUUGAUAUAAAAAACAGUCAAAGACAAAGCCAACUAAGAAGAUUAACUAAUUUGGAGAUUGAAUUACAUAGUUAUUUUUACAAAAUAUAGCAUAAGCCCAUUGUAUUUCAUAGUAAGCAACUGCAAAAAUGCCUAGAGGCAAAUUCAUAAAGGAAGAGUAGAUAGAAGAAAAAAAAGACGAGGAAAUAAACAGCUUGAAACAAACAAAUCACCUAACACAUCAUGGGGAAUUGACUUGUUAACGUUAAAGAGCAAAAUAAAACUUGGCACCUUCAUUCGAAAAAGAACAGACGCUUACCCCUUACGGAGAAUGGCUUAGGUUUUUCUUUAGAGUUUCAGGCUGAUUUAUAAGAAUAUGAAGAAGAAAUGAUUAUGGAAGUUUGAUAGUGAUCAAGGAUUGAAUAUUGGGCUUAAAAUACAAAUUGGCAGUGAGGGCUGGUUUUCGAUCAUAAUGUUGAGAGACCACUAAUUCCCAAUACUUGUACCCUCUCACAGAAAAAUCCAAAUUUAAUAAACAUGAACUAAAUCCAGUGUAUUGAGUGUUAUUAUUUAAUGGAACAUAAAAUCUCUGGGUCAAAUAAUUCUAAAGUUAAACCAACAAUAAUCCCAAAAGCUAUAGUUGAUAAGAAAGGCCCAACAGUAUACUUCUAUCACACAAAAUUUGAAGAUAGAAAAAAGAAGGGCCUUUUUGUUUUUUAACUGAAACUGAAAAAAGAUUCAGUAUUAACAAUUCAUAAAUUUUAAAGACGUUGGUUUUCCAUCUUAACACUGAAAACUUGGUGUUUAUAUAUCCGAAUAUAAUUAAGCCAAAAAUUUUAAUUUAUCACUAAAUAGGAAAACAACUAAAUAAGCUGCAUAGUUUUAUUUUCCAAUAAAUGCUUAUAAUAUUUAUUCAUUCCUUACCAUAUAAAAACCUAUCCUUCAUUAUUUAUUUAUUUUUUAUAGGAAACAGAGAAAUUAGUAUUAAUAAGAACAAUAAUUACAAAAUGUCAAAAGGGUGUCCACAAAAAAAGGCUAUUGAAGUAUCACAGACCAAUCUCCAAAUUAGGCAAGCACUCAGAUUCCAAGCUAAUACUCCAAAAAACAAAUCUAACCUCAAACUACCUGAUAAACAGCUCAAAAUGACAUAAUCCUCAACAUUCUUCAGACUAAUUGAUCAUGCAUCAAGGUAUGUUGGGAUCUACAAAUACAUUGAAAAGAUCUUUGCAAAUAACAGUACAACUAGAAAGCUUGGUGUUUACAUUCUUGAAAAUUCUUUUUAUUGCUGACAAUAGAAAGGGAUUCCUUUUUCUGCUUAUUUCCUAAAAAUACUAAUAUAUGCUGCCCCACUAUACUCACAAGUAAUCUUACACAAAUGCUCUUUAGACAAGAUUAGUAUUUGCUACCUUUCACCCCAAUUACAAAACCAUAGAAACUCACCACCUAGACAAAUUUUAAAUUGUCUCUAUAGUUGGCUAUUAAAAACUGCUAAAUUUGUUUGCAGCCAUGCCCAAAAAUUUCAAGAACAUUGAACACAACGUAUUAUAGGUACAAACAAGAUAAAAUGAUGUUCCAGGAUUCACUCGACAUGUCAUCCAAGGUGAUACAAAACGGUAGAACUAUAGAACUAGGACAAAACUUGCAGCAAGAUAAUGGCAAUUUCCCCCUUUCGUGUAAGAUAAUCAUAUUAUUCUUCAAAGAGAGACGCACAAAAAAAAAAUGCUUGUUGAAAACAAGCAAGCAUAUGGGUAUGAGUCUAUUGUUGUUUAUCUGUGAAUCAUGUUAAUAACCAGCCACAGAAAAAUAGUAAACAAUAGUUUUCACACAAUCGAUGCAUAUUAACACAAGCCACGGAUUAUGAUUUCACUAACCAUUGCACACAAAGGUUCCAGACCAAUUUUAGAAGGAGGUUCUACAAGUUACUUUCCUUCAACUACUUGAAAAUCAAUCAUUAACUAAAGAAAUACACAUGAAAUUAGUUUAAAUAAUAGGAAAGGUAAAGGAGACAUUUUAUAAAAACUCUUAAAUGUGGUACUAUGAUUUCCACAGACUGUGCAACAAAAAUAAAAUUGGAUGAACUAUAAUAAGUGAGAAGACAUAUUGUAAUUCUAUCAUCAAAGAAAGAUAAGCUUAAUCAUUUUUAAUUUUUUCUCAAAUAUCCAGUAGUACCUUAAGGUAAUAGGACAAGAUCGCAGAAGUUGUCAUGAAGAGUGUAAAGCACUAAAUAACAAAAAUUAUACUAAUAAAUAAAACUCAAUUUAUUUUCUCCCUCAAUCAAUUGCUUUGAGCUUACUAUGAAUUCAACUAUGAAUUUGAGGAAAAAAUACAGACCUCAGUUUGUCAACUUCUUGUUCAUGAGAUUCAGCCGCAGUAAAUGCAAACCUCCAUUUCUCGUCAAGCAUUGUUAACCUCUACGACAAAUUGAAGGUAAGAAGAUGAACAAAAUAAGUGUAAUGUGCAGGAAAAAAAAUGAAGUCUAUGGGUACAACAACACUUCAAGAUUUUUCAAGUUCUAGUUCAUUUAAAUAGACAUUCCUUGAACUUCAGUAGCAAAGAAAGUACAUUAUAGCAACAAUUUCAAUUCAUUUCAAUCUUUAGAAUUUUUUAUUUUAAAAAAAUAAAUUCCUUCAAACUAGUGAAAGGAAAAUAAAAGUGUGUUUACAGAAGAAAAAUCAUGGAAUGAAUUAAUGACCAUGCAAGUGAGGAAACACAGAAAUUUCUGAAUAAGAGCGAAACUAACCGUGCAAAUGAACAAAGAAAAUGUAAGUCUUCAAGUGCUACAACAAGCAAAACUACCUAAAAACAAGCAUUUUCUUCUUGAAUUAAAGACAAAUCAUGAACUUUGUGCAAUCUCAAAACAUUCAGACAAGCAUGAACUUAGUUAAUUCAUAUCAUAGUCAUUGUCUCUAUUAAAAAUCUUCCAACUAAAAAAAAUAAAAAAAUAAACAUGUUGGUUUCUAUAACAUAAUUUGCCUAUCUUUACAUGAAACAGAGCAAUAAAUAACACUUAAUAAUUAUGAAAUACACAGCCAUUCAAUCUAUAUAAUAUAGAAAUAAAGGAAAAAAAAGAAAAAAAUUCAAAUUACAAUUAAAUAAACAAAAAAUAGAUAUGGAAAAGAAAUCCCACCAAGACUGCACUACUGGGAGAAUUUCUCAACAUCUGCAACAACCCAUAAAAUUAAAAUUAACAAAAAACCCUAAUAAUCAUAAGCUAAAAUAAAACAAAUUUAUUAAUUAAUUUGACAAAGAAAAUAAAAUAUUAAGCCAUUACCAGCAGUUAAAGCCUUAAUCAAGGCAACCUGUUUGCCCUUAAAGUCAUUGAAAAUCUCCUUCACAGGUCUAAGUAUAAGGUGUGGUAUCCCUUCCAUAGCAAGAAAAUUAACUAAUUUCUCAAUAAUUUUAUUCAAAUUCAAGCAAAUGGGUUUUGAAUAUUGAACAAAAAAAAGUGAAAUUUGACCAUAAAAAGAAAAAAAAUUGAUAAAAGAAGCCUCGAUUACGGUUUUGGUCCGUUUUUCAAUUUGAGAAAAAAAAGGAAAAAGGGAAUAAAAGCCUCACUUAGGGUUUUAGCUUUAUAUUAUCUAUUUGAGUUAAAUGAACGAGUUUGUGAAUGGAAAGAAAAAAAAGGAAGAGAUCGAGAAGAGAAAAAGGAAAGAGAAAGGGAAAGAGAAAGGCAAGAGACAGUUUUGGGUUUGAGUUUGGGUUAGAGAUUUGUGUGUAUAAAAGACAGGGAGAUGGGGACAAUUGCUAAGUUUGGGAUAUGUUUUACUUUCGUUUUACAUGUUUUAAAUUCUUAAUUUAGUACCUGCAGUGUCGAACCACUUGAACGGAAGUGAUAGUGGCAACGGCGUGGGGGUGGGCGCAGCCAUGGGGGUUGGGCGCGGCCGUGGGCGUGGGCGUUUGGGCCUGGUCAUUCUCCAUCUUUCACGAUAGAGAAGAAGAAGUCAAGAAAGGCAAGGAAAUUACGCAGCAGCUACGACAUGGGCUCUAUUGCACAAUGGAAAAGGGGAAUUAGGGUUUGGUUUUUUAUAUGUUAAUAUUUUAUAUAACAUUGUAAUUCCAACUCAAUUUUAUGGGGUCCAGUGGUUUGCAAUCUAAACGUAAAAGUUUUGAGUUUUAGAAAUCCCAGGUUCGAGUUAAAAUCAAAACAAAUUUUAAUGAUUCUUUUUAGAUCUCUGAUGCUGAAGUAUCAGUGAUCUCUAAUAUUUAAUUUACUGAUACAUUAGUAUUAAUAAUUUGUGACAUUUAUUUGUUAAAAGUGGAAAAUGGUGCAUAGUUAGGUAAUUACUGACACUUUUUUUAAAGUGCCAGAAACAAAGUGUCAGUAAAAGUCAUUUUUGUAGUAGUGAAUUUCUUUUUUCAUCCAUUGAAUUUCUAUGGUACAUUAGUAGGAUAUGAGGUGUGAUUUUAUAAGGCCAUUAGGAUUAACUUAUGGUUGGAUGGAGUAGGGACUAAUAUGAUAUUUAGUAGGAUAUGGGAUGAAGAUUGCAAUAAAAGUGUUUCACCAGCAAUGUGCGAGCGCAUUGAAGGGUUUUGAAGUUGAAUGUGAAGUGAUAAAAAAUAUUCACCAUCGAAACCUUAUCAAUGUUAUUAUUAGUUGUUCGAACGAUGACUUCAAAGCAUUAGUCCUAGAAUACAUGUACAACGGGAGCUUGGAGGAUUGGCUGCAUUCUAGCAAUUAUGUGCUUAAUAUUUUUCCCAGGUUGAACAUAAUGAUUGACGUUGCAUCAGCUUUAAAAUAUCUCCACUUUGAUCAUUCAACUCGUAUCAUUCAUUGUGACUUAAAGCCUAAUAAUGUGUUGUUGGAUGAAAAUAUGGUUGCUCAUUUGAGUGAUUUUGGCAUAGCAAAGCUUUUAAGUUGAAGAUGAGUCUACGAUGCGAACAAAAACCCUUGCCACUAUAGGUUAUACGGCACAAGGUUUGCUUGAAACAACUUUUUUUUAGUUUAUUUUAAAAUUUCCAAAUUAUUGAUUUUUACGAUCCUCAUAUCAAAAUGUUAUUGAUUAUUUAUCUAAUUAUGAAAUAAUUUGAUUCAUAGAGUAUGGCAUAGAAGGAGAAAUAUGUGCAAAAAGUGAUGUUUACAGCUACGGGAUUAUGUUGAUGGAAACUUUUACCAAGAAAAAACCCACAGAUGAGAUUUUUGUUGGAGAAUUGAGCUUAAAGCGUUGGGUUAAUGACUUGCUUCCUAAUUCAUUAGUGGAAGUUGUGGACAAAAUUCUGCUAAUUGAAGAGGAAAAACAUUUUGCCGCAAAGGAGCAAUGUCUGUUCUCUAUCUUUAUUUUGGCACUAGAGUGUACAAUGGAAUCACCGGAAAAGAGGAUCAAUACAAAAGAUAUUGUUACCAGAUUACUCAAGAUAAGAGACACGUUGAGUAAAAGGAUAGGAAAUUUAAGUUAAUUUUGUUUGCUUUCAUUGAUAGUUACUUUGAAUUCAAGUAAUAAGUGUAAGAAUCGUUUAUCUUUUCUUUUGAUAUUUUUUUCUUGAGAAAACUGUUGUAGUCAUCUUUUUUCAAUGGGCAGAGUUGAUUUAGUUCUUCCAAGAAAUGCUAUUGUUGAUCUUUGUUACAUACGUUUGUCUUUUUUUGCAUGCAUUUAGGUAGAAUAGUGGUCUAGCUGCAGGCUAACAAGUCAAGCUACGCUAAAAGCGUAUGAUUUAAUUUAUUAAACCUAACUUCAAGUUCAAGAAUUGCAUCUCAUUGCCACCAAUGCUUUAGACACCUAUUCGUAGGUUUGUGUCCUCAACUUUGUUUGGAGCAAAAGUUCCAGUCCCAUGGAGGCUCAAAUAUUUCUCUCCUACGUCCCGAACACGCUAAAUUCAUCAGCCUCUUGAACCCUCUCCUGAGGGCGCCUUCUGUCCUCUGUUUUCUGUUUCCAUACACAAAUAGCAAAAAGAAUUCAGACUGAUAACUGGGUAUCUAAGAAUAUAUAAGAGUGAAAUAAUUAAAAAAAAUUGUGCUUUUUUGUUUGUCGUGUUAAAAUCGUAAGGUAUCUAAGUACUAUGAAAGAGAUUAGUUUACGAAAACUGAAGCCAAGGGUUCAUAAAAAAAAGUGCAUAGAGAAUAAAGGACAACGCUUAUGUAAAGCGACAUAAUUGUAUUGGUAGCACAAUGUCACGUUCAUACAGAGAUCAAGUACAUUAUUUACAGCUGGUAAGGGCUAAGAAUUGAUGUAGCUAGAAUACAAAGAUGAUAUGGUAUGUUGUGCACUAUUGUUUUAUUCUACAAUCAAUCUUGACCCUUGAUGCUUGGCUCUCAAUCUUGUCCAUUGAUCUUCUCUGAUCUCGAAAACUUCAAGACCUUUCAAUCUCAUGCCUUAUUAUUGGUGUCUUCUAUGCUGUUAAUUUCAAAUACUAGCUUUUCCGCCAACUUGCCAAUUAUUUGUUCAUUGGUGCGUUUUGUCAAACAGUGUGGAUACUUAUACCAAACGCUUUCUGUUUUAACUACCCCUUUCAAGCUCAAUUAUCUGGGAAGACACUAAUAAGCUUGUUUCUCAAGUAUAUGUAUCUGAAAAUUAAAUUUUCAAAAUUAUAUUCGGACUCUACAUUUUCUAAUGAACAUUGGUUUGGCUCAUAAGCUUAUUAUACUUGGGCUUGGUAGGAUUAUCGGUCGGUAGAUGAACAAGUGUUAGAGCUUUCGAAUUUAUGCCAAUUAAAAAAAAUCUAUAUAAAUUUUCCACUAGGCUAUUACCACAAUAAACAUUUGGAUGAACUAUUAUUGAAACCUUAUUGAGAAGUAGGACAUGUCGCAUACCAAUGCACUGACAUAUCUUCAAAUAGUGGUAACUCCACACAACAUGGCACAAUAAAUUAAGAGUUAUAUAGAUAAAAUCUUUCACUCUUUGGUAAUCAUCAAUGUCGGCAUGACAAUGCGUCCCACAAAUAUGGCUCCUUAUCAAAAUUCAUAAAUCAAAACAAAAUAGAGAAUCAUAUUUGUUCCAGAUUGUAGUGAUGGUUGUUGAUGCACUCACAAUUUACAAUUUUAUUUAAUAUCUUCAAAUUCGCAUUUUAAAAUGCCCAAAUGUUUGUGUAUACAUAAUUAGAUAAAAUCUUUCAUUCUUUGGUAAUCAUCAAUUUCACUAUUAUUCGCUUUAUUAUGUUUGUUUCUUGCAGUAUGUUAAAAGAUUAUGUUGUGAAUUUGUUUUACAGGCCGCCCGUAAGUCUGCGCCCACUGUUGUGAAUUUGUGUAUACAUAAUUAGUAAUCGAUUCUCAAGCACGGACAUUUAAAAGCACUGCCGAAAGACAAAAUUUUAAUUUACUAUUUUUUGUCUUUUAAUUUUCUUUAAGUUUUAAUGAUUCCGCAUUUUAAAAUCCUGUGGAACGUGUAUGUAAAAUUCUUUUAUCUUUUAGAGGAAAACGGGCAAGAGAAGAAUAUUUGGCAAAGGAAUUGCAACCGCAUUUGGAGCUAUAUUUAAUUUUGUCUUUUAAGUCUUUUACACUUGUUUUUGUUAUUGAUGUUAGCUUGGAUGUGUGUGCGUGUGCGACUGAAUUCAACUUACAUGCUAUUGAUGCAGCCACCAAAAAGGGGUGGUCCAUCAUCAAUCAACAAGGUUUAUUAUUAUUUUCAUAUGGAUUUUCUUAAUUAUAAAUAAUACUAAUGCUAUUUCAUAGUUAUAAAUAUAUUAGAAUUAAUCGAAAUCAUUUUUUAGUGUGGCAUUGCCAAACUACCUUUUUUUAUAAGUAAUUACUACUUUCACAUUAAGAAAAAUACUCCUAUUUUUAGGGAAAAAUCAAGUACUUGUAGUUGUGAAAACUUGAGCUCACUCGCGUAUGAUAAAUCUUCAUAUUAAUUACAUAAAUAUCCUCUAAAAUUUUAAAUUAACUAUUCAAAAUUCGAUGUUAUACGGGUAUUUCAUUUAUUUGAGUAGGGGUUAGGGGUCAAUUGGAUACAAAUUCAAAAUUAUCCUUACUUGAGAAGGUGAUAAAAAUUGGGGAUUUAAUUUGGAUGUCAUUAGCUACAAAUAUUAAAUUCAUACAUUUAAUUCAAAAUUGGAGGGUUGAUAUAUGCGCAUCAUCGUGCACGUUAUAGUGACACUGCGUCACCAUCCCACAACCUCUCCAAUGAAAAAUUAACACGUUUCUCGUGUGCAUUUGAUCAGAAUCCUGAAAAUUAAUCACAAAAUUGUACUUUUAUUAUAAAAAGAAUAAAGAAACUCCUGAAAAAAAAAUACUUACAUAAAUGGUUUGAAAAUUCUAGAUUUCAAGUUGUCUAUAUUAGCUUGAUAUUUUUAUAAAUAGUCAUCCUCUCAAAAAAAUUCCAUCAAAAUAUAUAUUUUAAUUUUAUGUUAAUUCAUAAACAUGAAAAAAUCAUUUCAUAAUUAAUUAAAACAUAAUUUAUUGUUUCUCAAAAAAGGUAGAACUUAGUGAUAAGAAAAAAGUAUCUCAAAUAUAUGUAAAAAAAAAAAAAAUCUUGGUUGGUUGGAAUGAUUGAAUUUGCUUUUCUUUUUCUUUUUUAAGAAUUAAGACAAUCGGAUUGAUUGAGUAAUAAUAAUAUAUAUUUAUUUGGAGGUAGGCUUUCGUCUCAUGCAGAUUGAUUAGAGAGAAAACAAAACAAUUUUAAGCUCGUUAGAUUCGAAGCUGCUUACCUGUCGUGUGGGGAUCACUUCCGUGUCUUAUUUUUCUAAAAAAGUCUGGACCAUUGGAUUUAUGUGAAUCGUACUGAACAUUGGAAUUGAUGUAUAAGAAAAAAAUUUUGUAGUCGUUUAAGGAAAAAAAUUAUUCAAUUGGGAAUUUUUUUCCUUUAAUUUUUGUUGUACUUGAUUGAGAUUUCUCCUUAGUCCCUACAGUUUUAAGUUUGGAAACCGUAGGAUUAGUAAUUUCGUACUUCCUUUGCAAGCUGAGUAUAAGGAUGAAAUUCUUUUAAGAAAUUAAAAAAGAUAAAAAAAAGCAUACCAAUAGGCAAUUAUAAAUAACCACAAAUAAAUAUAAACAAAAUGUUUAUGACGUAAAUUAAACAUGCUCAAUUAUUUUCUUUUAUUUUCUGCUCGGAAACCCAUAAAUGCACUAAUCCAGUAUUACUAAUUUCAGACAGAAAAAUUUGAAUUUAACCGGUAUACAUUUCUACAAACCAAACAAGGCUAUUAUUUUUAUUAUUAUUUUUUUUUUUUUAUAAAUUACUAUUUUAAUUUUUCACUUUUUAUUGGGUUGCUUAACAGAUUAGUGAAGUUGGUGGUCGUUGAUGCACUCACAAGGUACAAUUUUAUUUUAGAAAUUGAAAUUUCGUAUUUUAAAAUGCAGGCACAUUAUGUAUGCAUAAUUAUUGAUUUUCAUAUGUGGGUGUUUUGAAAUAUUGCUAAAAGACCAAACUUUAAUAAACUAUUUUUGAUCUUUUUUUUUCCUUUGUACCUAAAGUUAGAGUGAUAUCCGCAUUUUAAAUUCAUGUGGACCAAAAGCUAAUGUAUGGACAAAAUUAUUUUAUUUUUCCGAGAAAAAUGGGUAAGAGAAGAAGAUUUUUCUCUUGAAAAAGAAAAACUAAUACGUUGCAAGCAUAGGAAAGAGGCUAGUGUGUUUGGAUUUGAAUUUAGUAUUGAGUUCAAUUUUAUGCUAAGCUCUUUUAUAAUACUGCGAUUAGGGAGCCCUUAAGUUACAUGUAAUAUAACUUACACUCGCUCACUUAAAUAGUGGGUGGGUUGGGGGCCCACUCACUGUUCAUGUGAGUGAGUGUAAGUUCCAUUAUAUGUAAUUUAGCACUUGCCUUGCGAUUAAUAAGCUCAGGAUUUGCUUUUGCUUUUACUUCAAGUAAAAGAAAGAGGAAACCUUUUGUUUUUUGUUUGAUUUUUGACUAUAUAUGUUACCUAUAUAGAGAGUUGAGAUGGCUGCCUUAAGUGAUGGUGAUAAAAAGAUUAAGCAGCGCACACAAUCUUACUAUCGUCCAGACUGUCCAGUGAUAGACUCUAGUUUUUUGGUUACAUUAGCUUUAGUGGAAAGAAGGGCCAAUUUAACAAAGACUAGAUUUGGUGGCUUGUUGUAAUGCUUAUUCUCAGGGAAUCUAAGGUUAUAAGAUGAUUGAAUGAUCUUCUAUGAUUGUGAGCAGUAUAUUAUAAUUGAAGAGAGCUUGGGCUCCUAUGAUGUAUAACAAUAACACAUUACUAUGAUUGAGAAAACUCAGUUACAAUAAACUCUUCAUUUAUUCAUUGCUGAGAUUGAAUGGCAAAUAGAGAAUAGAAUGAAGCAGAGGAAUCUCAUUGCCUGUAAAAUUGAGCCUAUUUAAUAUUACUUGUAGUUUUUAUUGUAAAAUAUACAGGUAUGACCAUGAUCAGAUGCUUUUUUUAAAAACAAAUGAGACAUCUUUGAUUUAUGGUAGUUUUAGAGAAAAAAAAAACAUAUAAAAAUUAAGAGGGAUGAGUUAACUGACGAUUACAAUCAUUACAGCAAUGCUGAUGAGUGAUACAUCACUUGAAAUUUAUUUGUCAGUUGCUGUAAUGAUGGAAAAAAACAAUAAACAAUAACAGUAAUAAUGUUCCCUUGCUGAAAUUCAAUUUUGACUUUCGACUCUUGGCUUUUAUGGAGAGUAAAAUGACUUGUAUAUUAUCCUCAUACAAUCCACUCUACAUAAUGAUAUCAUUUUAAUAAGGCAAUGGCUGAUGAUCUCCAUUGAAAAACUUUUUGUUUUAUUUAACUUUUUGGUUGUUGAAAAUAACCUUAAUUAUCAAAUAAUCAGAGAAAGAGUAAAGAACAUUUAACAAAUUUAUGUGCCAAAAAAAAAAGGAGAAAUUGAAGAGAAAGGAUGCUUGCAGAAGUGGGUGUCAAAGAGAUAAAUCGGUCUAUAAGAAUUAUUGUGGUUAUUUUUUUGGUGCCUUGGAGUUCUUUAAAUUAAGGGCCCAGUUUGUCCAUUUGUUUCAGUUAGGUCCUUAUUAAAAAUUAAUUUUAAUAUUGGUUUUCUUAAUUAUAACUAAUACUAAUGAUAUUUCAUAGUUAUAAAUAUAUUAGAAUUAAUCCAAAACAUUUUUUAGUGUGGCAUGGCUAAAACUACCUUUUCUAUUAGUAAUUACUACUUUUGCAUUAAGGAAAAUACUCCUAUUUUUAGAAAAAAGUCAAGUACCUAUAGUUGUGAGAACUUGAGCUCACUCGCUUAUGAUAAAUCUUCAUAUUAAUUACGAAAAUAUCCUCUAAAUUUUAACUAAACUAUUCGAAAUUCAAUGUUAUUCGGAUAUUUCGUUUAUUUGAGCAGGGGUUAGGGGUCAAUUUGAUACAAAUUCAAAAUUAUCCUCAUUUGCGAAGAUGAUAAAAAUUAGGGAUUUAAUUUGGAUGUCACUGGCCACAAAUAUUAAACUCAUGCAUCUCAAAAUUAGAGGGCUGAUAUAUAUGCAUUAUCGUUAUAUUGACAUGUGUCACCAUCCCACAACCUCUCCAAUGAAAAAUUGACAUGCAUCUUGUGUGCUUCUUAUCAAAAUCCUGAAAAUUAAUCACAAAGUUAUAUUUUUAUUAUAAAAAGAAGAAAGAAACUCCAUAAGUGAAAAAAAAAAAGACUUAAACAUAAAUAUUUUAGAUAAUCUAGAUUUCAAGUUGUCUAUACUAGCUUGAUAUUUUUAUAAAUAUCAAGAUUUCAAGUUGUCCAUAGUAGCUUGAUAUCUUCUAAAAAAAUUCCAUCAACAUAUAUUUUAAUUUUACGUUAAUUAAUAAAUAGAAAAUUCAUUUUAGAAUUAAUUAAAACAUUAUUUAUUGUUGCCAAAGAAGGAAGUACUUAGCGAUAAGAAAAAAGUGUCUCAAAUAUAUGUUAAAAAAAAAUCAUGGUCGGUUGGACUGAUUGAAUUUUUUUUUCUUUUUCUUUUUUAAGAAUUAAGACAAUUGGAUUGAUUGAGUAAUAAUAAAAUAUAUUUAUUUGGCAAAUGGCAGGUAGGCUUUCUUCUGAUGCAGAUUGAUUAGAGAGAAUAUGCAGCAAUUUUAAGCUUGUCAGAUUCGGAGGCUGCUUAUCUGUCGUGUGGGGAUCACUUCCAUGUCUUAUUUUUCUUGAAAAAUCUGGACCGUUGGAUUUACCAUUAGUCAAUAGAGAAAUGCUGAUCUUGAUUCUUGAUCAAGAUCGAAGUUUGAUUCUAUCUAACAUGAUAUCAGAUUGCGAAGCAAGCAAAUUGAAAGUAACUUGUUCUAUUUUGAUGGAAGAAACACAAUUUCUAUUGUUCUAAUAAAAAAUUUUAAUUAUACAUAUUUUUCUUUUGCCACUUGGGUUUGUAGUCCAGUGGUGAACUAUUGGCCUUAAAGUUAAGUAUGACUAUGAGGGCAAUGGUUCGAGUGCCCACGAACUCAAACUCCCUCAAUUAAACAUAAUUAUGUGGAGAUUACUUAUAACGUCUUUCUCUCUUGUGAAAUCUGAGUGGAGUAGAAAUAUCCCUUUCCCGUGAGGGUUAUUUGGCUAGGCAUGUACUUUAUAGAAUAAAAAUGUAAUAAUGUAAGUCAGUGCAAUGAUCUACUGUCAUAGUAGUUGUAAAUAUCUAGGUGUAAUACAGUAACCUGAUGCUUAAUCAGUUAAAAAAAAUGUAUAUCUUUUUUUUAUUUUUUUCAUUGUGAUCACUAUAACUAGUCAAAUUUAUUUUUAAAUAUUUUUUAAAAAAAUAUUUUAUUAACAAUGAUAUGAAAAUAUUCGAACCCCUUCUCAUAGUAAAGUGAAUUACUAUCCAACUGAUGCCUUCAAACUGUAAAUUGCAAAUCGUGUGUUUGCUCCAUUACAGGGUGUCUUCAAUUUAAAAUAGAGAAUAAUUUGGUUCUAGAUUAAUCGUGGGUCUAUAUCCAAAUCCAAAAAUUGACUAACUUGAUUUCUAUUAAGUUCUCAACCCUAACACGAAAAAUAGAAGAUUAAAAAUGACUAUUUUGGUUUCUAUUAAUUUGAGUAACACUUAAUAUUUAUCAUACAAUAGUCACUUAUAUUAUCAAAAUCUUGGGUCGAAAAUAUUAGGAUAGGUGAUAAUUGGAAUUAAGUUGUAGAUAAGAUAGAAAUGGAUUUGGAGAGAGAUUGGAAUCCUGGCUAAUCCGGUGCACGUUGUUGCGUUAAAUUCUCGUUGACUUCACGUUGACCGAAGCAUUAUUGGAAGAAACAAGCAAGCUUAUUUUCUUCUCUCAUUUUUUACUUUUGUCUAAAUUUAUUGAUGUGAGGCCUCUGAGAUGGUAAAGUGUUAAAUCUGAGAAGAGUACCCACACACCCAUUAUCCUAUUACUCUUAUUUUAUCACAUGCAGAGACGUCAACGUUUGAUUCGCACGGAAAAAAAUUUGCUAGGAUUGUGAGGGUUGAUGUAAUGUAAUUUAGAUGCAAAGUGUUCACAAGUGCGAUGCUUCGUAAGUGUACUUGAAUCAUUAUAAACUCACCUUAUUUUCAUAGUGAUUAUUUCAUCUGCAUGUGAAUAUAAUCAUAUGUGGAGAUUUUUUUCCUAAAUUAUGAUCUUCUCUGGUAUUGAGGUGUUAUAUUUUUUAAAGGUUAAUGUUAAGUUACAUGCAUGUAACUUACAACCCUCUCACAUGAAUAGUGAGUGGACCCACACCAUUCACUAUUCAUAUGAGAGGGUUGUAAGUUACAUCCUCUUUUAAAUUAUAAUUAUUAUUAUAAAAAAACUGCAACUAUGAAAAAAAAUUAAUAUUAUGUCCUGAAUAUAAUUGUUAAAUAAUAAUUUUGACAAAAUUAAUGAAUAUAUACAGUUUUUUUAUCAUAUAAGUGUAAAAUUAUAUCAAAUUAGCUUUUAAAUUAUACAGUGGCUACUGCUUAUCAAACACUUUAGUGUUGUAACUUUUAAGUUAUAACUGUCUAGCCUUUAACCUCAAUCUCAAACGAGGCUUAUAAAGAUCAAGGAUUUCCUCAUAAAAAUUAUACGUCUUGUGAUUGCUUAUUUAAUUUAUAUUUUCGUUAUUUAUCUUUAUUAAUUAUAGUCAUCUUUUUAUAAAUUACAAUUGGAGAAAGUUGGUUGAUGUUGUUGACACACACACACACAUACAAAGAUAUAUUGGAAGUGCUUAUUAUGUCGACUCGAAGUUGUGGGGAGUUAAUGCAUGUAUUGAUUUAUUGGGAGUGUUUAAAUUAUUUUGUGAUUUACUUGAUAGAUUGAUUGAUUGAAUAUUGUUUGAUUGCUUCAUAUCAAUUCUGGAAAGUUUAUUUCUUUGUGAAAUUUCAACGAAAUAUGUUUUUUAAAAUAAUAAGGGUGUUUUAAGUAAUUUUGAAAAAUAAAUACACUAAUUAGAAUUAAUUAUUAAGUAAUUAACUCGAACUGUAGAGGAUAAGCAAACAUUUAUCCUAAUUAUAUUAUGAUAAAUCCUUUUCCAACUAGAAUUAGGAAACCAUAGAUAUACAGAUUUUUAUUUUUAUUUCCCUUUGCGAAAACGGAUUAGAGAAUUAGAAAACAAUCCUAGUGAGACUAUUGUUAGGUUUAAUAUUUUGUCGAAUUUGGAAACUUUUUGUCGAAUUAGAAAACAUGCGUGGUGAAUAUUUUGUCGCAUGCAAACUUUUUGUUUUAUGCAAAUCGUACUGAACAUUGGGACUGAUGUUUAAGAAAAAAAUUCUGUAGUUAAAGAAAAACAAAAAGGCAUGUUGAAUAGAUUACGAUAGUUUAUUCAAUUGGGAAUUUUUUUUCUUUAAUUUUUGUUGUACUUGAUUGAGAUUUCUCCUUGGUCCUUACAGUCUUAAGUUUGGAUACCGUAGGAUUAGUAAUUUCGUACUUCCUUUGCAAGCUGAGUAUAAGGAUGAAAUUCUUUUAAGAAAUUAAAAAAAAAUGAUAAAAAAGGCAUACCAGUAGGCAAUUAUAAAUAACCACAAAUAAAUAUAAACAAAAUGUUUAUGAAGUAAAUUAAACAUGCACAUAUUAUUUUCUUUUAUUUUCUGCUUGGAAACCCAUAAAUACACUAAUCCAGUACUACUAAUUUCAGAUAGAAAAAUUUGAACUCUAAGCUGCAGUUUGACUCAAAAUGAUGAUCACUGGCUUCGCACCAUUUAACCGGUAUACAUUUCUACAAACUGAACAAGGCUAUUGAUUUUUAUUAUUAUUUUAAUUUGUUUAUAAAUUACUAUUUUAAUUUUCACUUUUUAUUGGGUUGUGUAACGGAUUAGUGAAGCUGGUGGUCGUUGAUGCACUUACAAGGUACAAUUUUAUUUUAUAAUUUCAAAUUCGUAUUUUAAAAUGCAGGUACAUUAUGUAUACAUAAUUAUUGAUUUUCGUAUGAGGGUGUUUUGAAAUAUUGCUAAAAGACUAAACUUUAAUAAACUAUUUUUGAUCUUUUUUUUUCCUAAAGUUUGGGUGAUAUGCGCAUUUUAAAUUCAUGUGGAACAAAAGUUAAUGUUUGUAUAAAAAUUCUUUUAUUUUUUUGAGCAAAAUAGGCAAGCGAAAAAGUUUUGGCAAAUGAGUUGCAACUGAAUCCAAAACCAAUACAAUGCAAGCAUAGGAAAGAGGCCAGUGUUUAGGAUUUGAAUUUAGUAUUAAGCUGAAUUUUAUGGUACGCUCUUUUAGAGUACUGUGAUCGAUAAGCUCAGCCCCGGAUUUGCUUUUGCUUUUGCUUUUACUUCAAGUGAAAGAAAGAGGAAACCUUUUGUUUUUUCUUUGGUUUUCAACUAUGUUACCUAUACAGAGAGACAAGAUACCUGCCAUAAGUGAUGGUGUUAAAAAGAUUAAGCAGCGCACACAAACUUACUAUCGUCUAGACCAUCCAGUGAUGACCCUAGUCUUUUGGUUACGUUAGCUUUAGUUGAAAGAAGGGCCAAUUUAACAAAGACUAGAUUUGAUGGCUUACUAUGUUUAAUGUAAUGCUAAUUUUCAGGGAAUCUAAUGUUAUAACUUAUAAGAUGAUCUCCUAUGAUGAACAACAGUAACACAUUACUGUGAUUGAGAAAACUCAGUUACAAUAAACUCUUCAUUUACUCAUUGAGAAGAUUGAAUAGCAAACAGAGAAUAGAAUGAAGCAGAGGAAUCUCAUUGCCAAUAAAAUUGACCCUCUUUAAUGUUAUAUGGCACAGGUGUGGAGGAAGAACAAGUUACUUGCAGUUUUUAUAGUAAAAUAUACAGGUAUGACCAUGAUCAUUACAGUUAGGUUUUGAUGAUUUCGGAUGCUUUUUUUAAAAAAAAAAAAAUUGUGACAUCUUUGAUUUACGGUAGUUUUGUAGAAAAAAAAUAUAUAAAAAUUAAGAGGGAUGAGUUAAACUGACGAUUACAAUCAUUCCAGCAAUGCUGAUGAGUGAUACAUCACUUGAAAUUUACUUAUUAGUUGCUGAAAUGAUGAAAAAAAAAAACAAUAAACGAUAACAGUAAUAAUGUUCCCUUGCUGAAAUUCAAUUUUGACUUUCGACUCUUGGCUUUUAUGGAGAGUAAAAUGACUUGUAUAUUAUACUCAUACAAUCCACUCUACAUAAUGAUAUCGUUUUAAUAAGGCAAUGGCUGAUGAUCUCCAUUUAAAAACUACAUCAAUUUUUUUGCUUCAUUUAACUCUCUGGUUGUUGAAAAUAACCUUAAUUAUCAAAUAAUUGGAGAAAGAGUUAAGAACAUUUAACAAAUUUAUGUGCAAAAAAAAAAAAAAAAAGGAGAAGUUGAAGAGAAAGGGUGCUUGCAGAAGUGGGUGUCAAAGAUAAAUCGGUCCAUAAGAAUUAUUGGGGUUAUUUUUUGGCAAAAUAAGAACUUAUGCGAUAGCAUUUUUUAUGGGUGCAUAUAACCUCCCUUUAAAAAAAUAUAUAAUAAUUACUGCUUAAUAUAGUAUUAAAUACAAAAAUAUCAAUAUUUGACUACUUAAAUUUAUAUCAUUAGGUCCUUAAAAUUUAAAAUGGAAGAUAUGAAAGGAAAUAUAUAUAAAUUUCAUUGUCCUGGUAAAGGGCCCUCUUAUAAUCUUAUAAUAUUUGAACUUUGAUAGAUUUUUUGAAACAAAUGUACUUUUAUUUGUGUACAAUCAAUAUUUACUCAUUUAUUAUAUUUUAAUUUAUUAACUAUUAAUCAUGUAAGUAUACUUAAUCAGAAAAAUUAUAUCAAGAGAAAAUUCUAAUUUCACGCAAAAACAAAUACCAAAACAAAUAUCUCAAUUUCUAUACUAUUCACUUUCCUGUAGAAUCAAUUAUUUAAAAUGCAAGUUUGUGGCUACAGAAAACUCGCCAAAGAAAGAAGAUAAUAACAAUUGAGCAUUGAUAGCAAAACUAAUGCAUCCAAUUCUUCUUGACUUGAUGAGAUGGCGCCAUAACGUAGACACAAGUACCUAAAUUGACCGGCACUGAGUGAUGUGAAUACUACCAGCCAGUUCAUCUCUUCCAGUCUUGCUUAAUCACAAUCACAAACACCACGAGAUCGACAUUUGCAUUAUAUAUAUCUUCAGCAAUCGAAACACCUUGCAUUACCAAAUAAGCCCGUAACAGACAAAGCAAUCUUUCAUGGAGAGAAACCUUAGUCUCAGUAUGAUCACUGUGUCAUUAACCUACUGCCUGCUUCUUUGCUUGGUUGCUGCAGCAGCAGCAGCGGCAAGCAACAAUAUUACCACAGACCAACAAGCUCUUCUUGCCCUGAAAGAUCAUAUAAUUUAUGAUCCGACCAGCCUUUUAGCUCACAAUUGGACCUCGAAUACCUCUGUUUGUACCUGGAUUGGCAUCACUUGUGAUGCCAAUAGCCAUAGAGUCACAACCUUAGAUAUUUCUCAAUUCAAUCUACAAGGCACCAUCCCUCCUCAACUUGGAAACCUCUCUUCACUCACAACACUUAAUCUUAGUCAUAACAGGCUUUCUGGAAGCGUUCCCUCCUCCAUCUACACCAUGCAUACGCUAAAAUUUCUUGACUUCACUGAUAACCAGCUCUCUGGUUCAGUGUCUUCCUUCGUCUUCAACAUGUCUUCAAUAUUAGUAAUUCGUUUGACCAAUAACAUAUUUUCUGGUGAGCUUCCGAAAAAUAUUUGCAACUAUCUUCCUUAUUUGAAGGCCCUUUUCUUAAACAAAAACAUGUUUCAUGGCAAAAUUCCUUCUGCUUUAUCAAAGUGCAAACAACUGCAACAAUUAAAUUUGCAGUUCAAUAAUUUAUCCGGUGCAAUACCAAAAGAAAUCGGCAACUUGACUAUGCUCAAAGGGAUAUAUCUCCUCUACAACAAACUCCACGGUAUGUUCACAAUACUAUAUAAAUAUUUUAAUUUAUCACUUAUUAUCUUUCUUGAAUAAUUUAGCUAAGAUCUUGUAAGAGAGAUAUUUUGCAUCUACGUUAAUUUACCAGGUGAGAUACCCCACGAAAUCGCUAAUCUUCCAAAUCUAGAGGCUUUAGCGCUUGGAAUCAACAACCUAGUUGGUGUGUUACCAGCUCCCAUCUUCAACAUGUCAACACUGAAGGUACUUAUCCUCAUAAAUAACUCUCUCUCCGGAAGUCUUCCAUCAAGAGUAGACCUUUCACUUCCAACUGUUGAGCAACUUAACUUGGCACUUAAUAGAUUUUCUGGAACCAUUCCUAGUUCCAUCACCAAUGCUUCUAAGCUCACCUUUCUAGAGUUGGGAGCAAACACAUUUUCGGGGUUUAUUCCAAACACAAUUGGUAAUUUAAGAAACCUUAAGUGGCUCGGCUUGGCUAAUAACUCCUUGACAUCUUCAACCUCAAAAUUGAGCUUUCUUUCCUCUUUGGCAAAUUGCAAGAAAUUAAGAUUCGUAAACUUAAUAGGCAAUCCACUGGACGGCUUCCUUCCAAGUUCAAUAGGUAAUCUUUCUGUGUCUUUGGAAACACUUGGCAUCGGCAAUUGCAGUAUUAGUGGCAACAUUCCUCCAGCAAUUAGCAAUUUAAGCAACUUGUUGACCUUAGUAUUACACGGCAAUAAAUUGACUGGACCAAUCCCAACUACAUUCGGCCAACUGCAGAAACUCCAAGGCUUAGAUCUUGCAUUCAAUAAGUUGGUAGGUUCAUUCCCAGAUGAGCUUUGCCAUCUGGCAAGGCUGGAUCAAUUGAUCUUAUUUGGCAAUAAGCUUUCAGGAUCUAUACCUUCAUGCUUAAGCAACCUCACUUCUCUAAGAUCUCUCUAUUUAGGGUCUAAUAAGUUUACUUCUGUUAUUCCCUCAACCUUCUGGAGCCUAAAAGACAUCUUGUUCUUUGACUUUUCAUCAAAUUUCUUGGUUGGUCCUCUUUCUUUAGAUAUAGGAAAUUUGAAGGUGCUUCUAGGAAUAAGUUUAUCGAAAAAUAAUUUAUCCGGUGAUAUCCCAGCCACAAUUGGAGGACUGAAAGAUCUUCAAUUUAUGGACCUAGCAUAUAAUAGAUUGGAAGGCCCAAUUCCUAAAUCAUUUGGUGACUUGAUAAGUUUAGAAGUUCUGAAUUUAUCAAAUAAUAAAAUCUUUGGGUCUAUUCCAACAUCCAUGGAGAAACUUUUUUACCUCGGAGAGUUAAAUCUCUCUUUCAAUAAACUAGAAGGUGAGAUUCCUAGUGGAGGAACUUUUGCCAACUUCACAGCUAAGUCAUUUAUGGGAAAUGAGUUUUUGUGUGGUUUACAAAAUCUUCAAGUCCAACCAUGCAAAGUUAGCAAGCCGAGGACAGAACAUAAAUCAAGGAAAAAGAUACUUCUCAUUGUGAUUGUUUCGCCAUUGAGUAUUGCUCUAACAAUAGCAAUCACUCUAGCUCUCAAAUCUAAGCUGAUCGAAUGUGGAGAAAGAAGCACAGUGUUGUCAAAUGAUAGUAUCUUGUCAUCACAAGCAACACUAAGAAGAUUUUCAUACUUAGAACUUUUACAAGCAACAGAUAAUUUUGCUGAAAACAGCAUAAUUGGCAGAGGAGGUUUCGGUUCCGUUUAUGGAGCAAGACUUGAAGAUGGGAUGAAGAUUGCAAUAAAAGUGUUUCACAGGCAAUGUGCAAGCGCAUUGAAGAGUUUUGAGGCUGAAUGUGAAGUGAUAAAAAAAAUUCGCCAUCGAAACCUUAUCAAAGUUAUCAGCAGUUGCUCGAACGAUGACUUCAAAGCAUUAGUCCUAGAAUACAUGUCCAACGGGAGCUUAGGGGAUUGGCUGCAUUCGAGCAAUUACGUGCUGAAUAUUUUUCAAAGGUUGAACAUACUAAUUGACGUUGCAUCAGCUUUAGAAUACCUCCACUUCGAUCAUUCAACUCCUAUUAUUCAUUGUGACUUAAAGCCUAGUAAUGUAUUGUUGGACGAAAAUAUGGUUGCUCAUUUGAGUGAUUUUGGCAUAGCAAAGCUUUUAAGUGGAGAAGAUGAGUCUACGAUGCGAACAAAAACCCUUGCCACUAUAGGUUAUAUGGCACCAGGUUUGCUUCAAACAACUUUUUUUUUUUAAACUUCAUUUUAAAUUUUCUAAAUCAUUGAUUUUUACGAUCCUCAUAUCAAAUUGUUAUUGAUUAUUUAUCUAAUUGUGAAAUUAAUUUGAUUCAUAGAGUAUGGCAUAGGAGGAGAAGUAUCUACAAAAAGCGAUGUUUACAGCUAUGGGAUUAUGCUGAUGGAAACUUUUACCAAGAAAAAACCCACAGAUGAAAUUUUUGUUGGAGAAUUGAGCUUAAAGCAUUGGGUUAAUGACUUGCUUCCUAAUUCAUUAGUGGAAGUUGUGGACAAAACUCUGCUAAGUGGAGAGGAAAAACACUCUGCAGCAAAGGAGCAAUGUCUGUUGUCUAUCUUUAGUUUGGCUCUGGAGUGUACAAUGGAAUCACCGGAAAAGAGGAUUAAUGCAAAAGAUAUUGUUACCGGAUUACUCAAGAUAAGAGACACAUUCAGUAAAAGGAUAGGAAAUUUAAGUUAAUUUCGUUUGCUUUCAUUGAUAGUUAAUUCGAAUUCAUGUAAUAAGUGUAAGAAUCUUAUAUCUUUUCCUUUGAUAUAUUUUUUUUCUUGAGAAAACUGUUGUAGUCAUCUUGUUUCCAUGGGCAGAGUUGAUUUAGUUCUUCCAAAAAAUGCUACUGAUGACCUUUGUUUAAUACUUUCUCUUUUUUUGCAUGUGUU